This 94083-nucleotide long non-coding RNA is filed under the name Setaria italica (foxtail millet). Its description in RNAcentral is "long non-coding RNA (SITA_LNC006295)". The record is from RNAcentral. Lineage: Eukaryota; Viridiplantae; Streptophyta; Magnoliopsida; Poales; Poaceae.
GGUGGUGCUGCGUGUCAGAUGAUUUCGAUGUCAGUACCAUUGCAAGCAACAUCUGCCAGACCAAUGAGAAAUGUCGUGAAAAAUCAUUGCAGGAGCUCCAGAGUACAAUAAGUGGAAAAAGGUACCUCAUUGUGUUAGAUGAUGUAUGGAAUCGGGAUGCUGAUAAGUGGGGAAAACUAAAGACCUGCCUUAAACAGGGUGGCAAGGGCAGUGCAGUACUAACAACAACUCGUGAUGCAGAAGUGGCUCGCAUUAUGACCAUGGGUGUAGCUGAAGCCCAUAAUAUCGAGAAUCUGAGUGACGAGCAUUUAAAGGAAAUUGUCCAGAGCAGAGCAUUCAGCUUGCAAAAUCCAAAUAUAGAAGAGCAAGAUGGCAUUCUCAGUGGAUUUGUUCGUCGAUGCGUUGGAUCUCCCUUGGCUGCCAAAGCCUUUGGCUCUAUGUUGAGUAACAGGACUAGUAUAAAUGAAUGGAAGGAUGUAUUAGCUAAAAGUGACAUUUGUAGUGAGAAAACCGGAAUUUUACCGAUCCUCAAGCUCAGUUUUGAUGACCUAUCCCCAGAUAUGAAGCAGUGCUUUGCAUUUUGUGCUUUAUUUCCUAAAGAUUAUGAGAUUGAUGUGGACCUCUUGAUUCGACUGUGGAUGGCACAUGACUUCGUACCUGUGCAAGAGGAUGACAAUCCAGAAACCGUAGGAAAAUAUAUUUUCGAGGAGCUAACUCGGAGGUCAUUCUUUCAAGAUGUUAGGCAAACACGUCCAAUUGGCAAUCUUCGUAGGUCAACCAUAUGCAGGAUACAUGAUCUCAUGCACGACAUUGCUCUAUCAGUUCUGCGGAAAGAAUGUGUCACUAUAGUUGAUAAGCCGAGCGUCAACAAGCUGUUGCUAAAUCCGACCCGCCACCUCUUCUUAUCAAUAUACGGUGUUAGUCCUGUUUUCGUGCAAGAACAGGUUACAAGUCUAUUGAAGAAACAAACUGCAAUGCUCCAUACGUUGUUUAUCAAAGGUUAUGGUCAACCCCUUGAUAUAUCAAAGUACACUUCACUGCGAGCAUUACACCUUCCAGCAGAUAGGUUAUCAUGUGUAGGACAGGAACAGCUUACAAGACACAUACAGCACCUAAGGUAUCUUAAUCUGUCGUCACAUGAGUUCGAGAAACUUCCUGAAGGUAUAAGCAUGAUGUAUAAUCUACAAACGUUGGACCUCUCUCAUUGCAGACACCUUCGUCAACUUCCAAAGGAUAUGAAGUAUAUGGCAAACCUCCGACACCUCUAUACCCAUGGAUGCAAAUCAUUGACGUGCAUGCCUCCAGGACUUGGACAGAUCACUUCUCUGCGGACUCUAACUUAUUUUGUUAUUGGUGAUGGCUUGGGAUGUAGUACUAUUGCGGAACUUCAAAACUUAAAUCUUGGUGGAGAGUUAGAGUUAAGUGGUCUGCAAAAUGUAACAGAAGUGCUUGCAAAAGCAGCCAAUCUUGAAAAAAAAGAGAAACUCACAUACUUAUCUCUCAAGUGGAAUGAUGAUGCCCGUGAGAAACCAGAUUCUCAUAAUGAGGUGUUAGAUGCCCUUAAACCUCAUCAUCAGCUGGAGAUGCUAAGAAUAAAGUCCUACAAAGGCACCAAUUUACCGUCAUGGAUAACAGAUCUUAGUAUGUUGCAGCACUUGACUGAGCUCCAUCUGCUUGGUUGUAUGCUGUGUGAGGAAUUUCCUCAAUUCUGCCAUUUCAAAGCCCUUGAAGUUCUGCAUUUGGAAAAGUUGGACAAAUUGCGAAGCCUAUGCAGCCAUAUGGUGUCUACGCCAUUUCCAGCACUGAAGCAACUCCGGUUACAUGAUUUGGAGAGCUUGGAGAGAUGGGUCGCAACAGAAGGAAAAGAAGAUGAUGAAUUAACCUUUCCUCUACUUGAGGAGGUCGAUAUAGACAACUGUCCAAAGUUGACUAGCCUACCUGAAGCACCAAAGCUCAGGGUUGUAAGUUUGGAUGAAGGCAAGCCGCUGCUCUCCUUAGGAAUAGUUAAAUCAAGGCACAUGUCUUCAAUUUCUAAGCUAAAGCUGCGUGUCCAUGACACAGAAGCACUGCCUGAGAUAGAUUAUAAUUGGGAUUCAUCACAGAAACAGAAACUAUCUUUGGGUGGCACAGAAGCCGCACCUCUGUCAGAACUGAACAUAUCUGGCUGCAACUUUUUCUUCGUAUCAAGCCAGUCACAGCUAACACCUGGGGUCUGGAAAUGGUUUGAACAUCUUGUAUAUUUCACAAUUGAAAACUGUGAUGUGCUCAUCUACUGGCCAGAAGAAGUGUUCCAAAGCUUGGUAUCUUUGAAGGAGUUGUGGAUUCAGUCCUGCAACAAGCUAAUAGGGCCCACACAAGCGAAAGGUGUCGAACCUACACAAACGACAGAUCAACUCCUACCACAUCUAAACAUGAUACGUAUAUACUGUUGUGAAAGCAUGGCACAGCUCUUCAUUCUUCCCCCAUCUAUCAGACUUAUUCAUAUUGAGGAAUGCCCUAAGCUUGAGUUCAUAUGGGGAAAGGAGGAGCAUAUUGACACAUAUACAUCGCUGGAACAUUGCCGCGACCCUGCAUCCACCACUGGUAACCUAGAGCAAUCGCCGUCUCCAAUUAUUCGCCGUCCAUGCCUUGUAGAUCUAUCUAUAAGCAGUUGUGAUAGCCUGUUAACACUUCCAAAUCUACCACCGUCCCUCAAAUAUUUACACAUCUGGAGCUGUGAGAAGCUCUGCUCUGUGUCAGGAGACCUGUGUGCACUCGAGGAGCUACAUAUUUUUGACUGCAAUAAGUUACAGUCAGUCAAUUCCUUGGGAGACCACCCAUCAUUAGAAACACUGUAUCUUAAUCGCUGCCGAUGCCUUGCAUCUUUAGGAUGUGAUGGUGGUCGUGGAAGUUACUCUGCUCUUCAGAGCCAUAAGAUCGAAGACUGCCCAGCCAUAGACAUGAAGCAGUUUUACUAACGCCAUCAAACAGCUGCUUGACAGCUUUGAAUAUGAAGACGUAUCACACGUUCAUUCAAGCAGCUCUGAUGAAGGUACGACCUUUCACUUUCCUCUUAUUCAAUUUGUUUCCUUCAAAUUUCCCUGCUUUGCAUGCCCUCCUAUUUUGUUGACUAACUGGUGUAACCCCACAUAUUGGUGUUGAGAUCAGUUGAUGCGGAAUCACUGAAGUACUACUGAAACGAGAUCCUGAUCGGUCUCAGUUUUGGAGAGCAAUUUGUGGUGAACGGAGGCAGUCCAAGGCUUCAAGAACUCAUGGAGUCGUGCUGUACCAUUCUGCACUGCCAGGGCCAAAACAACACAAUUCCUUUAUAUAAGUUGGGUAAGUAAAAAACCAUGCCUUCGUCUGUGUUAAUCAAAUCUCAUUUAGCACAUAUAUGGGGACGUGUUGUUAACUUGUUACCCCAUGCUUUUCAUUUUUUCUGUGCAGACAUGACCCAUUUGUCCUUAAAAAGCAUAAAGGAGGGCACUCACAUGUACACACGACUGCUAUCUGGAAGCUUCAUUGCAGAUCUAGAGAUCAGGAGAAGAAGGAAAUCGUGGGGAUGCAGAUUUGCUUUCAACGGUCAAAACAGAGCUACAAAUGAUUAGUUGUAGUCGUGUGUGGUCCUUCCAUCACGAGUCGGUUUUUUCUUUUGCGCUAUAGAGAAGCUUUUCAGUUGUUGUCUCUUUUACGGUUGAUUUGAUUCCUUUUUUCCUUUCUAUGGGCCUGUUUGGCUCCACCCUAUUAAAGUUUAACACCUGUCACAUCGGAUGUUUGGAUGCUAAUUAGAAGUAUUAAAUAUAGACUGAUUACAAAACUAAUUGCACAGUUGGAGUGUAAUUCGCGAGACGAAUCUAUUAAGCCUAAUCAGUCCAUGAUUUGAUAAUGUGGUGCUACAGUAACCAUUUGCUAAUGGUGAAUUAAUUAGGCUUAAUAGAUUCGUCUCGCGAAUUAGCACAGGGUUCUGCAAUUAAUUUUAUAAUUAGCUUAUGUUUAAUUUUUCUAAUUAGGAUCCGAACAUUCGAUGUGACACUAUUAAAGUUUAGCACCUCGUAUCCAAACACCCCCUAUUAAUAUAACAUGAAAAUCCUCUUGCCAUCUUUUUUUAAAAAAAAUCGUAGGGAUGCUGCUUGAUGAAGCUAGCAACAUGGAUUUCAUGGUUCUUCCGAUUGUUGGAAUGGGUGGGAUAAGCAAGACCACCUUUAAUUUGUGCAACUCAUUUUUUCGGCUGUCAGAUGAACAUCCGAUGCGUUUCCUUCAUCUUCUAGUAAGUAUAUAUCUAGGUGCAUAGUAAAAAUUAUAUAUCUAGAAAAAAUGACCUACAAUUUAAAAUGGAGGGAUUACGUUGGAACAUCAACCAAACAAAUGGACGAACCCGUUUAAUUAUUUGGCCUCCAAGAAUGCUAUACGACCUGAAUGAAUAACUGAAGGCUAUCAAGGCACUUAUUGUUGUACAUAGGAACUGAGCUUGACUUAGAUAUAUUUAUUUGCAAACAGGUGUGAAAUGUGAUACAAUAAUUCAGAAAGCUAGACGUCGUGAGCCAUCCGAGAGAUAAGAAGAAGCUUCUCAUUACGGUGCACAUCCAUCCCAUACGACUCUGACAUUUCGAUGCCUGUCAACACUGGCGGAAGCUCCCAAUUGAAGUGGUAGAUGAGGUUGGCAAGAAUGAUUUCGAAAGUGGCGGUGGUGAAGUUUAUACCCAGGCACAUCCUUCGCCCAGACCCAAACAGCAAGAAACAGAAGUCGUUCCCCCGGAAGUCGGAAGCAGCAUCCAUGGCUUCUUCCAUGAACCGCUCGGGCAUGAACUCCUCUGCACUCUCCCAGUAGGUGGUGUCCCUGCAUAGAGCCCACGCGUUGACGAUUACACGUGUCCCGAAGGGUAUGGUAUAGCCCUCCACAUUGCAUUCCGACUUUUUUAUUUUUUGAACUUUUUUUUGAAAGAUUCUUACAAAUAGGUCCUUGGCGAAAACAUUUCAAAAUCUGGACCCUUAGCUUGGCGCCACCAUCGUACACGUCUCGGCGCUAGCGGCUCUGGCGCCUAGGUCAUUGCGCAGCUGGUGACGUGGAUGCUGACAUGGCGGGGGCUUGGCACCAAGGUGGAUGACGCCAAGCUUCGUAUUUCAACCACCUGCCUCCUUCCUACCCGAGCCUUCCUCCUCUUCUUUCUCCUCCCUCUCGGAUUUUUUCUCUCCCCACUUCACCCUACAUCACGAAUCGGCCUAUUGGAUCUUGAAAACUUUGAUUUGAUCCGUGGAUCUUCGAGAGCAAGGUAUCCUCGCUCCCUCAUAGUUUUUUUUCACGUCGAUUCGGUAUAUAUUAGUCGGAGUUUUGAACUUAGGGUUCAUGCAACCGUAGGAUGUCAAGGCGUGGAAAAGCUAGGAAACUAAGGUAACCUCAACGCACGUUGUUAUGUUAUGGGUUCAUUGUUGUGGAUCGAAUGGGAAACCCUAGGUAUAGGUUUAAUGUUAAUUGCUUUCGGUUCUUACAACGAAAUGGACUAAAUUGUAGUUAUGGCGGGAUGACUGGAAAUGCCUUCGACCCAUUGCCUCUGCCAAGUGGUGUUCCAGUGCCCAUGUGCUUUUACAGCGAUCCUUGCAAGGUAGCCAAGUCCGAUGCAGAGGACACGUAUAGGAAGAGGUAUUGGAUGUGUUCCAAUUUUGCGUUUGAGCCUACACUUCGUCAGCGCCGCAUUAACAAGAUGGUGAGAAAUUGAUGUUGUCUAAUAAUUAUUUUGUUUCGUAUGACAUCUUGCAUGAUUUUUUUAUUUUCUAACAAUUGCAUUUGUUGCAAACCCCUCUACUGCUCUGUGAUUUUGAGCAGUGGAUUGACACUGAGAUCAAGCCUGAAGAUAAGGAGGAGAUGCAGGAAAUGUUGCGGUGGGAGGCAGAGAAGAAGGAGACAACGGAGAACAGACACAGAGAGGAGGCUGCAGAAAAGGAGCACAAGGAAAAGGAGAAAAAGAGGCAUGCUGCUGCGAACAGGGAGGAGAGGGAGAAGAAGCUUGAGCGUGCACGCUGAGCGAAAGCAGCGAUUGAGGAGAAUCCCAAUGCCCUGAGGAAGGGAAAGUGGCCUCGUUGCACACAGUAGUCUUCAGUACUUGCUAGUUCUAUGGUUUAUUCAUGAACAAUGUUAUCUACUGUUGGACUUUUCAUUGUGUUGUCAUGUAAUGGACUUUAAGUAUGGAUGAUGAUAAAAAGAAGUACCGACAGAUGCUCAUCACUGAAUCAACACAUGCCAUCGAAAUUUUGGCAGAAUUUCCCCUAUUAUUUUUACACAAUCCAUACAUGUAAGUGAGAUGAAUUUUUAACCUCAAUACAACAUGUUCAAACAUACAAAUAUAUGCCACAUUCAUAAUGAAAGUCCACAAAAUGCAUAAUGAAAGUCCACAAAGUUCAUAAUGAAAGUCCACAAUAGUACAUAUACACAAUAGUUCAUAAUAAAAGUCCAUAUACACAUUAGUUCAUAAUAAUAGUCCAUAUACACAAUAGUUCAUAAUGAAAGUCCACAAAGUCCAUGUUAUUACAUAAUAACAUCUACCACAAACGUUCACUACCUCCUAGUCUUACCCUUACCCUUGUGACCAAGAGUGUCGGUACCUGGAGUGUAAGGGGAAGGUGGACGAUAUCUCCUAGUGCCUGCAAGCUGUGUAGGCUGAGUCAAGGGAGCGUCCUGGAGCUGAAACGGGCCAAGCUCUUCGUGCCUCUCGUCAUCCUCAUCCUCGUAUGCAAUGCCUUUGGCCUGUGUAGCUGCUUGGCUAGACGAACCUAUGCCUCCUCUGCUUGAGGAAGGAACAUGCAUGUCUCGCAUUGUGGCUGUCCUGCAACCACAAUGAGCAGCCGCACGGCGUAGCCGACGUGAUAGUCUCUAUUGUACAAGAAAUAGGUUAAGUGAAAGAAUUUAACGUAUUAAUAAUAUAUUUGAAAGCAUAUUUAGAAUCUUAUGUCUAGGAAGCUACGCGUCUCGUCGUCUCUGACUCUCGGACGAAACUGCUCAAUGUCUUCAACCGAGGUUUUGAGGGUAUGGCCCUACAACAAAGUAAAUGUACCAUCAUUAAAUCACUAAGUCACUAUCUACCUAAAUCACUAAGUCAGUAUCUACCUAAAUCACUAAAUCACUAAAUCUACCUAAAUCACUUAAGUCAACUAAUCACUAAGUCACUUAACAUAGAAAAAUAAGGCAAUUGACUUACCAAUCUAUCCAAGAUUGGUCCUGCCUCCACUUGCCUUCCUACACAAGUACUUCGGUCGUAUGUCGUGUCUUCAUCGUCGAAGGACUCGAUGUCGCUGUAGUCAUCUUGUGUCCAUUGUAGCCUCAGCCUGCAACGGCUCGCACCUUGGUACCAAGCUUGGUAUCGCAUGUACUCACUGUUUGUGUGCGGCUCGUUGUUCUCAUCCACGUUGUCGUGGAACUCCUCCCAUUGCUCAAUGUAAGGCUGGUGGUAUACAUGUCACUCAAAAACCUUCCUGUUCUUCUUAUGAUCCAACCUGCACGUCACGUAAGAUGUAUAACUGCCCAUAGUCGUAUAACCUGAGUUAAUGUAAGGGACCAUCAUGAGAUAAUUGAAAUAGCAAAACACUUCCUUGUGUAAACUCUACGCCAGUCGAGAAUGGAGCCGUUGGCCCAAAUCUGUUCUCAUGCCAAAUUAGAGUGCAACUCGAUCAGGCUGGGUGGAACUCGACCGGCAUAGAAAACAUAUAAGAGGGCACCUCAUCUGUAUAAAGUCAUCCAUCGCUCGCACACAUGGUGCUCAAAAGGAAAAGUAAGUGCCCCCUCUCCCUAUGUAUGGCUCCCACGACACCUGCAACAUGUCCAAACAAGAUGUCAGAUGAUAUACUAAAACUAAUUGAAAUCAGCAUGGGAAAUAAAAUGUACUUACACUAGACACCGUGAGCGUGUCUAGCUCGUUCGUGAAAUCAUGGUACGCCCACUCCAACAUCGUGUGUAGAACCCUAACCUGGUCCCAAAGGUACGCCCACGUAGGAUGCUGUCUCGGAGGCUGACCUGGGAACCACUCAUGGCGAGACAGAACCUCAGGACGGCCAACUGGUAGACGCGCCCACAUCCACAACUGCUGUAGGUACACACAUCCACCAAGUGAUGCUGAGGAUGAAGACCGACGACAAGCCUCGCACAGCUGCAGGUAGAGAAAACCCAACAUUGCAGAGCCCCAGCUGUACUGACCCGCCUGGUGCCAGUCGGUGAGGCAGUGGAUCCAAAACCACAAUGUAGUGUCACCCGUGGCAUCGGGGAAGAGAAUGCAUGCAAAGAGGUGUAGGAUCCAUGCCCUGCAGUAGUUCUCAACUGUUUGCUCAUUUACAUCCUCGAGGCAUUGUGCAAACUGUUGCCGGAGCCAGGAGAUUAGAACACCAGAAGUGUGAGCACCUUGCUCGUCAACCUCAUGCCCAAGGAAGGCUGCUACUCGUUCUCUCCAACCAUCUGACCUGCACGGCCCAGUCACUGCAUCACCGCGAAUCGUCAAACCUAACAUCUUCUGACAGUCCUCAAACGUAACUAUUAUCUCUCCGAAAGGCAAGUGAAAGGUAUGAAUCUCAGGCCGCCACCUACAGUUUAGACAAAGGAAGAUUACAUGUCAAAUAGGCUAGGGCAUGAACGAUUGGCUAUGAAUGGACGCAAUGAUUGAAGAUAGUACCUGUCAACCAACGCUGUUAUGGCUGCUGAGUUGAACUUGGGCAACCCAUGACGAACCUGAAAUGAGAUGACAUCUAGGCCAGCAGCUUGCACCAUAGGAGUGUACCGGUCGUCGUACCGCAUGUCCAAGAACCCAUCGUGGGUUCUAGAACCAAGGAGCGGAAGGUCAUGCAUGCAAUGAAACAGAGUCUUCCGUUAUUUCACGAACAACACAUGUACGCUUACAAAAAAUCAAUCAACACGUACAUAUUAUUACUACCCCCCCACCCCCCGCUAUGAGACAUCCUUGAUGGGUCUGGUCGUACACCGGGUCGAGCAAGUGGAGUUGCGCCAUCCUACAAAAAAUCAAUGAAAUAUAAAUUAAGUAUGCAGUGAAACAUAAACUUAGAAAUGUACAAAUAAUUGACACAAUUGCAAGUAUAAAUUGAGACAUGCAUAAUUAAUUGAGUGGAUACGACAUAUAUGAAAUAAUGAAAAGAACCACUAGUCGCACCUCACUACUCUGCCAAUGGCACGUGCAUGAACUGUGGUCCAGUCUACCGCACUUGCUGCACUCGUUCUGCUCGGGGUCAGUAAGAAAUGGGGUUGCCCUACCACGCCUCGCUCUUCCGGGUAUUUGAUCCAUAACCAUCAUGUGCCUCGUCCUCUUUCUUGAUCCACGCCUGUUCCAACGGUAAGCUGGAUCCGCAAUGUACUUUAGCCCAUCAUCAACAUGAGGGACAUGACUAGUAUUCCAACAGAUGCGCUCCUAUUCUUUCUGCACUUCUGCUCCCAUCUCCGUGUCAAAUUGUAUUACGGGUGUAGUUUAGCACUGAACAACAUGAUUUUGUGGUGCUGGGAUUGAAUCAUAGGAGUGCUAUUUGUGUGUCCGGAGCCAACUUUGACUGAUCUGAAUUUUGGUAAAAUUUCAUCCGAAUUUGUUUAAAAUCCAGUUGAAUCCAGGCCCGAAAUUUCCUGAAUUUCCGAAUUUCGUCCAUUUCGGAAGGCUCCGAAUUUUUUCAACUUUUGAAUCCCAGAACCUUGGUUGAGAAGCGGAGAGAUGGGAGACCUAGUUUUCAUCUUCGUUGCCUCGUUGGAGGGGAAUACUGCAUCUGGAGGAAUCGCGCGGAGGACAAGCUCAUGGAAGGCCCCGCUUUCGAUUACAGAGAAAAUCUUCGUUGGUCCGUGGGAUUUGAUUACAGCGAAGGCGAAGCAAACAUGUUUAACCGGUAUCUGAUUACAUGGUACCAGAUACGGAGCGAUUUUUACUGAAACAAACAUCACCUAGAGCUGACUAUUAUAUUCAAAUACUGACAAAAAGUAGAAUACUUCUCAGACAAGCCAGCCAUUACAACAAUAACAACACAACAACUGGAUUACCGGCGUGUCACAAUAACACACAACAAGAAGCUACGUACCACGAAGCAACAGAAACAGCACUCUUGCAAAUUAAGGGAUAAACAACACCCCCAAGGAAAUGGCGAUGAAAUUAAACCAGGCCCCGCCUGCAGAGCUUUGAGCACCUACACAUAUAUAGCAGGUGCAUGCAGCUCUCUAUUACAGAAACAGUAGAUCGAAAACGACGAGCAACCAAGCAUCGAGCAGCAACACUACUUACUUCUUCUCUCAAUGCAAGCAGGAAGAGAAGGCAAGCUAGCGAGCUGAUCAGCAGAGAAGUCGCCGGGAUUCAGAUGACUGCCGCGGUCGGCGUGCAGCGGCGCUCGCAGAAGUUUCCAGCAAAAUGCGGAACUUCAAGCGGGCCGGGGCUCCUAGAUAGCAUGUACAUCUUUGGGCUUGUUCGCUUCAGCUUAUAAGCCGGCUGAAAAGCUGAAACGGCUGAUUUGUUGUAAGAGGAAAACACUGUUUGGUGGCUGAUAAGCCGGCUGAAUAAGCUGAAGCGAACAGGCCGUUUGAUCCAACAGCAGCCCAUGAACAACAAACAGUAGCAGCAGCUAGCGUAUGAGGGUGGUGUGUGGUGGGGCCAAAGGCCAAUCUUGCAAGACAGCAGGAAGGAGCGUAACAUGCAUGCCCGUGUGCAGUACUGCCGUGGGUGUUGAGCACUUUUUUUUCUUGCUCCCGUUGUACUCAUGGAAACAUUUCAAAAGUAUAGAUUCAAUAUUUUGCAUAUUAUUUAAACAUUUCAAACAUUUAUGGAAACCACAUUUUAGAUAAACUGGUUCAAUAUUUUGCAUAAUAUUGUUGAAAUAGUGUACCUUAAACGUUGAGCUAAAUAUAUAAAAAUGUUGAGCUAAUAUAUCUAAAAUGAUGAAACUAAGAAAAUAAAGAUGAAAAAAAUAUAUACAGUCAUGUGGGAUCUCAAUCCGUUAGAAAAAUUUCGAAAAGGCUCAUAGUUUAUUCGGAAUUAAAAUUAAAUGAACCGUUAGAGAGAUAAGUAAGUUGAAAAGUUCGAAAUCAAAACUCACAUCACCCAACAAGUAGCUGACACCUAUCCGUCCUUUCAGCAGCUCCACCCACCUCGCGCCAGCAUACUAGCACAUGGUGGUCCCCAGCCACCUCUCGCCAGAUCGCAGUGCCCGAUGGGAGAUCCGGCGAUGCCGUUGCGUCGAAGGAGAGGGCGGAACCGACGAGGGUCGCCGGCGGCUCCCACCCCGAACGCGUCCUGACCCACUCCGGCAGGGCCUCCCGCAGGUACGGUGAGCGCUUCCAUCCGUGGUCCGCAAGCAGUAAUGUCUGAUUUUUCGCUUUCUUCUCCGGAAUUCGUCACAUAUGUCAUCGUCCUGUGUUUAUAUAUCCUUUUUAUGCUGCAAAGCUUUCACGAUUUUGAUGAGAGAUUUGUUCAUGUUUGUGCCCACAUAGUAGUCAAUGUGCCACUAGUACUGAUUGCAAUACGUACGGAAAUUGGUUUUGUGUCUGUUCUUUCUCCAUCUCAAUCAUCAAUCAAAUGGGGGUAGUCGUCGGUACGCCGGGUGGGCCGAGUUGGCCAAACUGCACAGUGGUGGUGGCAGCCAAGGUGUUGUUCAAGGUCGGGCUGGCACGCACACGGCCGUACCACAUCAGGGUGUGUCCUGCUUCCCCGUCAACUUCCUCAAUACGACUCGGUACGCCACUGUACCUAAUCCUCCAAAACUCCAACUCCAAAGGCUCGCUGAACGGAAAAAAAUUCUAGGAGGACGGUCCCCAAAUCCUUCUCCGUGAGGAUCCACUCCCGAUGGUUGCAGGCAUGGCAACAUAUAAUUGAUCCGCCGCCACCAACGACUGAGGUUUCUUCCACCUCGUCAACUACCACCACCUCCUCCACCCACCUCUCUUCUUCUCCGGCUACCCUGCGCGCGCCCUCGCCGCCGUGCGUGCCUCCAGCGAGCUCCCAGGCCCCGACGGCGCCAGCACUACGGCCGCGCCCCGGUGGCCGGCGGCGUCUCCUACUCCUCUAACGUGGACCUGUUCCGCUCGCCUUCAGCUGCCGUGGGAGCCGCGUAAUGGAGGAGGGUGGUGGGCCAAGCGACAGCUAGCUGUGGUGUGGUGGGCAUCCUCAUUUACUAAUCUCCACCCACCUUCCGAUGAAUAAAAAUUGACCUCUUUAUGCUGCCUUUGUCAUNNNNNNNNNNNNNNNNNNNNNNNNNNNNNNNNNNNNNNNNNNNNNNNNNNNNNNNNNNNNNNNNNNNNNNNNNNNNNNNNNNNNNNNNNNNNNNNNNNNNCAUCUAAGGUUAGCAGCCUCUUUCAGUGUACAAAUGAUUAUGCACCUAAUACUUUCCUCACCUUUGCAGUGCCGUGGGCCGCCACUUCCCUUCUGGCCCACAUGUCAUGGAGGCGCGCGAGGAGGGGGAUCGGUUUCACGUAUGAUUAAUAAAGAAAGGCCCAAGACACGUCACGCUGCGGGGGACAAGGGAAGACACCGCACCGCACGCACCUCCACCACUUGCGUUGCCUUUGCCUUUGCUUUUCCCCUAGCUCGCCCGCCUAGGAGCUCCAGCAGCCGGUCCGCUCCGCCGCCGGUGCGGCAACCACGCCGCCGUCAGAUCGCCUCGCGCGGCCACGCGGCCACCGAUCGUCCCCGCGAUACACCGCCGCCGGUGCGCCGUGCGCGGCGGCGCUGUCCCGCCGCUCCUCCGCCUACCGUCGGCCUGCGCCACCGCCAGCGCACCGGCAGCACCGCGAGCUGCUGCGCCGCCCCGACGUUGGUCCUUCCUGAGCCCGGUGUCGUCACCAGCGUCGCGGAGAAGCUAAUUACCUGGAGCAAUUUGUAGAAACAAAUAGUACUGGUUCGUUCACUUAUUUCUUUGCUCAAACUUAAUUUCUGCUUAGAGUUUGUGCCUAAAUUAGCUGCUUAUUCUGCUGGUUGCACGCAGGAGAUCGAGCUGCGGGCGUACGGCCGGAUCGGAGGAGGACAUAUCAGCCGGGUUCCUGUUGGUUGUGUACUUGUGUUCCUGCCGGCGGAGAAGCAACCAUGGCCGAGUUACUGAUCGGGCCACUGAUCUCCAUGGUGAAGGAGAAGGCAUCCAGCUACCUGCUGGACCAAUACAAGGUGAUGGAAGGCAUGGAGGAGCAGCGCAAGACCCUGGAGCGCAAGCUGCCAGCAAUCCUGCACAUCAUCCAGGAUGCGGAGGAGAAAGGAGCCUCCCGACCUGAAGUUGCAGUUUGGCUUAAAGACCUCAAGACAGCGGCCUAUGAGGCCAACGACGUCUUUGAUGAGUUCAAGUACGAGGCGCUUCGGCGAGAAGCCAAGAAGAAGGGCCACCACAGCAAGCUUGGAAAUGAGGUAGCAAGACUCCUAGUCCCCGCUCGUAAUCCCAUUGUAUUCCGUUACAGGAUGGGCAAGAAGCUACGCAGGAUUGUGCAGACCAUCGAGGCCUUGGUCACCGAGAUGAAUACAUUUGGUUUCAGGCACUUGCAGCAAGCACAGCCAUCAAGGCAGUGGCGACAGACAGAUUCCAUAAUCAUUGACUCCGACAGAGAUAUUCUUAGCAGAUCUAGAGAUCGGGAGAAGAAGAAAAUCGUGGGGAUGCUCCUUGAUCAAGCUAGCAACAGGGAUCUCAUGGUUCUUCCAAUUGUUGGGAUGGGUGGGAUGGGCAAGACCACCUUUGUGUUGGAGUUGUUCUAAAUUCACUCCAGGAAUAAAGGCCGACCUUCCCGACCCUUGACACUCAGGGUCGGGCGAGGCGGAGAAUCUCCCGACCCCGGGACUCGGGGUCGGGCGAGGCGGAGCGUCUCCCGACCCAGGCUUGAGGUCGGGCGAGUCGGAGAUCGACCCUCAAGGGGUCAGGCGCAUCCGACCCCAGGCUUGAGGUCGGGCGAGGCGGAGUCCCAGGCGCAUCCGACUCCAGGACAAAGGACUCAGGGUCAGACGAGAAGGAGUUCCAUCCUUGUACGGGACCAAGAGUCCGUACAGCUCAAUACCCCCUGUCUGGGGUUUCGGUACUAUAUAUACAUACACCCUUGCUAGGGUUUUGGGUGGUGACAGAAGAGAUAGAAGAGAGAGAGAUUAUCAGAUUCUCUUGUAAGCCGCCAUAGGCGUGUAGCCCUAAACUCUUGAUAUAGUGAGAUUGUUGCCGGCUGGUGCCCGUGGUUUUUCCUCUUCACAUUGAAGGGGUUUUCCACGUAAAUCGUGUGUCUUCUUUUGUGGUUUGAUUCUUUACUUCAUAUUCCAUACGUCGUACCUAACAAGUGGUAUCAGAGCUUUGGUUGCUGUUUGGAUUUCAUGUCGACGUCGAUGAAGUUUGAUCUACCGCUGCUGAACUACGACACGCGGUUCUCUCUAUGGCAAGUCAAGAUGAGAGGAAUUCUAGCGCAAACUCAUGAUUAUGAUGAGGCGCUGGAUAGCUUCGGAAAGAAGACAAAGGCCGAGUGGACUCCAGAAGAGAUCCGCAAGGAUCAGAAAGCACUCGCCCUAAUACAGUUACAUCUUCAUAAUGAUAUUUUGCAGGAGUGUCUGAAAGAAAAAACUGCUGCAGAACUAUGGCUGAAACUGGAAUCGAUCUGUAUGUCCAAGGAUCUAACCAGUAAGAUGCAAAUGAAGAUGAAGCUGUUCACCUUGAAGAUGAAGGAGGAAGAUUUAGUGAUGAACCACAUCACUGAAUUCAAGAAGAUCGUCGCCGAUCUAGUAUCAAUGGAGGUGAAGUAUGAUGAUGAGGACUUAGGUCUUUUACUGUUAUGUUCUUUGCCAACUUCAUAUGCAAAUUUUCGUGACACCAUACUCUUGAGCCGUGAUGAACUAACCUUAAAGGAAGUUUAUGAGGCUCUCCAAUCAAGGGAGAAGAUGAAAGGUAUGGUGCAGACUGACAGAACGUCGUCCUCCAGAGGCGAUGCUUUGCUUGUGAGAGGCAGAACUGAUAACAGAUCCUCCAAUGAUGAUGGAAGAAAAAACUAUGAAAGGAGAGGCCGUUCAAAGUCCAAGCCGCAUGGUAACAAAAAAUUCUGUGUCUAUUGCAAGCUAACAAAUCACAAUGUUGAGGAUUGCAGAAAAGUACAGAAUAAGGAGAAGAAGAAAAACAAGUCGGCUGGUAAGGUCUCUGUUGCUGCUGCCGUGUCUGAUGAAGAAUCUGGAGAUGGUCUGGUGGUAUUUGCCGGUUGUGUUGCUGGUCAUGAUGAGUGGAUCCUUGAUUCUGCAUGUUCAUUUCAUAUUUGCAUUAACAGAAAUUGGUUUAGCUCUUAUAAGUCUAUGCCGAAAGGAGAUGUUGUGCGGAUGGGAGAUAAUACCCCGUGUGAUAUUAUGGGAAUUGGAUCAGUUCAGAUCAAGACUCAUGAUGGCAUGACACGCACUCUGAAAAACGUCAGGUACAUACCAGGGAUGUCCAGAAAUCUUAUUUCAUUGAGCACGCUUGAUGCAAAAGGUUACAAAUAUUCCGGUUCGGAUGGUGUUCUGAAGGUAUCAAGAGGUAAUCUUGUCUGCUUGAAAGGUGAUCUCAAUUCUGCAAACUUAUAUGUCCUUAGAGGGUGUACUUUACCUGGUUCUGAUUCCGCUGUUGCUGCUGUUACUAAUGAGGAACCUAGUAAAACUAACCUUUGGCAUAUGCGUCUGGGACAUAUGAGUCACCAUGGUAUGGCAGAAUUGAUGAGGAGAAACCUACUGGAUGGCUGCACUUCGAGUAAAAUGAAGUUAUGUGAGCACUGUAUUUUCGGGAAGCAUAAAAGGGUACAUUUCAACACUUCUGUUCACACCACUAAAGGUACUCUUGAUUAUAUUCAUGCUGAUUUAUGGGGUCCUUCCCGUAAGUCCUCGCUUGGUGGUGCUCGUUACAUGCUCACAAUUAUUGACGAUUACUCUAGAAGGGUGUGGCCUUAUUUUCUGAAACAGAAAGAUGAUACCUUUGCUGCUUUUAAGGACUGGAAGGUCAUGAUUGAAAGGCAAACUGAAAGGAAGGUGAAAUUGCUUCGUACUGAUAAUGGUGGAGAAUUUUGUUCGCGUGAAUUUAAUGAUUAUUGCAGAUCAGAAGGUAUUGUAAGGCAUCACACCAUACCCUAUACUCCACAACAGAAUGGUGUGGCCGAACGCAUGAACAGAUCCAUCAUAUCCAAGGCCCGUUGCAUGCUGUCUAAUGCCAGGAUGAGCAAGCGUUUUUGGGCUGAAGCUGCUAAUACUGCCUGUUACUUGAUAAACAGGUCACCUUCUAUUCCACUAAAUAAAAGAACUCCCAUUGAGGUAUGGUCUGGAACGCCUGCUGAUUACUCACAGUUGAAAGUUUUUGGAUGCACUGCAUAUGCUCAUGUUGAUAAUGGAAAAUUAGAGCCUAGAGCUGUUAAAUGUCUUUUCCUUGGUUAUGGUUCGGGUGUCAAAGGCUAUAAAUUGUGGAACCCGGAAACAGAAAAGACCUUCAUGAGCAGAAGUGUUAUUUUCAAUGAAUCUGUGAUGUUUACUGACAGCUUACCCUCAGAUCAAGUUCCAGACAAAGGACUGCAGCGUAUGCGCAUGCAGGUGGAGAACGCUCGUAAUGAUGUUGAUAACCCCGACCCCUUGGUCUCGGGGUCGGAUGCGCCAGACCCCUUGGCUCCAGGGUCGGCUGAUGCUCAAGCGCCAGACCCCUUGGCUCCGGGGUCGGAUGUUGCUGCGCCAGACCCCUUGGCUCCGGGGACGGAUGUUGCUGAUGCGCCAGACCCCUCAAUCUCGGGGUCGGCUGAUGCUCAUGAUAAUGUCCAGCAAACUCCAGAGGAGGAUCUACCCAUUGCUCAACGCAAGUCCAAAAGGACAGUUGCCCCUCCUAACCGCCUCAUUGAAGAGUGUAAUUUGUCUUACCAUGCUUUGAGUUGUGCUGAACAGGUGGAGAAUGUUCAUGAGCCAGCAACCUAUAAAGAAGCUAUUCAUUGUGGCGAUACUGAAAAUUGGAUUUCGGCCAUGCAUGAGGAGAUGCAAUCUCUUGAGAAGAACAGUACAUGGGAACUUGUACCUUUGCCUAAGAAUAAGAAGGCCAUCCGCUGCAAAUGGAUCUUCAAAAGAAAGGAGGGUUUAUCUCCAAGAGAGCCUCCGAAAUAUAAGGCAAGGUUAGUUGCAAAAGGCUACAGCCAAAUUCCGGGUGUCGACUACAAUGAUGUUUUCUCUCCAGUGGUAAAACACAGUUCAAUUCGCACUUUCCUUAGUGUUGUUGCUUCACAUGAUCUUGAGCUUGAGCAGUUAGAUGUGAAGACUGCGUUUUUGCAUGGAGAGCUCGAGGAGGACAUAUACAUGAACCAACCAGAAGGUUUCAUAGUGCCUGGCAAGGAGAAAUAUGUGUGCAAGUUGAAAAGAUCCUUGUAUGGUUUGAAACAGUCCCCUCGACAGUGGAACAAGAGGUUUGAUUCAUUUAUGUUAUCACACAGUUUUAAAAGAUCUAAGUAUGAUAGCUGUGUUUAUAUCAAGCAUGUUAAUGGAUCACCUAUAUACUUGCUGAUAUACGUUGAUGAUAUGUUGAUUGCUGCCAAGAGUAAGACUGAAAUAAAUAAGUUAAAGAAGCUAUUGAGUAGCGGUUUUGAUAUGAAAGAUCUUGGUAGUGCUAAGAAAAUUCUUGGUAUGGAAAUUAGUAGAGACCGAAAUUCUGGUUUGCUAUUUCUUAGUCAACAGAAUUAUAUCAAGAAAGUUCUUCAGCGUUUCAACAUGCAAGAUGCUAAGGCUGUAAGUACUCCUAUUGCACCUCACUUCAAGUUGUCAGCUGCUCAGUGUCCUAGUACAGAUGCAGAGGUCAAAUACAUGUCAAAGAUUCCUUAUUCUAGUGCUGUUGGGUCCUUGAUGUAUGCCAUGGUUUGCUCUCGCCCAGAUUUGUCAUAUGCUAUGAGUCUUGUUAGUAGAUAUAUGUCUAAUCCCAGCAAAGAACAUUGGAGGGCAGUUCAGUGGAUUUUCAGAUACCUCAAAGGCACAGCAAAUUCCUGUUUAAAGUUUGGAAGAACUGAUGAGGGUCUUAUUGGCUAUGUGGACUCAGAUUAUGCUGCUGAUCUGGACAGGCGAAGAUCACUCACAGGCUAUGUGUUUACUGUUGGCAGUUGUGCUGUGAGUUGGAAGGCUACUUUACAGUCGGUUGUUGCUUUGUCUACUACUGAAGCAGAAUAUAUGGCGAUUUGUGAAGCGUGCAAAGAAUUGAUUUGGCUGAAAGGUUUGUACGCCGAACUUUGUGGAAUUGAAUCUUGCAUAAGUUUGCACUGUGACAGUCAAAGUGCAAUUUACCUCACUAAAGAUCAACUGUUCCAUGAGAGAACUAAGCACAUUGAUAUCAAGUAUCAUUUUGUGCGUGAUGUGAUUGAAGAAGGUAAGCUAAAGGUAUGCAAGAUCAGUACUCAUGAUAAUCCUGCCGAUAUGAUGACAAAGCCUGUUCCUGUUACUAAGUUUGAGCUGUGCUCAGGCUUAGUUGGUUUAAUUGGAUAGUCCAAGAGACUAUUAUUGGCACCAGUGGUUUUUCCUGUCUUUGUUCUGUUCAGAAUGAAGGGUUGAUGAUACAAGAUGAAUUUGUCUCAAGGUGGAGUUUGUUGGAGUUGUUCCAAAUUCACUCCAGGAAUAAAGGCCGACCUUCCCGACCCUUGACACUCAGGGUCGGGCGAGGCGGAGAAUCUCCCGACCCCGGGACUCGGGGUCGGGCGAGGCGGAGCGUCUCCCGACCCCAGGCUUGAGGUCGGGCGAGUCGGAGAUCGACCCUCAAGGGGUCAGGCGCAUCCGACCCCAGGCUUGAGGUCGGGCGAGGCGGAGUCCCAGGCGCAUCCGACUCCAGGACGAAGGACUCAGGGUCAGACGAGAAGGAGUUCCAUCCUUGUACGGGACCAAGAGUCCGUACAGCUCAAUACCCCCUGUCUGGGGUUUCGGUACUAUAUAUACAUACACCCUUGCUAGGGUUUUGGGUGGUGACAGAAGAGAUAGAAGAGAGAGAGAUUAUCAGAUUCUCUUGUAAGCCGCCAUAGGCGUGUAGCCCUAAACUCUUGAUAUAGUGAGAUUGUUGCCGGCUGGUGCCCGUGGUUUUUCCUCUUCACAUUGAAGGGGUUUUCCACGUAAAUCGUGUGUCUUCUUUUGUGGUUUGAUUCUUUACUUCAUAUUCCAUACGUCGUACCUAACACUUUGUGCAACUCAUUUACAAUGACCCUGCAAUCGAGAAGCACUUUGAGUUUCGGAGGUGGUGCUGCGUGUCAGAUGAUUUCGAUGUCAGUACCAUUGCAAGCAACAUCUGCCAGACCAAUGAGAAAUAUCGUGAAAAAUCAUUGCAGGAGCUCCAGAGUACAAUAAGUGGGAAAAGGUACCUCAUUGUGUUAGAUGAUGUCUGGAAUCGGGAUGGUGAUAAGUGGGGAAAACUAAAGGCCUGCCUUAAGCAGGGUGGCAAGGGCAGUGCAGUACUAACAACAACUCGUGAUGCAGAAGUGGCUCGCAUUAUGACCAUGGGUGUAGCUGAAGCCCAUAAUAUCGAGAAUCUGAGUGACGAGCAUUUAAAGGAAAUUGUCCAGAGCAGAGCAUUCAGCUUGCAAAAUCCAAAUAUGGAAGAGCAAGAUGGCAUUCUCAGUGGAUUUGUUCGUCGAUGCGUUGGAUCUCCCUUGGCUGCCAAAGCCUUUGGCUCUAUGUUGAGUAACAGGACUAGUGUAAAUGAAUGGAAGGAUGUAUUAGCUAAAAGUGACAUUUGUAGUGAGAAAACCGGAAUUUUACCGAUCCUCAAGCUCAGUUUUGAUGACCUAUCCUCAGAUAUGAAGCAGUGCUUUGCAUUUUGUGCUUUAUUUCCUAAAGAUUAUGAGAUUGAUGUGGACCUCUUGAUUCGACUGUGGAUGGCACAUGACUUCAUACCUGUGCAGGAGGAUGACAAUCUAGAAACCGUAGGAAAAUAUAUUUUUGAGGAGCUAACUCGGAGGUCAUUCUUUCAAGAGGUCAGGCAAACACUUCAAUUUGGCUAUUUUGGAAGGUCGUCACUUCGUAAGUCAACCAUAUGCAAGAUACAUGAUCUCAUGCAUGACAUUGCUCUAUCUGUUCUGGGGAAAGAAUGUGUCACUAUAGUUGGUAAGCCGAGCAUCAACAAGGUGUUGCUAAAUCCGACCCGCCACGUCUUCUUAUCAACAAGGUGUUCUCAUUUCUGGAAAGAACAGGUUACAAGUCUACUAGAUCAUCUAUUGAAGAAACAAACUGCAAUGCUCCAUACGUUGUUUAUCAAAGGUUAUGGUCAACCCCUUGAUAUAUCAAAGUACACUUCACUGCGAGCAUUACACCUUCCAGCAUAUAUAUAUAUACCAUGUUCAGGACAGGAACAGCUUACAAGACACAUACAACACCUAAGGUAUCUUAAUCUGUCGUCACAUGAGUUCGAGAAACUUCCUGAAGGUAUAAGCAUUAUGUAUAAUCUACAAACGUUGGACCUCUCAUAUUGCAAAUGCCUUCGUCAACUUCCAAAGGAUAUGAAGUAUAUGGCAAACCUCCGACACCUCUAUACCCAUGGAUGCGAAUCAUUGACAUGCAUGCCUCCAGGACUUGGACAGAUCACUUCUCUGCAGAAUCUAACAUGUUUUGUUAUUGGUGAUGGCUUGGGAUGUAGUACUAUAGGAGAACUUCAAAACUUAAACCUUGGUGGAGAGUUAGAGUUAAGUGGUCUGCAAAAUGUAACAGAAGUGCUUGCAAAAGCUGCCAGUCUUGAAAAUAAAGAGAAACUCACACACUUAUGUCUCAAAUGGAAUGAUGAUGCCCGUGAGAAACCAGAUUCUCAUAAUGAGGUGUUAGAUGCCCUUAAACCUCAUCAUCGGCUGGAGAUGCUAGGCAUAAAGUCCUACAAAGGCACCAAUUUACCGUCAUGGAUAACAGAUCUUAGUCUGUUGCAGCACUUGACUGAGCUCCAACUGGUUGGUUGCACGCUGUGCGAGGAAUUUCCUCAAUUCUGCCAUUUCAAAACCCUUGAAGUUCUGUAUUUGAAAAAGUUGGACAAAUUGUAAAGCCUAUGCAGUCAUAUGGUGUCUACGCCAUUUCCAGCACUGAAGCAACUCCGGUUACAUGAUUUGGAGAGCUUGGAGAGAUGGGUCGCAACAGAAGGAAAAGAAGAUGAAUUAACCUUUCCUGUACUUGAGGAGGUUGAUAUAAAAAACUGUCCAAAGUUGACUAGCCUACCUGAAGCACCAAAGCUCAGGGUUGUAAGUCUGGAUGAAGGCAAGCCGCUGCUCUCCUUAGGAAUAGUUAAAUCAAGGCACAUGUCUUCAAUUUCUAAGCUAAUCCUGUGUGUCCGUGACACAGAAGCACUGCCUCAGAUAGAUUAUAAUUGGGAUUCAUCACAGAAACUGGAACUAUCCUUGGGUGGCACAGAAGCCGCACCUCUGUCACAUCUGAACAUAUCUGGCUGCAACUUUUUCUUCGUAUCAAGCCAGUCACAGCUAACACCUGGGGUCUGGAAAUGGUUUGAACAUCUUGCAGUUUUAGCAAUCAAAAACUGUGAUGUGCUCAUCUACUGGCCAGAAGAAGUGUUCCAAAGCUUGGUAUCUUUGAAGGAGUUGUGGAUUGAGUCCUGCAACAAGCUAAUAGGGCCCACACAAGCGAAAGGUGGCGAACCUACACAAACGACAGAUCAACUCCUGCCACAUCUAAACAGGAUAUGUAUACGCAGUUGUGAAAGCAUGGCACAGCUCUUCAUUCUUCCCCCAUCUAUCAGAAUUAUUGAUAUUAUGGAUUGCCCUAAGCUUGAGUUCAUAUGGGGAAAGGAGGAGCAUCUUGACACAUAUACAUCGUUGGAACAUUGCCGCGACCCUGCAUCCACUACUGGUACCCUAGAGCAAUCGCCGUUUCCAAUUAUUCGUCGUCCAUGCCUUGUACGUUUAUCAAUAAGAUUGUGUGAUAGCCUGGUAACACUUCCAAAUCUACCACCGUCCCUCAAGGAUUUAAGCAUCUACAGCUGUGAGAAGCUCUGCUCUGUGUCAGGAGACCUGUGUGCACUCGAGGAGCUACAUAUUUAUAACUGCAAUAAGUUACAGUCAGUCAAUUCCUUGGGAGACCACCCAUCAUUAGAAACACUGAUUCUUUAUGACUGCCGAUGCCUUGCAUCUUUAGGAUGUGAUGGUGGUCGUGGAAGUUACUCUGCUCUUCAGAGCCAUAAGAUCGAAGAGUGCCCAGCCAUAGACAUGAAGCAGUUUUACUAACGCCAUCAAACAGCUGCUUGACAGCUUUGAAUAUGAAGACGUAUCACACGUUCAUUCAAGCAGCUCUGAUGAAGGUACGACCUUUCACUUUCCUCUUAUUCAAUUUGUUUCCUUCAAAUUUCCCUGCUUUGCAUGCCCUCCUAUUUCACUCAUGUAACCCCACAUGCAUUUCAUUUUUGCUGUGCAGACAUGACCCAUUUGUCCUUAAAAAGCAUAAAGGAGGGCACUCACAUGUACACACGACUGCCAUCUGGAAGCUUCAUUAUUGCGAGCCUCUGCUAACGAUGACAGGCCUGCAAUGGACGACAAAAACGACAAAGUUUGUUUUCACGGCACUACCAGCUAGCUGCUGGUAAUGCUCUUGUCACUAAUGUACAGUACUCCAUUCUGUCAUCCAUGAAAGUCGUGGAGAAUGGUCUAUGAUGUUACUCCAUUCUGUCAUCCACGUGAGCCGAUGAAGCAGAAACAAAUGAUGAUGAUGAUGGAUGAUAUAGCUGCCGGGACCCACUGCAACCUCGUGCAUCAAUCAUGACGAUCUCUAACGGCAAAGGCAUGCAUCCAGUAUGGCCUGAUGAAGUAAUUUAGUCUGCCAAAUUUCUUUCUGCUCGUUGCGCAUAGAAGGCGUAUUUUCUUUUCCUUUUUUCCACCCGAGAAGGAAGAAGAAGAAGAAACUGCUGUGGCCAAUUCAAUCCGGAUCAUCAAAACAACAGCCCAUUCCAGACUAGAAGAAUUUGGUCACCAAAUUCGGAUGGAGGUAAAAAGUCACUAGUUACCUGCAGCACCGAAUAGUACUGGUUCGUUCAUUUACUGUUUCCAAAAACUUUCUGCUGAGAGUUUGUGCAUUGUGGUGACACUAAAUAUGCGCGUGCGCGGUUCGUAGGAUUCGAACCCACAACCUCCAACCUCGCGCGUAGCUUUCUUGCCAUCCCACCUACACACCACAUCUAAGUAUGUAGGGGAUCCUAUCCUUUUGUAUUAACUCGUGGGGGACCCUUUUAUCCCGGUUGGAAACACCAACCGCGAUAAAAGACCCCCUUUUAUCCCGGUUGGUAUUACAAACCGGGAUAAAAGGGUUCGAGGAUUUAAUCCUCUUCCAGCCACCUUCCAGUCACCUCGUUGGGGACCCUUUUAUCCCGGUUUGAAACACCAACCGGGUCAAGAGCCUUUUAUCCCGGUUGGUGUUUCAAACCGGGAUAAAAGGCCCCUCAGAGUCUUUUUUCCCACUAGCCUUUGCAACCGGGAUAAAAGGUCCCGGUUGGUGAGCCCCCCACCAGUGACCGAGUUUUAAUCCCGGUUGGUGAACCUUUGUCCCGAGCCAACUUUAAACCGGGAUAAAAGAGGGCGCAUGGAAAGUUAAUUCUCUACUCGUGUUUGCGGGACACAAUCAUUUCAAGCAGGAGACGGUGGUUCAUCUGGAUGGACACCGGCCUCCGAUCAACAAUUUCCCCAGUUUCCCGUGUAGGCAAGGGGGAAGAUGGCAGGUCGCCAAGAAAUAGCAGCAGAUAUGUCCCUUGUCAAAACUUCAAGCCAGUAGUCUGUAAAAUAGAAAGAGAGAUUUGUUCCACUUAGGCUGCUACGCCUACAACAAUAAUGACUGUGGGGAGCUAGGAAAUAGCAUCAUGCUGAUAAGCCCAACAUCAUUGGAAUACAGUAACAGCGUACUGAAAACAAAAGAGGCUACAUCAUGGGCCAACUGAAAUUGUGUUAUCCAUAACAUUUUUUUUUAGAAAAUCCUCAGCCAUCAACACACGCAACCAAAUUAUUACAGAAUCUUAAGCUCAGUUGCUGAUUAAAAAAAUAAAAAGAGAAAAUAAUUAUAAGCAAUGUUUAAUGUUGCUUAUCCAUCCAUUUUUAAUAGAAACUUUCCAAAGCUUUCGUUGCUCUACUAUCGAACGGACGGUCUCCCUUAUGUCUUCACACCACGUUAAUAAAUCGCAAUUAAUAUGUUCUCCCGAAGGUAACCUUCAAAGCGAUGAAUGUAGAUCACCCACGAGCAACCGAGCACGCACAAGGGAUGCUGAAACACCACAUGGAUCUCCAUGACAACACCUUCAACAAGAACAUGACGCUAAUGACACCAUUGUCAUUGGCCCAAGUAUUGGGUUGGGUUUACACCCGGAGAAUUAAAAAAUCACCAUUCGGGGGAGGUGCAAACAAAGUCGCCUCCAAGGAGGCAACGGCACCCGCAAGCGUCACCAUCCACACUUUCAUCCCGACCUCCACCAUGCCAUGCCGGCAGCAGCCUGAGCAGAAAUCCACUCACCAAGCUGUUGAUGGUGCUGAGCAAGUUCGCAAGUGCCAGCCAUCAUUAUUGAGAGCCAGCUGCUGCCGCCGCAAACUCAUGCCCAUUGCGCUAGGGCUAGGGCGCCGGCCAUAGCAAGGCCUAGAUGCACGUGUUGCGUCAUGGCUGGCACCACACUAAGCCCACCAUGUCACCAGACUGUCACAGCCGGAAGGGCGCCGGUCGUCAGAUCCGACCCCCAGCGCAUGGAAUCCACCGCCUAGAAGCUAAUAUCUCUAGAGUGAAAAUCAACACUUCAGAAGAUCCCUGAGGGAGGGGGAACGUGAAGGAGAGGCUCCCCGAGUGCCGUCAGCAUCACCGGAGAACCCAAGCAGCCACAUAUCCAGGGGUCUCCGAGGGACCCGUCGUCGGAUCCGGUCACGCCAAGGGGAAGCACCAUCACGUUCAAAGGUUUCACCUCUAUGUGUAACGCUGCACUGUCCGACUGCCCGAGUACCUCCAGCAUUGGAUGGAGUGAUGGCAAUCUUAUUAGGGGGAAAAGAAACUACACACACCAAUGACAUAUGGUAACAGCUUACAAUGAUGGUAGUGGAUAAAAGAAAUGGGAGCACCAGAAACAAAAUCUAGAGUCUCAACAGUCAAAAUCAAAUUAACAAGAUCAAACAAUAAAAGUUAUGAGUACCACAAGAGCUUACACUGUCCGACUGUCCGAGUACCUCCAGCGUUGGUUGCAGAGCACCAGGGGGGGGGGGGGAUCAUUUCCAAAGUGGAUGCAUCAGUGGAGAUCUCUCAAUGUUUGUCACAUAAGCAGUGUGGUGCCCUCCAGGUGCCCAGGUUGGUGUGUUAAACUGCCUCCGAUCCACAGCCAUCUUAGAACACUGCAUUCCAAGUUUCCAACACUUUUCAUGGUCUCAACUCUACUUUUACAUUCUCUCAGGGGGUGUUUGGGAACACCGUGCUAAACUUUAGCACCUGUCACAUCGGAUGUUUGGAUACUAAUUAGGAGUAUUAAAUAUAGUCUAAUUACAAAACUAAUUGCACAGAUGGAGUCUAAUUCACGAGACGAAUCUAUUAAGCCUAAUUAGUCCAUGAUUUGACAAUGUGGUGUUACAGUAACCAUUUGCUAAUGAUGGAUUAAUUAGCCUCAAUAGAUUCGUCUCGCGAAUUAGACUCCAUCUGUGCAAUUAGUUUUGUAAUUAGCUCAUGUUUAGUCCUUCUAAUUAGCAUCCGAAUAUCCGAUGUGACCCUGCUAAAGUUUAGCACCUCGUAUCCAAACACUCCAAUGUGCUUUAUCUUGCUCCAAUCAUCUCCUGACUCGCUGCAUCUUUGCUUAAACCUCUUUGUGCAUUGUGACAGUGUCAAGGUAUGCAAAGAGGUCAGCCUCUCAAUGCACGGAGGCAAAGUUUUCAUCCAGUAGGCCUCUACUUUGAGCUCACGGAGAGAUGCCAUAUCUCCCAACCAUUCUGGCAAGGUUUCCAUGUCCUCACAGUUCAGUAUCUCUAGCUUCCUGAGGGAUUUCCAGCCUAGAAUGCACUUUGGCAAAGGUACAGGAUCGAUGCAACUGUCAACAGUUAAUUCUUCAAUGUCAAGCAGUUGAAGAGAAUCAGAGUCAGAAGAUAUAUUUUUGAUGUACUUGAUUUCCAUUUUGGAUGAUAAAGCAGAUGUUGAUAGCCCCAUGAUCGACUUGGUAGAAUGAUGGCCAAUUGAAUAAGAACGGAUAUUGUUUAAUUCCAGAUAUGAUAUACCUGGCACUCCAAGGGAUUGAUGGUUCGAAUCUUACAUUCAAACAACAGUCUAUCUCCACAGUAACUUCCCUACUCUUACUAUUGUAACUCUUCUGAGAUUUUUCACUGGCUGUGUGAUCAAGAUGCAUAUCGAUGAUUUGGCAUAUAGGUUCACUAUAACUUCACCAUCCCCCACAAGCAGAGACACCGGGACAGACGAGAUAUACAAGUCUUCAAGAGAUUGUAAAUAAUCUAAAUGGAGGUCACCAGAUUGAACAUUGAAAAGCUCCAAUCGUACAAGAUUUGGUAGCCAACGUAACCAGUUAGGAAAAUCACCACCAACAUAGUUCUUUAUGCAAAGCCUUUUAAGGUUUUCACGAGGCUGGAGCUCUUCUAACGCGACCUUGUUCAACACUGGCCCACUCCACUCCAAACUUAAAAAUUGGAGCUCCUCUUUUUGCGCCAAUUCAAUUAUGUUUGCGUCUGAGCUUGAUAGAUCUUCGAGAUGUUUAAUAUUAAGUUCAGUAAGCUGGUGACUUGUAGUCUUUUGUAGAAGAGCCAUGUCCUUUGAUGAACUGACGGCGAAACUAGGGCCCUGCUAUUUUACAAAAACAAAGAAAAUGAAAAAUAAAACAUUCUGCUUUAGUCAAGAUGGCAUGCAUACUAUAUAAAACCAUCUCUAGGUGCAAACAUGCAGCUUAGAGCAUCUCCAAUAGUCAUCUAAUUAAUGUUUCUAGAUAACUAGUUAAUAGGGAUAUCCCGAGUUGCUUUUACAGUCUUCUAUAACCUCAUCCCAAUCUAACUACCGUUGUUGGGAGAGUCACAGCUCCUCAUUUAUUUGGGGAGUUGGGGUGAAUUAUUUGUCGAAUAAUUAUUGUAAAAAAGGAAAGGUAAAGGGAGUGUGUUAGAGCACUAUUUUUUCACAAACUCUCCAAAUAUGGUAGUUGUAUUGGAGCACUGAAUAGUACUGGUUCGUUCAUUUACUGUUUCCUCAAACUUUCUGCUGAGAGUUCGUGCAUUGUGGUGACACUAAAUUAGCUGCUUAAUCUGCUGCAGGACAUCAAGCAGUGGGCGUAUGGCGCACCUAUCAGCUGGGUUCCUGUUGGUCAUCUUAAUUCUUGCUUGUGGUAGAGCAAACCAUGGCCGACUUAGUGAUCAGGCCCAGGGCCGGCUCUAGGGGAGCGGCAGGCCGUGCGACCGUCCGGGGCCCAUGAAGCUGCGGGCCCAAAACCAUAUAGGUAAUCAAUACAUAUAAUUUGGUUGGUGGACUUUGUUUCGGCCUUUCUAAAUGGCCCGCGUAACAACUGCGGCCUGCCUCCGUCCGUGCCAAAUCAGGCCUACCAAAUUGCUCCAUGACUAUGCUGUCCCUGAUUCUGUAUACAUAUACGCUCCUGACUCCGUGGUUGUGCUGUCGCUGAGCACCGCGUCUGGAGCGCGUCAGAGGAUAUAGGCGAGCCGCGAGCACCGUUAGGGUCAGAGGCGAGUGCUUAUUUGAAGUUCAAUCUUUGUUUUCUUUUUCGCCAAUUUCGUCAAAAAGCAAUCAUUUAAUUAAUAUUAUUUCUUUCGUGUAGUAAUUCCAUUCUUCAUCAAUUGCGUAGAAGGAGCAAUGCCUUACGACAUUGAAGGAGAAUCUUGGUAAUUCUAUCGUCAAUUGCAUAUCAGAUUCUCUUAACUAUUCCAAUGACAGUAGUAUCAGCCGAAAGUAGUUUCUCCAUUUUGAAACUAUUGAAAAAUUAUUUGAGAUCAACUAUGUCACAAGAAAGAUUGAAUGGCUUGGCUAUGUGCAAUAUUAAGAAGGAUGUUUUGGACGACAUUAAUCUUGAUACUGUUCAUGAAGACUUUGCAUCAAGAAAUAUAUCCGAAGAUGUUUUUCUACAAAGCACUAAAGCAUUAUAUUUUUAUUUGAGAUAAUCAUAAUGGUUAUUGUUUUUAGUUUUUUUGUUACACUAUUAUUAUGUUUUAUGAGAGAUAUAUAUUGCAAAAAUGAUGCGUAGCUCUCCUGAAUAUAUAUAUAUAUAUAUUGCAAAAUAAUUUUUAUUAUUCGUAUUAUAUACUUUAGUUUUGAUAUUAAAAAUAGUUCAACGGGUCCUUAUGUUUGCCCAAGGGUCUUCAAAAUUAUAGAGCCAGCCGUGAUCAGGCCAUUCAUCUUCAUGGUGGAGAAGGUGAUCGAAGGCAUGGAGCGCAAGCUGCCAUCAAUCCUGCAUGCACAUUAACAAGGAUGCGGAGGAAAGAAGAGCCUCCCGACCUGAAGCAGCAGCUUGGCUCAAAGACCUCAAGACAGUUGCCUAUGCGGUGCUGGCCGGUGGCGCGAUCCAACGCUCUUGGGCAGCGGUAGCGAUGGCUUCCUGUUCCGCGGGCAGCCACAGCAGCGGCGACGGCGCGCUCAGCGGCCUCAACCCGUGCGCGGGCCCACUAGGAUUAAAACAAUCUAACACAUCCCAAUCUUAAGGAAGUGCACCAGUAGGUUCUUUUGUAUCACUUUUGGAUAGUCAUCGAAUUGCCGAACCUUUGAGCAGCGGAUCGACCCCCGCAUGCACUCAUGUCACACCCGAUUUUAAGGACAAAAUCGAGUGCAUUAAAUACAUGUGUGCCAGGAUCAAGUUACACACAUGUACGAUAAUAGUGAAUAACAAAGAUAGUGCUAAAACGAAUAAAGAGAGUAUUAAACAUUAUUACAUGACCGAAAGUCUCAAUAAACCAUAAGCCUAAUUUAUUAUGCAGCGGAACUCCAAGGACGACGACGACUCCACAGGCAGCUGACUGAAGAAACGUACGCCUAGAACUCCUCAAAGUCGUGUAGGUACUCCUCCCAAUUAGCUUAGUCUGAACAACGGUUUUGCAAGGGUGAGUACUGUAACAACUCUACCUAAAUUAAGUACUUUUAACUCUAAACCAGUGAUAAAUCCCUAAGUUAAGAAGUGAAAUGACCUUUAUAAACCUAAGAAGCUCGUUUUGGAGUUUGAAUUAAAGCUUGAAAUUUUGUAUACAAACCUGAGUUUCUGCCCAAGUAAGAGUUGUAAAACUUUUUAAUUCCAACAACUUUUGUUAAAGUCACUUUGACUAAUUCGGAGUGGAAGGAAGUCAAAAACAUCAACCAAAGCCAGUUUUUCUAAAGGACCCUGAAAAUCUCUUAAGUCCUGAAAUUCGAGUUUUCCUCCAUCUUGCAAGCUUUCAUCUCCUGUUUUCCCUAUCUAAACUCAAGUCAGGGCCUGAAUGAAAGUUGUAGUACCUCAAGAUUGUUCCAACUUUGUUACACUGAUCCAGAUCCAAAUCGGGCCCGAACUUGUUCAAAACUCCGGUCAAAGGGAGGUAAACCAGUCAACUCACCCCUGGUGCCUUAAAAAUCCUAAGUCUGGAAUCCCAGAUUUUUGGCUAACUUUGACCGGAAAUAUCUUUGAAUCCUUUCACAAUCUAAACCAGCACCUUAAACAAAGUUUGAAGAACAAUCAGAGUUGAGCAAGUUUGUUUAAGGGAGUUUUGGAAGUUGUGUUGAAAGAUUCGGAGGAAGGAUCACUCCAAAGCUGGUCGGGCUUGUUGCCCGAAGGGAGCCUCGACGCCCGCGCGCCAGAGCACGUUCACUCGCGCGCCGCGUGCCGCGUGGCCGCCGGCCACCGGCAGCUCGCCGGCACCCUAUCCCCAGCACGACAGCGAUAGGACGAGAGCCACGGCGCCCAACCCGCGCCCGCGACAGGACGGAGCGAGCGCAGGGCUAGCCAACCGCCAGCCGCGCGCAGGUCGCCUUCCGCCUGCCACGGCUCUGCUCCGCCAACCCUGUUCCGCCCGUCCGCUGAGAAAGCUGACACGCCCCCGACGUCCCGCGCCUCCGCCCGUUCGCCCAACCCCCACGGUAGCCCUUCCGUCUCGCCCGCCCGACAGACCGGAAGCCCUAGAUGUGCGCCGCCCAAGGCCAAUCGCCGCCGAAGACCACCCGGAGCUCCGCCUCCUCUGCCCAAUGGCGUUGUCGGCCAAUGGCCGCCUCGCCUGAGCACUCGCCGCUCCCGGCCUUAUCCUUUCCCCACCGGAGCCCCGCCUCGACCCUCCGCCCCACCACGACCCUAUAAAAGAGAACCCCCUCACCGGCAAUGCCACCCCUUGCCACCGCCUGCACCUGCGCCACCGCUUUCUCCUCUGCGCCCCCGCUUUCUCCUCUGCGCUACCGCUGAGCUUCCGUGGAGCUCACCCCUUUGCGCCACCCCACACUCCGGCGAUUUCGCCGCCACCCUCUUGAGAAAGUUCCCCUCUCCGCUCCAGCCGCUUCUUCCAACCCACCAGCCGCCCGCUCCUCCGCGUGGUACUCGAGCUUGCUAGUGUCCGCAAGAAGCACCGCCGCCGCCGGAGCACCGUCGAAGCAACGCCGCCGCCGGACCACCGUCGAAGUCUCGCUGCUGCCCAAGCCUUAGCGCGUACAACUUCCCGCCCCAGCCUACUCCUGUUCGGCCCCAAGGCUUCACCGGUAGACCUGGAGGUAAGUGACCGACCCCUUGUGUUCCGUCUCGACCGACCCCUUGUGUUCAGCCUCAACCGACCCCUUUUCUUUCCGUCUCGCCCGACCCCUGUCCUUUUUGUUUCGCCCGACCCCUGUCCUUUUUCGUUUCUCCCGACCCCUUUGUUUCGGUUCGCCCGACCCCUUUUCUUUUCCUCUCGCCUGACCUUUUUCCCGUUCGCCUCGCCCGACCCUGCCAAGUUUCGCCGACCCUUUCUCCGUCUCGCCCGAGGGCUCGGCUGUAACUUUUUCUUUGACCCGAGGGUAUCGGUGAAAUAUUUUCGGGGAUUCCUCUGUGUUGAGUCUGAGGACCUCGGUACGGUUUUCCUUAAACCUGAGGGUCAGACCCUAAGUUUCCCCUAAUCCGACCCUCUCAUCCUGAUCUCCUCCAACAGAAGUUGAACUCCCCCACCUUUCCUGUAGCUUGGCUACAAGUGUCCGUGUUAAAACAUUAGUGUGUUGAAAUAACCAUCUAAAAUGUUUAACCCCUGCAUUGCAUUUCCGUGUAGAGUUGAAUCUCGCCGAUGGAACGUACGAGCUUCACCCGGCACCGGAAGAAGACCCCGCCGAGGAACUGCAUCCCUUCGAAGGAGAGCCCGAACCGGAGCAAGACCCCGAGGACCCGCAAGCUUUUCCUGAAGGCAAGCCCCGGAGCAUAAAUUCCUAUCUUGAAUUCAUGCAAUAUUAUUGAUUACUUGAUUGCGCAUUUACGUUUCGAGGAGUUGUAAUGGAACCUUAGAUGCAUAACUUAGUACCUUAUUUUUGAAUACUAGUUGCUAAGGCCGAGUAGUUGCAUUGCUUAAUAGGUUCCGGUAAAAGUCGAGUGAUCUCCUGUCACUCGCGAGUUAUAGGAGUUGAAUGUUUCAGAUAUGUCGCAACUAUAAGGACGACGGACGGGGUCAGGCUUAUGUUCGAUACUUGGUGGAUUGCCCCGUCUGUCUAAAUGAAAAUGAACUAAGGUCGAAACGUGUCGGCGUUCGUGAUCAAGUGUUUGAAAGUACUAAUCUCAUACCUAGUAUGGGAUGGGGAAGCCUAGUACCUGAUUGAAUUGGGGCGUGGCAUACCCUCCGGCUGUCCUUGGAACGUCGUUCCCAUGGUGCAUCAUGUGGGUGCAAGUGCGGUCACAGUGCAGCAAUAGGCCGGGACUGUGGAGCAUUGCAUGCCAAAGGAAGUUGGCCCUGACACGUGCCUAAGGGAUCGAUGGGGACGGCUGAUAAAUGAAGCGACCCUUCGUGGUGCGCGGAUGUCAUGAGAUUAGGUUUGCCAUGCAUGGUUAAUAAAUUCGAAUCGAUUCAUCUGCCUCUCAUAGAUUGGGACUACUUGAUCGCUAUUCUGCACUGAGUAAAGAUGGAACAUGAUGAUGAUUUUAAUCUUGAUGCUUGUUAAGUAAUUGCUUGGAAACCAUGUUUGUUUAGUAUAAGUUGCUAAUCUGGAAUGGAUAAAGAACAUAGAACAUGAGCUAAAAUGUUGAAAGUAAGGACUGACUUUAGACGCUUUUGGCAAAGAAAACCCCAGAGCCAGAAAGCCUUGCAUGUCUAGGUCUCGGUCGUGUCUUUUCGACAGGUCAGUCUUGCGGAGUACUAGUUGCUCAGCCUUGUUGUGGCUAAUCUUUUUCAGGUAAUGUCAAUAGUUUGGGUGUUGGUACCACUUGGCCGACCCAGCUUCCUCCAGGUUGGACCGUCGAGUGGGAUCCUUCCUUGGAUGGCGAAGGAAGAAAUUUUUGAUGUCAUGAACGGCUCCGUCGUGAUGUCAUGUAUCGACGUUUAGUUUUCGCUAUUUUCCUUUGACUUCGAACCAUGCAAAUUUCGAUUUGAAUUUCAGAAACUCUGAUGUAAUAAAUUGUUGAACUAUGUUGUCAUGAUGGAAUGUUGUAACCUCUGUGCUACUCACCUUCGCGUGAGCGAUGCUUCUCGAUCCUGUUUAUGUGGUUUAUCGGAGGAAAUCCGACGGUCGACCAAGUUGACUUGCUUAAAGUGCAUAAUCGCGUGUCAGACGACUUCAAUGCAUUUUAGUCAGGUUAAUUUGGGCGGUUCCGCCACAAGUACACUUAUGGUUGGUACUCAACAAGUCGUGGGGAAUAGUGUAGUGUAAGGCAAAUCAAGGUACGGCUAAGGCAUAAUUAGCAUUCGCUUUUAUUUAAGUUGGUCAAGUUUUAUUAGCAAUUAACUAAGUAUAAGUUCGUACCACUCGAAAUUAAACAUGAUCAUAAAUAAAGUAAACAGCAUAUGCAUGAAAUGACAACAAGUUAAAUCCAUCUUCCGAUAAAUAUUAUCAUGUGAGGGUCCAGGCCUCUCUUAACCGUGAGCACGGCUGAUCGAUCAGUUUUACACUCUGCAGAGGUGGCACAUCUUUACCCACAAGUCGCGUAAAAGUUCAAAAGAACUUUGGACCCAACCAUGCGGUGUUUGCAAGGCACCAUACCACACUUCUGAGGUGUGAUUGCAUAGGGACGCUACGAGGCCUUUACAAAGAUUCAUUAGUCAGUGGUAACCCGCUAAGGUUUCGAUGUCUGGCGUGCACCACCCAUCCCAGGCAAAAAUGCAACGACUCAGUCCCCCCUCUUGCCUCAUCAUGAGUAAGGUCACCCUAGACUAAGGUUUCUAAUUAUUCAGCCAAGACCAGAGCCAUUUAGUCUUGUGGUAGCACUAUUUUCCUGGGUGGUCGCUCCAUGUUACGAUUAAUAAUACAUGAUCUUAUAUUAAUGAAAGGUAUAACAGAAGUAAAGCAAGAUUAAACAUUGUUUUUAGUUAAACCACCAUGUACCAAGUAAGCGCUAAGCAUGAGCUACCCAACAAAAAGUAAACCGGUUGAUCAAGGCAAAGGUAAUUCAAUCUAGGCGAACCUUAAUUGGGACCCAUCAAUUCAAUCUUAACAUGUGCAUAGCAUAAAUGUUGAGUACGAGAAAGUAAAGGUGUAUAGGAUGAAAAGUAGUGAUCAAGGACACGACUUGCCUUCUUGGCCUUGCUCCUACUGUUCGUACUCCUCGAAGGCUUGGUCUUCAACUCCCUCGAACUGCGGGACGUCUACACGCGUCACACGAGCACAUACAAGCAAACAUGGGCAAAAAGUAAGAAACAGUACACCAAUCACAAUUAAACAGAGAAAACAAGCUUGAAAAGUUGAUCUACGCUUUAAAACGAACACGUGGAUAUAAAGAACGCGAAAAACGGAGUUAAGAUGCAAAAGAGAUGAUUAAAACAAGAUCCAGGGGCUUUUCUGUGAGAAAAACAAAACUUUUAGGGCAAAACCGCAAAAACCGAGGGCUUAUACGUAAAUACGCGUAUAAACCAAAGGUCUAACGCGCAAAAACUCCAAAACGGACGGCGGGUUGAUUUUUAGAAAACUCGGGGUUUAAACCGAAAAGCACGAGGGCAGAUCUGUGAAUAUUUUCAACGCGAUCUGGACCGCGGGUUGAUUUGCGGAAAAGGCAGGGGCUUAAGAGCAAAAUGGCGCGGUGCGGCACGGUUGACCGUUACGCGGUCUUGUUUGACUCGCUAUCGGCCGUCGGAUUUAGGUCCGACGGUCACGGUCGGCGAUGACUCGCGACGGCGACGGGAAAAGGGCAGCCAGCGGCGGUGAGCGACGGCGAGGUCGCCGGAGUAGGCCGAAACAACGCCACGGGGCUCGGUUUCGCGCGCGGAAAGCACCAGAAGAGAGCGGGGAACAUGGCGAACCCGUUUAGUGCCUUGGCGGGAGCCACGGCGCGGCGGCGCUCACCUUUUGGCGGCGGCGUGCGGCGGAGAGAGGCAGCGGCGCAAGAGCUUGCGGCAGCUAGGGUUUGGAGGGUGCUGGCACGGGUGCUCGUGGCCGGGGGAGGCGGCAGCUUAAAUAGGGGCGGACGGCUUGGAGAUAGAGGCGGCCCCGGAUUCAAACCGGUCGGGGAAUACGGCACCCACCCGGAGAUCUCGCGCGGCGGUUGCGGGCGGAGGAGAGUCUGGUCGGAGGUGGGAGACGAUGGCGGGUCCCACCUGUCGGCGGUAGCGGGCGGUAGGCGGGCCGUAGCGGCUGUGGGCUGGCGCGCGCGUUCGCGGGCCGCGGGAAAGGGGCGAGCGGAGAGCUUCGCAGGCCGGCUGGAGGUGGAGCGGUGGGCCGCACGGGCAAGGGGGUUCGCGGGCCGGCGAAGAAAGGCGGAGCGGGCCGAGCGGCUGGCACUGGGCUGCCGGCAGAGGAGGAGGCGCUAGGCCGAAAGAAAAAGAAGAAGAGAAAGGAAAGCAAGGUGCGGCCCAGGAGGAGAAGAAGAAAAAGAAAAAGAAGAGGGAAAAGGAAAAAGGUUUUGGAGAUUGAAUUUAAAUUUGGAAUUCAAAUUUUUGAUUCAAACCCAAGCAAUCAAAAUAAAUGCAGCAGCAUGAAUGCACAAUUAACUCCUAUGAUGAAUUAAUUAAAUUAAAGAAAAUGAAAUUAAAUGCCUAGAAUUUAAAUGACACCCUAAUUUGAGUAAAUUUUAAUGAAUUUGAAUUCUCUAAAAUUUUGGGUGUUACAACUCAUGAAACUAAAAGGGAAAUCCUUUUCUCAUAGCUGGAUAAUAGCGCGCGGCGACAGAAAAGCCAGCAUCGUUUCUGAUCUCAUUCACGUAUAUACAGCCAGUUGCUCGCUUCCGACCAUGCAGCUGCAUGAAGAAUAUGGACCGAAUGUUUAGUCAGUAAGCAAACACUGCCUAAAGUAAGUUUACAGAGCUACAUGCUGGGCAUUUCAGACUUGUUUAAACAGAGGUGCAAACAAAGUCGCCUCCAAGGAGGCAGUAGCACCCGCAAGCGUCACCGUCCACGCUUUCGCCCCGACCUCCAUGCUAUGCCAUGCCAGAAGCACCAUCACGUUCAGAGGUUUCACCUCUAUGUGUAACGCUGCGCUAUGGAGAGAUGACAAUCUUGGGGGGGGCGGGGGGGGGGGUACCAAUGACAUAUGGUAACAGCUUACAAUGAUGGUAGUGGAUAAAAGAAAUGGGAGCACCACAAACAAAAUCUAGAGUCUCAACAGUCAAAAUCAAACAAGAUCAAACAAUAAAAAGUUCUGAGUACCACAAGAGCACCAGGGGGGGAUCAUUUCCAAUGUGGAUGCAUCAGUGGAGAUCUCUCAACGUAUGUCACAUAAGCAGUGUGGUGUCCUCCAGGUGUCCAGGUUGGUGUGUUAAACUGCCUCCGAUCCACAGCCAUCUUAGAACACUGCAUUCCAAGUUUCCAACACUCUUCAUGGUCUCAACUCUACUUGAACAUUCUCAAUAAGCUCUAUCUUGCUCCAAUCUUCUCCUGACUCGCUGCAUCUUUGCUUAAACCCCUUUGUGCAUUGUGAUAGUGUCAAGGUAUGCAAAGAGGUCAGCCUUUCAAUGCACGGAGGCAAAGUUUUCAUCCAGUAGGUCUCUACUUUGAGCUCACGGAGAGAUGCCAUAUCUCCCAACCAUUCUGGCAAGGUUUCCAUGUUCUGACAGUUCAGUAUCUCUAGCUUCCUGAGGGAUUUCCAGCCUAGAAUGCACUUUGGCAAAGGUACAGGAUCGAUGCAACUGUCAACAGUUAAUUCUUCAAUGUCAAGCUGUUGAAGAGAAUCGGAGUCAGAAGAUAUAUUUUCGAUGUACUUGAUUUCCAUUUUGGAUGAUAAAGCAGAUGUUGAUAGCCCCAUGACUUGGUAGAAUGAUGGCCAAUGGAAUAAGAAUGGAAAUUGUUUAAUUCCAGAUAUGAUAUACCUGGCACUCCAAGGGAUUGAUGGUUCAAAUCUUACGUUCAAACAACAGUCUAUCUCUAAAUAUUGAAGUCCAGGAAAUAAUGUGCGCUGGUUGGAGGAUUCCCUGCCACUAUCACUGUGUCUUCCUCCCUGCUGCUCUCUUUGAAAUACGUUCUUAUCAUCCUUCUGCUCAAUACAAGGCAACGUCGAUGUUUUCCACAGUAACUUCCCUACUCUUCCUAAUGUAACUCUUCUGAGAUUUUUCACUGGCUGUGUGCUCAAGAUGCAUAUUGAUGAUUUGUCAUAUAGGUUCAGGUCAUUUGGCCUAUUAAUCACCGGGAAAGACGAGAUAUACAAGUCUUCAAGAGAUUGUAAAUAAUCUAGAUGGAGGUGACCAGAUUGAACAUCGAAAAGCUCCAAUCUUACAAGAUUUGGUAGCAAACGUAACCAGUUAGGAAAAUCACCACCAACAUAGUUCUUUAUGCAAAGCCUUUUAAGGUUUUCAUGAGGCUGGAGCUCUUCUAAUGCGACCUCGUUGAACACUGGCCCACUCCACUCCAAACUUAAAAAUUGGAGCUCCUCUUUUUGCGCCAAUUCAAUUAUGUUUGCUUCUGAGCUUGAUAGACCUUCGAGAUGUUUAAUAUUAAGUUCAAUAAGCUGGUGACUUGUAGUCUUUUGCAGAAUAGCCAUGUCGUCUGAUGAACUGACGGCAAAACUAGGGCCCUGCUAUUUUACAAAAACAUAGAAAAUCAAAAAUAAAACAUUCUGCUUUAGUCAAGAUGGCAUGCAUACUAUAUAAAACCAUCUCUAGGUGCAAACAUGCAGCUUAGAGCAUCUUCAAUAGUCAUCUAAUAAAUGUUUUCAGAUAAAUAGUUAAUAGGGAUAUCCCGAGUUGCUUUUGCAGUCUUCUAUAACCUCAUCCCAAUCCAACUACCGUGUUGGGAGAGUCACAGCUCCUCCUUUAUUUUGGGAGUUGGGGUGAAUUAUUUGUCGAAUAAUUAUUGGAAAAAAGGAAAGGUAAAGGGAGUGUGUUAGAGCACUAUUUUUUCACAAACUCUCCAAAUAUGGUAGUUGUAUUGGAGAAUAGGGAUCUGCUGGAGAUACUAUGUAAACCAUUGGACAAUUGAAUGCUGAUGAGGCUUAUGGAAACAGAGCCAGCCAAGGAUCCCUACCUAACUCUACCAAUCACGGGUAUGCACAGCAGAUAUGCUGGCAACAGAUCCUACCAGUAAGUUUUUUUUUCCAAAAAAAACAUAUCCUACCACGUACACAGCACAAAAAUACAAUUCUAAAAAAUUUGAUGUUCGCCUGGUAUAUCCCAAAAGUUGCAUGACUAUUUUAAUUUGGAACUUGCUUGGCUACUCCUUCCAUCCCAUAUUAUAGGUCAUUUUGGCAUUUCUAGGUUUAUGAUUUUUUGUUGUACACCUUGAUGUAUAUUAUAUCUAGAAGCUAUGAAUCUAAAAUUGUCAAAACAACCAACAAUUUGGAUAAUUUGGGAUGGAGGGAGUAUUUUAAUUUGGAGAAUCAGGUCUACUAUAAGUGCCACAAUUAAGCAAGGUAGUGGCAUAUCAAACAAUAAAUUAAAUAUUUAUGUUAGAAAGGGAUUCCAUUAAUUCAUUCAUAUAUACGAUAUUCACUCCCUAGAAUUAAUGAAAAUACAGUAACAAAUCACAUGCCUGCAUGAUAGAUUGAGCCUCUUGUUAUGCAACCGUAAUUUAUAGUAUACAUUGUAGAACAAAAAAAGUAAUAAUUAAAAACAGUGCAUAUUACCUCAUGUGCAUAUACAUGUUUGAUGGGUUUAAUCUUGUCGUAGUCCUCUCCUAAACGGCUGCAGCAUUCACGCAGUUUGUAAUUGCACUUCUUAAGAGUUAAUGUCUUCAAGGAGGUUACAUCCUUGAUGGAGUGAGGCAAACGCUGCAGUUUGGCAGAAUAAACUUCUAGAUGCUCCAGAGAUGCCAGAUCCCCCAACCAAUCUGGGAGUGCCGCAAAAUUACAACAACUGUCCAAUAUCUGCAAGCUCCUAAGGGAUGAUCUCCGGCAAGGUGAUCAGAUCACUGUCAGAUUUAAUAGUUAAAUACCACAAGUCGGUGCUGACGUAUUGGAGAAAUUCUGAAGCGUCAGAGAAGCCAAACAUAUUUGGUUCCAAUUCAAGUGUAAAAAGGUGUGAAGAUCCAACAAGUAUCACGGGUGAUAGUUCUACCUUACUGCAUGAUGCAACUAUAUGCUCUAUGUAUCCUUGAAAAGCUGAACCGAGGGUCAACGUGGAAAUAUUUCAUCUCCUUGCACCUUCUGUUCAUCAUCAUCCCAAGACAUCUCUCUAGCAGACAGCUCCAAGUUCGUGGACAGCACCUCCAAAUUCUCCAUCUUAUUAAUACAAAGUUCCCUUAAUUUCCUGAAUGGGUUCCUGCCUCCAUAAAAACUAGUAGCCACUUCUCGAAUAUUAGGCAUAUCUGAAAUGUGCAGUUCUUCAAGGUUUGCUAACUGUCCUAGUGAAGGGAGGCGUGCGCACCUUGGCUGCCCAUCAGCACUAUCUUCACAAGAUUUGGAAGAUCGAGAUUUGGAUCGCUCAUCCAGCCACAAAAUGUGGCAUCUCCAUAACCUUCUAUUUCAAGUGUUGAUAGGUUAGGAUGAGGAUGGAGUCUUUGGAGAACUGAAGAAUCAUCAGCUCUGGAGAAUUUUUUGCUCAGAUUAAGAUAUACAUUGUUAGGCCUAUCGUCUGAUCCAGAUAAACCAUUGCUGGAAUAAGAGUUUGCGUCAGCGUGCGCAGCUGGUCAUAUGUAGCCAACUCUCCAAGGCCAACUUCAUCAGCGCUAUUCACCUUCUCAAGAUUUGAAAUAAAUAGGUCUGUGAUUCCAAAGUCUGUAUUUUGACAGAGGAGAAAAUCACUUUCUUGUACUGCAAAAUACACUCCCUGUGAAGGAAGAGACAGAGUUAGACUAUUACCAAAUGCAACGAAAAUAUUUAUGCAUCCAUUCUGUUCUAGAUAAGAAUUAGAAAAUGUCCAUUGUAAAAGAGGAGUAACAAAGCACAGCCAAGAGAACUUACCUCAUUUAUCUUGAUGCAUUGAAUGUGAGGAAUAGCCUGUAGGAUUGCAGCUUUGUCUCUGUCCAAGAAAUUCCCAGGAGAUGACAAAGUUAGCUUCGCCAAACGAUCCAUGCAUCUCAAUUCAUCAAAACGGUCAAACAUCUCGAGGCAAUCAAUUUCAAGCUCAUGUACUGAUUGAAUGCCAGGAAGUUUCUGAAGAUCAUAGCUCUUACAGUUCGAUAUCUUGAGUUUUUGGAUGGUUUGUGUCAAUAUAGGGGUUUAUGACCACAGAUUAAUCUUGGAUAAAUCACUCUCGUUGAUGAAUAACUCCUUGCUGUUGGGGAUUCUUGGAUAUAGUUCCAGAUAACCGCAGUGUUCUAUCUGCAGAUAGCAAAGCGGAGGGAAUUCUUCUUCAUCAGUGUUCAUCAGUGCGGAAGAAGAUACAGGAACGUGUGUCAUCAGUGUUCUCUUUUUAGUCACUCCCAAAAAUAUUUCCAUCAUGUUCCUAAACUUUGCUUUUCCUUUUCCUCGGGAAGGAUCACCAGACUGCGCCCUGAACAUUUCAAGCCUCUUGAAUUCUUCUAAAGGAUCUAUUUCCAUGUCACGUAUCUCUUCACCAUCUUGGCAAAACCACAAGGUGCAUCUGGAUGCUAGUUUAACAAGCGACAGUCGCUUUAGGUUUCUGCAUGGUGCUAAACAUGCUUCCAUAAGUUUAGGCAUAUUACGAAUUUCAAGCUCCUCUAAGUUUGAUAGAUUUCCUAGAGUUGGAAGCUGGUCACACUCUACGAGAUCAGACAAUACCAGUUUCACCAGAUUUGGGAGUGUAGAACAUAUCUUCCUCAUCCAACUAGGAAACAUACUGUAAUUAUAGCCCUUUAUAGUGAGAUGCUUUAAAGCUGGAUGAGGCUUCAAAUUUUCUAGCACAUCCAUUGUCGUCACUUUGGGUUCCUCUGACCAUUCUAAUAAGGACCACUCCAAACUCAAAGAAGCAAGCCGAUGUCUCCUUCCCAAUUGCACCCCCUUUGCUUCCUCUGCAGACUUCACAACCUCAAGGCAUUUGAUAUUUAGUUCACUGUUUGUAGAAUCAAGGAUAUUCUGUAGAAGGAUAAUGUUGCUGCAAUCACCACUGCUGCCACUUUCUGAGACCACAAAAUCCGGUAGGGUUAGUAGGUCACUGGAGAUGCCUUCCUUUCAGAACAGUGACAUCCCUCCAACUGAAAGGUACUCAAGACGAUGCAUGUUUUUCAAUGUGUCAUGCAGCAUUUUCAGGCUCAACUCCUCACCAGAAUAAUCAGAGGAAUGCUGUGUAGAGGAGCUUGGAGCUUCAGAAUCUUUUCUUACAUCAAAUCCUGAUAAUGCUGAUAGGUUUAGGUACUCCAAAUUUACAAAUUUACCAAGAAAGCAGAUAAUUUUCAAAAUGCAAGGACAGCCAGAUAAAUUCAGAAAUCGGAGUUUAUUUAGUCUGGCACAAGAUUCAGAAAGAUCAAUAAGCCUCGCACAAUCAGAUAAAUCCAAAAUCUCCAGGUUCAGGCAGCCAUUGUUGCCCACACAAAAUUCAGGAAGUGCCUCAAGGCAAGUACAACCAGACAUAUUAAGAUAAAGAAGUCCCUUCAUUCUAUUGAAUGACAGGGUACGCAGUUGCUUAAGCUGGCAGCAGGAGGACAGAUUCAGAUGUUCCAAAUUUUUCAGUAGACUGAAAGAGUCUGGAAGCAUCUCAAGCUUUGAACAACAUGAUAAGUUCAAGAACGAAAGCUUUGGCAGCUCUCCAAAUUGUGAAGGUAGCUUUUGUAGGCUGGUACAACCUGAUAGAUCGAGGUGUUCCAAAUUUUCCAGUAGACUGAAAGAGUCUGGAAGCAUCUCAAGCUUUGAACAACAUGAUAAGUUCAAGAACGAAAGCUUUCGCAGCUCCCCAAAUCGUGAAGGUAGCUUUUGUAGUCUGGUACAUCCUGAUAGAUCAAGAUGUUCCAGGACUUGGAGUCUGUGAAUGGGACCUGGAAGUUCACUAAGAUUCGAGCAGCCAUGUAGAUCCAAAUAGUGAAGCUUCUGAAAGUCACAAAUGGAAGUGGAACUAUGGAGCUUUAAUUUUUCAGAAAAGGAGCUAUGGAGCUUUUUGAGGCUGGUAUUUUCUGAAAGAUUUAAAAACUGCAGGUGGUGCAAGUUUUGCAUAGAACUGGGUAGCUGGACAGUUUGCAUGCGUGGGAAGUCCAAUACACGCAGCCAUUUAGUUUCUGAAAAGGCACCCUUCGAAGGCUGACAUCCUGUGCAGCCACUAAAAUGAGCAGCCCUUGCUUUGAAAGGCGUAUCUUUGCAUUUUGGGUACUGACCUUUGAAAUUCAACAACAACGUGUAUCGAUAGUUGUCCUCUUUACCGAAGCUUCUUUGUUUGCCAUCACAGAUGGCAACUUCCUCAAUAGCAACUGACCUAGCAAGUUCAUGAACUAAAUCGUGCAUUUUGAAUAAUACAUUAUGCAUAUGAGGGUUAUUAAGCUUGGAGUAUCUUGCAGAAAUCUGAAAAGCAAAUUUGCAGGUCGAUUAGUAGUGCACUAGAUAUUUUUUUCAAGGACUCAACGGUAGGUCAAAAGAAAAAAAUAUAUAAAGAGCAUGCCAAUUUCACAUUUAGAAACGAGAUUGAUCAUUGCCACAUCAGCCGUCCCGCAUGGAGAUGCUAGAGCAGUCAAAGGGAGUGCAAAGGGUUUAAAAUUGCAACGAAUGAACAUUAUUUUCUCUCCAGUAGCAAUUGUGUCAAGACAACCAAGUUGACGUUUCUUCUAUCUGAAAUGAAAGAACACUGCCGAUUUAUUUAUUGCUAUAUCCAAUUUAUAGAAUGGAUAUACCAUUUAAUUGAUAUCUUUUCGUAAAAAUGAAACGCAUAAUAUGCAUCCACAUUUCAGCUUCGAAUUUUACUGGAUAGAGAUACAUGAUCUAGGCUAUUAAGUAGCGACUCAUAAAAGCUAAAUCUUGUAACCAAUGGUGGGUCAAUAAUGAUCAUUUUUGUAUAUAUGUAUCGACUGUUGUAAAAAAGUGAUUCGCUUUUCCUAUGCAGUAACCUUCUGCUCCUAAAGAAUGCCAGGAUUGUGUUUUAAUUAUUGCAAUUACUAUUCACUUAGUAACUUAACUCGCUGUCUUGGCAAUGUUGUAGAGCUUAUGCCAAAAAUACAGCUCAGCCCUUUUUGCUCAGAUUCCAUGACUUUAUGCAGAGAAAACUUGACUUAAAACAAAACUUAGGCUAUGUUACUAGUAAUUUGCAACCUCAGGGAGUUUACUUGUCAUGUUUAUUUGCUUGGUUGAUUUCAGUAAGCAUAAAACUGGCAACUUAAGAAAUAAUGUUCGUGUCGCUAUAUUUAUCUUUUAAAUAAUGUUGACUCAAAUAUUUAUAAGGUGUUAGAAUUGAGGAACCAAUACAACCAUGUCCGAAUGAUUCAUCGUAGGAUCACUCCAUGAAUUUUACACCUUGAUCAAUAUGCUUGUGCGAAAUGAAGUGGAUUAUUCAAAACUAGAAUCAAAGGAUUUAUGACUAUCUCAUUCUUCAAACCAAAGAUUAUAUUGAAUUAGUAGUAGAUAAACACCAUAUUCUGAAAUAAGAUUAAAAUACUAAUAAAUCAUGCGAGAAAUGACAGCACAACUCGAUACAAGGAAAAAAGUUAACUGUACCAAGCUUGGGUAUAUAAUAUAACUCACCGAGAUAGAGUCACUUGAAGCCUCCAGGAAUGACAUCUGACAAAGUUCUAGUAGGUAUUCCUCAGCACGAUGUGUGGUCAGAACAAAUCUCAGAGCAAUCCACUUAUGAAUCAGUUCUCUCUUCUCUAUGAUGAAGCCUUUUGGGAAGGCAGAAAAGUAUACAAAGCAAGGUCUCAGAUAAUAUGGCAUGUGGUAGUAACUAAUCUUCAAGGAUGGUAAUAUUAAAGUAGAUGUUGUUCCAGUCGUUGGAUCGCAUUCGUCUUCCCACAGGUCACUCUUCAGUGUUUCUUCCUACUUGUGCAUCGGCAUAUCUAGCAGACGAUCCCCAAGAGACUUGACUGCCAAAGGCACUCCACCGCAUUUCUUUACUAUUUUCUCCCCCAUAUGUACCUUUGCCAUUUCAGAUUCUUUAAUUCCAUUUGGAAAUGCCUUAGCUUUGAACAGCUUCCAGCAGUCAUCGUACGGCAAGGCACCCAACUUGAAUGGCAACUCACGAUUCAGCCGCUUAGCAACCUGUUCACUUCGAGUGGUCACAAUUAUCUUUCUGCCUGGUGCGCCACCUUUCAACAUCGCUUCUAUCUUUUCCAAUUGUCCUGUGUUUUCUUCCCAUAAGUCAUCUAAAACAAUAAGAUACUUCUUUCCACGGAGGAUCAUCUCCACGCGCAUCUGCACGGAGGACAGGUCAUACUGGUUACUCUGUCCAUCUACUUGGGAGAUAAUUGAUCGACCAAUCUUUUCAUCGCUAAAACUUGUGGAGACAUAAACCCAAAUCUGGAUAUCAAAAUCUCUCUUAGUUGUAUUGUCGUCAAAAACCAUUUGGGCGAGAGGUGGUUUUACCCAGACCACCAAAGCCAUAUAUAGGGAUGAUGAUGUGUUUGCAAUCUUCUUGCAGCAACUUCAUCAACUCUACCUUGUCCUUGUCCCUCCCAAGUAUACCUUCUACAAGGCAAGGGCCUGUAGCCCUUGUCUGGAUCACGUCCUGGUCGUCAGAGCUUGUGUCCACCAUCAAGUCGAACUGCCUCAGCUUUUCUAUGUCGUCCAAUCUUUGCUUCAUGGCCUUCAACUUGCUAGGCAUGUUUAGCCGCAACUUCAGAGGAAUGGAGAUCUCCUGCAAAUCCAUGUCGUGAAUUAGAAAAGGGACGAGAAAUGGAAAUGGACAUAUCGACAUCAAACACACUCGAGACCUACCGUUGUAGAUUUGUUAUUCUGAGAGCCAUCUUUAUUACUCAGGAUAUCACCUUCCAAUUCCAAUAAUAAUGUCCUCCAUGUCAUAGGCUGCUGCCUUUAGCUUCCUCAUCCAGACGCAGACGUCACCAUCUUUCAUCAGCCGCUUCUCCGCCCUAACCAUGCUAUUUUGGAUGGUAUCCACAGUAUCCUUGAGGCCUUUGAGCUCAUCACCUAGCUUCAGCUGCGAGGCGAUCGCCUCCCAGAUGGCACUACCUAGCAUGCCGCCGACCUUCUUCAAUGCGGCCGAGGCAAGAAACUCCCCUACCCCCACCAUGUGGCUGAAGGGGACGCCAAUCACACAGUGUGAUGAGUGCUUGACGUCAGGCCGGGUGAGGAACAGUCCCAAGAGAAAACUGGAGAAGACACAGCGAGAAAUUGUCAGAGUCUCUCUGUUUUUGACCUGAAAAUCACAACCCUUGCAGCAAACUCUGUAUCAAGGACAGGCAGGAAAUAUUUACAAGCAAGGAGGAAAAGGGCAAAUAUUUCAGUCAGAAUUGAGACAAAUAAUAGCACCCAAGGUGCGCUUUAGAUCGCACUCUGUUUCAAUUAAACUGACUCGAGAUGGAAACCCCAAUUCGGAUGCGAGGUGGAAGGAAAGAAAGGUGAUUAGUUCUCAGCUUUUACCGUGAGGGUGGUGUGUUGUGUCCAGCACCCGAUGGGAUGGCAGGUAACUAAGGCCCCGUUUGGGAGGGCUUCAGCUUCGGCUUCUCUACUGGCCGAAGCUUGAGCCCUACCAAAUGACGAGAUGGCGAAAGGCUUCGGCGGAGAAGCUCCGCGAAUCGCUCUGACUGAAGCUGAUUGAGGGAGCGGGAGCUAAAAAAAAUUGGCUCCCCGCGGCUUCUCGCGUCGUUGGACACCCUUGUGCUUCGAUGGGGCCCGCGGGUGGAGGUGGCUGGCGGUGGGCGCAGACGAGGCAUGAGGAUGGCGGCGCGGGAGCAGAAGUGGCCGGCUGCGGACAAGCCGCGACAGAGGACGGCCCAGGACGACCGGCGGCGGUGGGCACGGGGCGGAGGACGUCCGGCGGCGGCGGGCGCGGGGCAGAGGUGGCCGGCGGCGCGCGCUGGGGCGUGGGCGCGUGAAAAGGGGAGGCGGGGGCGCUAGGGACGUAUCUCAGAUGGCAGCGGUGAGAUUCAGCCGGGAGAAGGAGGCCGGGUCAGAUCUUUCACCGGGUGAGAGAGGGGCGCGGCGGAUGGAACGGUCGGUGGUGGUGGAUGGAACGGCGCGUCAGUGGAUGGAACAACGCGUCAGGGUGCCUGGGAAUCAGGGGGUGAGGAGGUGACGAUAGGGUUCGGGGCGCGAUCGAUCCUACCUCAACGUAUGCGUAAGUAGAAGAAUGCAGUGGCGAGAAAUGCGUACGCGAUGGAGAGGGCUAGAUCCAGAAGUAGCAAGUUGCCGAUUCGUAGAAGCGGAAUAAUAAGCUAGUGAUGAAACAAUGCGUUAUUAGCUCGCGUUACGUUGUUUAGGUCCAGAGAGGAGCAGCAAACUCCAUAGCUUAUAGUUUUAAUUUCUCAUUGUUUAUUGCGGCCGGUCUUUUGACAGUCUAGGGACACAGUCGUCGUAGAUCUCGGGAGCCCUGGUGGAAAACAGAUCAGCUUGCGGUUGUUUAUGUAGAGUCUCUCGAGACAAGGCAUGCAUGGCUAUACUCCCACUCACCAAGCCCAAACAGUGCCAGCUCUACUAGUUUAGUUAAUAAUGUUUUAAGUGACUUUUGCCUUUGCAGAAUAGCCCAUUCUACUACGGAGAGGCGACGAACAAGCUGACCAUGUACGUAGCUGCCUGCUUGUCGUCGACCACCACCGCAGAUUCUUCUCUUGCCAUGCAUGUACUCAGCAAAGGAGCGGACCACAUCGUCGUGCAUCUCCAGUUAUCCAGUUGCUCAGGCAGUCCAGCUACUGACCAUGCAGGACUUGUCAAAACAACAUUCCACUCACGCUCGCCUUGCGUAUCUUGUGCUUAAGAGCCCUCCAAUCGCUUUAAUUGCAAGUGGUAAUUAUGCCUUCACACUUCUCAAGAAUUUCCAUCCCAACGUUUUUUAGGCGGUCAGUGCCGACUACCUGCCAACAGUUAAUUAUUUAUUGGAUUAUUAUUUCUGACUACAGUAAGGUCGUCGCGGCACUACUUGCUUAAGUACAUUUUCUUACGUUCCUGUUGUAAAAAACAAUUGGUCAUCAUUUUUUUCAUCCCUUGCACAAAGCAUGAACAGACGAUCCAAUUUCAAAUGGGCUUUACAAGGAUUUUGCAUAAACCGCCACAAAAGUUGUAACGAUCUUACGUAAAUCCUGCAUUCCAAAUGGGGCCUAAACAUUUCAUUUGGGACCUUGGAAUGCAGACUAGAUUGUGUUCCAGUAGCUUGUAUCGUCUUUCAUAAUCACGUUGCCUUUUGUUUUAAAAGCAACAAUUUCAACUAAUAAUGCCAUAAGAUCAAAUUUGUCUACUCCAUCUCAUUUCAAAUAUAAUUCAGUCGAGCUUGUGCACAAGAAUUCAUAAGGUAGGUGGUGAAGUGACACUACUUGCUUAAGUACAUUUUCGGGCAAAAAAGAUUUGGCUACGUUCCUGUUGUAAAAUAAAACAAUUGGUUCACCCUCAGCAUCAGUUCAACAAUGGCCGACUCAUCAAACUCGGACGUCAUCUUCUGUAUAGAACUUGAACUUGAACCCGGACUCAACAGUUAGCAUCCUCGGCUCCGGAUUGAACUUGAACUCGAACCUGUCUGCCUCCUUGUGGAUGCCAUCAAGCCUCUGGUUGACGUCCCUGAUGCUGCUGCCUAUCUCGUGGGCGAACACGGGUUACGCAGGCAGAAGAGCAAUCGCUGGAAGAAAUCCUGCAUCUUUUCUAUGCUCCUGCACGUGAGGGUGAAGAUGGGGUUCCGUAGGCACAUCAACCUGCACUCAUCAGCCUUGAGUUGGCACAGGUCUAGGAUGUCUGUGUGGCAUCGUACAUGGCGUCCUUGAGCUUCCUCACCCAUCUUUGCACACUCUUGUCAGUGACGCGCACCUCCUCUCUGCAUCCGCGAGGAAAGCUUUGAGGCAUCCGGGAUGGCGGCCAUGGCUCCAGAGUACGAUCUAGCUAGUACACAAUACAUGAUCCCUCCGUUUCAGUGGGAUGAGCUCAACCGGAUCUCAAAGGAAUAUACUAUAAGGGUUGGGAUUCAACUCACACUCCUUUGCAACCAGAUAUGGGUUGAAGCGGGUCGAACCCAUCCUAACCCACUUUGACUCCAGAACCAAACACAUGAAAAAAGAUUGCACGAGGAAAAAGAAGGAAAGAGAAAUCGGCGACUCGUAGCAGGGAUGACUGUACGUUGAUUUGGUUGGUUCGGAGCUAAUGUCUUAGAAGAAAUAUCUCUGUAGGAUAAAGGAGAGAAAGUAUUUUUAUUGUGUCACGGCAGGAAUAGAGCAUUCGUCUAACGCGUUUGUCGUUGUCAAGAUUAGCGGAUCAAGACUUAGACUAGUAAAUUUCUUUUAUGCGCGUAAGGCUUCGGAUGGUGGCGUGGGAGACACGGGGUUUAGACUGGUUCGGGCAAGGGAAUGCCCUACGUCCAGUAUCGGGAGCUGCUCGUGUUGCCCACGCGGGGUUCUGUAGUAGGGGUUACAGGAGUGCGAGAGAGGGAGCUGAUCCCAGGUCUCUUGGGUGUACACUGAUGCUCUAGGUGGGUAUGAGUGUGUUUUGUGGCUUGGAGAACCUCCUUUGUCUCAGGCCCCCGGUUCUCCUUUUAUAGCGCAAGGAGGCCACCAAGGUUACAGGCGAGACCGGGUGUAUGGAGAAGUAAAAGAAAUAAACAAAGCUAGGUAAAAUACAACACAAGGGGAGGGACCAAGUCCCCAGGCCACCGGCAUCCUCGCCGGCCUUCGGCUCCUGCCGGCGCGUCUGCCGGAGGAGGGCGGCCGCCGUCACGUCCCGUCGAUGGUCUCCUCGGCGGCUGUCGCCGCCAGGCGUGAUGAUGGUGUUUUGUUGUGGCACCUGUGUCCGUUGGGGCAUUAACGAGUCAAAGUUAAUGCCCUCUCACCGUGUUAUCUUGUCUAAGUUUAAUUACAUAGUCAUGAAAUUGAUUAGAUUUUGUUAACUUAAUUGGCUUGUAAGCGGUAGGCAAGAUGUCUUUGGUGAUUGUGCUCUAGUCUUUUAUGUUGAUAGAUUGAGGUUAAUUCCCUCUCAUUCGUGUUGCCUUGUCUAAGUUCAAUACACUUAUCAAGACAAUUAUUAAGAUCUAUUAAUGUAUCUAGGUUGCGUAUAGUCAGCAUCGGCUGGUCCUUGUUGUUAUGUUCUAAUCUUUUAACUUAGUAGAUUGAUGCCAAUACCCUCUCAUUCUUGUUACCUUGUAUGAGUUCAAUACACUUGUCAAGAUAUUGGCUAGAUCUGUUAGCUUAUCUGAUAAGCAUGUGGUUAACAAGGACUCCCCUUUAUGGUUGUUGCGUUACAAUGCUUUGUCUUAGCGCGUCGGCUGAGAUAGCCGAUGGCACAUGCCAUUAAUGUUUUAUUUAUUUACACUGCAUGCUUACAUUAAAUAUCUAUCUGUCAUAGUGUUUAUUCCAAGAAUGCCUACCCAUGAGUUCGAAAGGCUUCGUCGCCGAUCGGCAAUGUUUACCUUGUCAAUUUUCAGGUCAAAUUGACUGACAGGCCUUGCACCAUUCGCGAGCUGAUUUGGAGCCUGCACUGGAGGUAAGCAGAUCUCCCAGAUCAUCCGUGUUGUUCAACGCAGAAGCCUGAAGUCCGGAUUUUGCAUCAACAGGUAUAGAGAAACAAAAGGAUCUAAGGAAAUAAAACAAAAGAAAAUUAAAGGGUAUUGAGCUACGCAGACAUAGCCAGAAUCAAAGAGGGUUUGGCUCUGAGCAACAGUAAGGAGAAUUCAGACAUAAAUUUUCUUUUACAAGCUUCGAUUAUAGGAUCAAUGUUACUGAAAAUCCGUUCGUUUCUAGUGGACCAUAUGCUCCAUAACAUUAAAAUGAUGACCUCCAUGAAGAACUGGACUUGAAGCUUGUCUUUGAUGAGCUUGAAAAUUUGAAGGAGGGGCCUUGUUGUUAUGACUGACACCCCUAUAGAGGCCCGUCAAGCCUUGGUAAAGUUACAUCUUAAGAACAUAUGGGCAACCAUUUCUAGCUUUUGAAGGAUUCACAAGUCACAAGUAUAAGAGUCUAGGAUCAUGUUUUUUCAUCUAAGAAACUCUCUUGUGCUUAAACGGUCCUUGAGACUAACCAGAAGAAUACCUCGUGUUUCAUUUGGCAUUUUGAACGUUUUGAUGUCCAAUGAUAACGGGAAGCGGCAAGACGGUGAUGUCUUGCAGUGUAGCAUUGUCAUUAGUUGACGGCCAAGAGCAGAAAAAAUUAUGAGAGAAGGAAUGAUAAUGAUUUAGCCAAGGUUGAGUGCCGAUGUGAUAUACAACAAGGGAGAACUAGGAAAUCGAUGUUUGUCAUGCACAUCCAUCCGUAGUAAGCUGAAUGAAGUGGUUGACUAGAGAGAAUGAUGUGCCCAGUAAGUGAUGCAUAUUCCAUGACCACGGUAUAGCUGGCAAAGAUCACAAAGGAGAACUCUAUCUUACUAUUACUAAUUGGAGGCUCCUUUUGAAGCCUCCAGGUGAAGCCACCUAGGAUUACUAGGUGGACACUCUAAAAAAAGAGAGAAAUCCUAGAAAUUCUCACAAAAAAGCAAAACAUCCAACCAUCAAUCUAUAGCUUCAAAUCAUCAUAGCCAUUGGAUCUAUUAUAUUUUCUAAAAAAUUACCCACCUAUGCCAUUAUGAAAAUAGUCUAAAGUAACCCCCUAAAUCUAUAUAUAAAUUACCCACCCCACCUCUGCCAUUAUAGAAAAUAAACUAAAGUAACCCCUAAUCUUAAUCAAAAUUACCCACUUAUGCCAUUGUAAAAAAUAUUUAAAAUAACCCCCUAAUUUGCGACUGAAUUGCCUACCACUAUUACUUAAAAAACUUAAAGUAACCCCUUAAAUUUGCAUCUAUAUUACCCACACAUGCUAUUAUUAAAAAUAACAUGAGGUAAUAACCCUACGUAAUGUACAACAAUAUAUGAUUCUAAAUUAUCUAUAUCUUGCACUAUUGGUAUACAAUAUAAUAAUUAAGAUCUAUACGUAUGAUGUGUGUCACCAUUUAUAAUUAAAGAUAUAAAAUGAUGGGAAUAUAGAUUUCUAUGCUAAAUUAAAGAUAUAAAGUGAUUGCAUAGAGUAAUUAUUAAUUAAAAAUUAAUCAAAACUGAAUAAAGAUAGGUACAUGUAUUAUGUUGAAGUAUUGAAAAAAUAAGAGAGUAGUAGGUAAACAAUUUUGAUCAUUAGCUAAGAGUUUAACUUCUAAAUAAUUUUCAAAUACAAUAGCUUCUAAAAAUAUUAGUCCGUGCGGGAGCACGGGUUGAUGGACUAGUAUGUAAAAUAAUAUGGGAACAUUUAUUUAUGGGGCUACAACCACCGGAUAUUGGUGAUCAAAGUAAAGAAAGGAGAUUGUCACACCCGGUUUUAAGGACAAAACCAAGUGCUACCUAUAUGUAUGCCAGGAUCAAGUUUCAUACAUAUAGUGACAUCAUAAGUGAAUAACAGCAACAGUAUCACGUAAAAAGAUACAAAUAAAGACUUACGAGACCAUCAGAGAUACACAGCUUAAAUACUGAAAACGGAGACUCCAAACUUCACAGGCAAUCGACUGGGGGUUGCGUACGCCUAGAACUCAGCAUCAUCUUCGGAACAUUUCACACACCUUCUUCUUCUGAGCAGCAGUAAGCAAGGGUGAGUACACUUAUGGUUGGUACUCAGCAAGGCCACAAGAAAUAACCAGAAUAACGAUUUGAGUCCAUCUUCAAGUUUAAUUAAUCAUGUGAGGGUCCAGGCCGCUCUUAACCGUGAGCACGGCUGAUCGAUCAGUUUUACACUCUGCAGAGGUGGCACAUCUUUACCCACAAGUCGCGUAAAAGUUCAAGGAACUUUGGACCCAACCAUGCGGUGCUAGCUAGGCACCAUACCACACUUCCGAGGUGUGAUUGCAUAGGGACGCUACGAGGCCUUUACAAAGAUUCGCUAGCAAUGUGGUAACCUGCUAAGGUUUCAGGUCGAAGCAGAACAUAGCAGUCCCCUAGUUGGUAUAGUGUCUUAGCAAAGCCCACUUCCCCCAAGAGCGAGUGCUAUAUCCCAUCAACGCCUCCCCUCUUGCCCUUUCGGUAAGAUCACCCCAGACUAGAGUUUCUAAUUAUUCAGCCAAGACCAGAGCCAUUUAGUCUUGUGGUAGCACUGUUUUCCUGGGUGGUUCUCCAUGUUCCGAUAACAUAAUCAUGAUAUUAUUAACAAAGCAUAGGUAGAAGGAUGGUUAGGGACACUUGCCUUUCUCCAACAGAAAGUUACUCUUACUGCUUUUCAGCUCUUGCUCUCUUGAAGCUCUUACUCUUCAAAACUUCCGAAUAGGGAUCCUUCUACUCAGAGCAAACAUCGGCACAAACAUGCAAGCAACAAACAAGUACAACUAAGAACAAUACACCAAAAUAAAAGGAAAGCUUUAAAAGAGCGUACUAAACGACAAGGCUCGAUCUAAGGUCACGCGAAUGUAAGGAACGCUUAAAACGGAACUAUGGUUGAAAAGAUAAAGCUAUCGAGCAUUUUAAAUUAUAAAAGAAAGAUGAGAGCUACAAGCUUCAUUUAUUUUAGUUGAGAAAAACAAUGUAAAGAUAUUUCACAGAAAUAUCCUUAGUUAGAAUUAAUCAAGUCAUAUUUAUAUUUUCAUAAGAAAAGACGGUGUAAAGCUUAGUCCAAUUUUAUUUAUAAAUAUUUAAGUAUAAUUUAUGCAAUUUAAACAUUUAAUAAAAAAAAUACAUGUAGACAUCUAAGCGUAUAGCUUUACAUUUCGACUUCAACUAAGUAGAUUAAAUUAAAAACAUAUUUAUAUUUAUAUUAGCCAAAUUAAUAUUUAAUUAUGAAAACUCGAGAUAUAACCUAUAUAUAUUUUAUUUAGAAAAAAAAUUAAAUAAACAUUAAUCAAAUUGAAUUUAAUUUAUGAAACACCAAGGUAUAACUCUAAGUGGCUUUUAAUUGAAAGAAUUAUUUGGACAGGCAUUAAUCAAUUUAAUAUAAAAUAUAUUUUCAAAAACAUGUGUGAAGGAAAACUUUACCACUAACGUGUAAUUUACAUCAUUAUGAAUCUAAUGCAACUUGAACGGACAAAAACGGAAUUAAAACGUAGAAUCUAUGGUUUAAACAAGGUUGUAGGGGUCUAAACAUAAUUAACCGUAUACUUGGAGGGUUAGCUGAGAAGAUUACCAAGACUCAGAGAAUAGUCACUGCGAAUAGAUGGAUCUUCGGGGUUAGAUCUGCAAAAGAGGAUGGCUUGGAUCAGAUUGCAAGGAACUGAAAGUUACAGGGGGUUUUCUACAAGGUUUGAAAGACACAAGAAAUAUGAACAAAAAUUAACAGAUUUUCCAGGGGCUAGAUCGAAAAGCAGCGCUUCAUCUUCUUCCUCACGCCAGGAGCAUGGUGCAGCUCCUGGCCGGCGGCCUGCCGGCGUUCUGGUGCGGCGGACGCCCGGGCGGGUGGUGCAGCGCGAUGCGCAGGGCAAGGAGGCGAUGGUGCGCGUGCAGGCAAUGGCACAAGCGAGCCGGAGGUGCUGGGCGAGCAGGAUGAACGGACCAGGCGUGCUGGCCCAAGUUGCGUACAGAAACACAGAAACAGGAGGGAAAGAGAGAAGGAGGGGGUAGCCGGAAACGAAAUCCGAUCUCGCGCAUGAACGGCAAAAUGGAACGAUAUUGAUGAGACGAACAAGAUGGUGUGCUCACCUUCGGCCAGAGACGAACAAUGGCGGCGGAAAAGCUCGCCGGAGUUGGGGAAGACGACGGAGCCGACAUCGGAUUCAUGCAAUUCACCACACCACGGCGUAGAGCUCGAAGAGAGGAACUCCAUGGUGGUGUCGGUUUUCGCCGGAAGUCCACGGUUUCGCCGGAAAAGCUCGCCGGAGUUUGACGAAGACCGAACUUUGACUUCACAUCUACGGAGUUAGGAGAUGCAACUCGUGAAAAGGUUUGCAGAUCUGAAAUCCUCGCGUCGAGACGAACGCGGUGAUAUAUAUAUAGGCCACACUCGGAAAAAGAUAUUUUCGAGUUGACUUUUUAUUUUCGGAAUUUCUGAUUUUAUUUAUCUGCGCGAAAACAAUUCCAGAAAUAGCUGGACUCGUUUUCUAAAGCGAGAAAAAUACCUAGAAAAUUCCGAAAAAUCUGAGAUAAAUCUCAGAGAUGGAUUGGGAUACAAAGAAUCCAAAUAAAAUACUUGGAGCUCGUGAAAAGGAUUCUAAAGCCUUCCAAAAAUUGGAUUUAGCUCUAGGAAAAGGAGAAUAAUUUUCAGAAAAAGAUGGAAAAAAUCCUCACAAGGGUCUGGGCAACGUCUAAACGCAUUUUUCAAACUUUUACACUCAAGAAACACCAAGAUGCAGUGACAUGAAUGCACAGACAUAGAACAACAUUAUUUAAUUUAGAAAAGCAAACAAUUAGUUUCCUAUACUAAAUUUCCUGUAAAGAAAAAUAAAUGUUGGGAAAAUUUUAAAAUGAUGAGAAAAUUAUUGUUUAUUUAUUCUUUUUAUUCACAUCCUGAAAUUUGGAAAUUUCAGGGUGUGACAGAGAUGAUUACUUCUGGUGCUAUACAUUGAAUCACUAACCUUAAUCAUGCAUUGUACCUCAAACUCUCAAGCAAAAAUUUACAUCACCAGCCAAAAUAAAUGUCAUAUUCAUGUUAAAUAUAUAUAUAUAUAUAUAUAUAUAUUAUUGUCAGUACGCACCAAAAAGUGUGUGUGUGUGUGUAAAAGGUACUCCCUUUUCUCUCCUAUCAUGUUCAAAAAAUACAGAAUAUAAUGAUGGAAAAAAGCAUAGACGACACUUUGGUCUGGGCCAUUAGGACAAAAACAAUUACAAGGAUAUGACUAAACAAAACUAUUUGCAUCCAUUUAUUUAUAAAUAAACAUCCAAAAGUAGGUUAAAAAAUAGUACCCACCCUAUUUGUGCGGGCCACAUUGCUAGUUUGACUCACAAGACUGAUCAUUUAUAGCAUGGGGAGAUGGAAAGGGAGAAGAACACAGCGCUUUUAUAUUCCCCAGCAUGCAGCUGGCAAGAUUGUGGAUGAGCAUGACCAUCACGAGCUGGUUAAUAGCCAUGGGAUCGACGACGAACCUGGUUCCUCCAGCCUCAAAAUGGGUUUUACGAUUUCUCCGGACCAUUUGGCAAGCUCGCUCUCCAAGUGUUGCUUGAGGCCGUCAUCAUAGGGACUGCUAAGCCAGACUUCCACCAGACCUUUUAUCUUCUGUAGGCCAGAGAACCGCAGUGCUGACACACACCUGCAGCGAAUCCUCAGCACCUUAAGAUAAAAGUCAUCGUGAAACGUUAUUGUAGCUGGCAACCUGGCGUCAUAAGAGAUCUCGAGGAAGGAUAAGAUGACAGGAUUUUGUCUACCAAAAUGGAGGUCAUGAAACUCUGACAAAAAAAGACGUGUAUUCUCCGGCCAACCAGGACUGUCAACGAGAUCUUGCUGCAACAUAAUCAUCUGUAAACUCAAUUUUGUGAGAUUCUUAAGCUUUUUGGUCCAUACUGGUAACUUGCUUACCAGCCCGUAUAACUUAAGACUCCGUAGGUUCACUAGAUGUUCGAAAGAGAUGCCGUCCAUGGUGCCAGCUUCAUCGUCCUCAUCGACCUGCAUUCUCAAUGACAACGAUUCCAGAUGGGCAAGACCUGAGAUGGCUGAAAAAAGCUUCCAGAUGUUGUCCCGGUUAAUGCCUGACACUCCAAGUUUGUGCAACUGAGUAAGCUUCUUGAGCUCCUCUAGAAUGGCGUCCCCUUUUCCAGUGCCAAUAUCAACGUCACCCAGCGUGUGCAAGUUAGAAAGUUUCCCAAUACCUCUGGGCACCUUCACGCAAUUAUGAGAGCCAUCGUCGAGAUGGUGGUAUCUGCUCAACUUGGACAACAAGCAGGACCCCAGCUGAGUAGCACAUGGCCAGCUCAUUGGCGUUGCGGUUAGUGAUGGGUUCUCUGCUGCUUCUGUAGCUUGAUGAUGCUUGGUGGUACCAGCACGAAUGUACUGCAGUUUCUCCAGCUUGAUGAUGCUCUCUGGUAGCUUCAUCACAGAUGUUUCCCUGAUAUCCAGAGUUUGGAGGUGCUUCAGAUCGCCCAGGGAAUCUGGCAGAUGAGUGAUUUCUCGGCACCUUCUCAGGGAAAGGAACUUCAAGCAGGGCAGCAGCUUCACCAUCUGCUCGACGUCACCAUUUGUUACACCUGAAGACACGUCCUCCAGAUCAAGCACACGGAGCAGCCUCAUCUUUUCAGAGAUGAAGAACGAUUUCCACUCACCAAACACUGUCAAAGAUCGCAGCCGGGAAAAGUCAAUGCUCUUAAACACAUUUCUGUCUCUGUCCCAGCUUCGAUCUAUGGCAAGGUGACGUCCCGUGCGAUGGAAGUUCUUUUCGCAAUGGCCCUCUAGUGCAAAGACAAGAUUAUCUUCCAUCGACUGUGAUAUGAUGUAUUCACGGAAGAAACCAUUAACUUGGCACAAUGGCAUCCUCUUGGAUUGCUGAACUGAUGCUGCUGUUGUUUCUGUUGUUCGUGGCACCUGGACCAUGCUUAGACUGACGAGCUUGGAAAAGGAUAUCUCCCCGUUUUUCUCUGCGGUGUUUUCUUUACUGUCUCUAGAGUAUCCCUCCGCGAUCCACCGUCUCACCAAACGCCUCCGCCGGAUCGUGUGGUUCAGAGGGAAGAUUGACAGGUAGAAUAUACAUGGCUUGAGGAUAUCUGGGCAGGAACGGAAGUAGGAAAGCAACCAGGCAAACAGAUCUUCUAGGCUUGGUUUGUCCUUCAACGCAGACACAAGGUUAUCUUUUCUGAGAAAAUCCCAAAAGAAAUUGCGUCGCGAUCAUCACCAGCUAUAGCGCAUAUAACUUUGGGAAGUCCACCACACUUGUGCAAGAUUUGCAUUUUGUCCUCGGUCCCUUGUCUCUGAAGGUUAUAUCUCUGAGAAACAUAUUGUCCAAAUGAUAUAUAUAUAUAUAUAUAUAUAUAUGAAUAAAUUUAUUUAUUACCAAAAAAAGAUAACCAUAACGAUGGCAUAAAAAAGAGUGUAAAAUUUCUCUUAAAAAAAAACCAAAAACAUCCCGCCCUGAGAUAUUAUGCAGCUACCAUGCAAAUUUGGCAUGUAUAGAUUACUGCAUACUACAAGGUCAGUCUUGAAUUGGAUUUUGAAAAUAGACUAUUUGCUGGAUUAGGUACAUUUGUUAGUUACACCUUCCAAUAAAAAUGGACUAUUAAUUUGACGCAAUACAUUUAUGAGACAAACCUUUUUCAAGAUAAAUGCUAAAGUUAACUGUUGAAUCUAGCCGUGCCCUACAAAUGCACGGGCCACCCCACUUGUUAUUUCUAAAUGAUAUAAGUUUGAUGCUGACAUUGUGCGUUUUUGUUGAUGUCUAAGCACAUGGACAACAUUGUAAGUAAUAUGAUUUAAUUAGGAUAAAUAAGCUGUGAUGUGGUCUAAGACGAAGAGGGAACAUAUGUUGUUAUGACAAGUAUCAAGUCGUUCUCCAGAGUCCAAAAAGUAAAAUAUGACCUUCAUUCCUACCUUGAUCCCAAAUAUCAGCCUAUUUCAAUUAUGUAUAAGAAUUUAGGUGGUCUACCCAUCACUUAUUGUUGCAAACAGUAAGGUAGUUGGAAUGUCUAUUUCAUUCAAUAAGCACAACUAUAUAGGGGCAAAAUAGGAAAGGGUGGGGUCAAAUAGAGCUGCCACGAUGUUUGCUGCUGGACAUGUAAAUAUGGCAUAUAUAAGAUGCCAUGCAAGAACGUUUAGUCUACAUGACAGUGACUAAACGAAGAGAGAGAGCAAAACUAUCUCUUCACCAAGAAAUGGAUUUGGCACAUGAUAUGAUGACCAGCACAAUUGACAAUGUUAUAUAAACAAUGCUCUACCAUUGUAUAUCUCGUCUAUGUGUCAUCAUUAAUUAGUAUAUAAUUGUUGAGAAACGAUGACAUAAUAAAAAAAUCUCAUUAUAUGAGCUAUUUAUAUUACUGUCUUUAUGUGACAUGACAAAAACUUUUAGAUGGUUGUUGUCUAACGGUUGUACAUGCCCUAAUUGUUGAGGUAAUAGAUAUGCUAGAUGGACUUCUAUUGGGGAUAAUAUAGUUCUCCAUUUUUAUUAAAGAUUUUCUUGGUUUAGAAAGUGCUUGCAUGAAGCUAACUAAACAAGGAAUUUUGUGCAUAAGAUGUUAAAUCUAAUUCAAAGAUGGAACUCAUUGGUAUACUGAAGGAAUUAUUAGAAUUGCGGAAUGCUUAUUGCGAGUAAACGGACCUCUGCGAUGAGUUCAAAGGCGCUGUCAACUCCGAGACCUUUGACAUUCCACACAUUCUUGCUGUUUGUUGCGCAGUAUUGUGCGACACAUUCUUCAUUGGUAAUGACAAAUAUAUCCAAGCCGAAUUUUUUGGUUCCUAGUUUCAAGGCAGCUUCUAUCAUGUCCCAUUCUUCUGUAGAUUGCAGACCGUCGAUAACAAUUGUGCAUCCAAAUUGUUCAUGUAGAUAUUCACGGCACUCUUGAAUUAGGUCUUUCAUCGUUGACAUCUGGCGGUCAUGGAGAUAUCCAGGAUUCAAAUCCAAAAGUAAGCGCCAUGACAAGUCCAUCAAAUCGAAUGGAUGGGAUACAUUCACCCAACCGAACUUGAUAUAAGGAUCUUCAAUCCGCAUCUCGUAGCAGAGAUGUUUGACAAGAAAUGAUUUGCCAACACCAGACAUCCCCCACACAGAGGACACAGGCCCAGUACGACGAGACCUGCGCAUAGAGAAACAAAGUAAAUCCGCCUCUUGGCCAACAAGUGGAUGUUUGUCCAGCCAUUCACGAGCAGUUUCCCGCAAGUCCGCCACGGUUUGCUCAACUUUUCCGGGCGCAUCCUGCAAAGAAUUGGAAAGAGCAUUGUCAAUUGGGUUUAUUUAUUGUGUCAAAAUUACAUCCUUGUAGAAGACAACAUACAUGCUCCGAGUGAAGUAAAAUGCAUCCAACAAAGACAAACAUACACGCGUGCAGUAUUAUGCUUUAUUUGUAGCAUCCAUGCAGCAAAAGGUUAAGAAGCAUGAAUCAGUUUUAUAUCACCUGGGCAAAAUGAUCUGAGUAUUCAAUAACACACUUUGACUAUCAAUAUAUAUCAUAUAUUAUAAUACUCAUGACCAUAAAAUUGGCAUCAUAUGAAAGUGCUUUCAAAUUGGAAUGAUAUGAUAAAAGUUUGUACGGUAUAAAAUUUACAAAUCCUUGAUAAUCCAUUGAUACCAUGUUGUAUAGUUAGAAAAUUUGAAUGUUGGAUCUUCGAAACACCCAGUGUUCGAUAGGCACAUCCUUCUAGAUAAACCAUUCUUUACUUUAGAGGUCAAAUCAAAAUGUUGGAUAAUUCUGCGAUCCACAAAUUAAUCACCUAUGUACAACCAUGCCAUAUACUACACGAUGCUAACCGCAAUUUGUGGUUGCCUGAACACUUGCGUCUCAGUCCCACAGACCAUCCGUUGCUUCCACAGUUUAACCUAGAGUAAUCACCGCCAUCCGCAGCUUGUUCAGUACCCCUUUCAUAGUUUUUUCUUUUGCGGAAUUCAUAGUUCUUCCUCGUGAUCCUAUAAUUUAACUGUUUUGAAUUUCUCAACCCCUAUGCAUCAACUAUUUACAAACGCAAAAUGAUGAAAAAUAAUAAUGGCAUAAUUGGCAUGUAAACUAAGUUUUGUAGAAUUACAUUAUGAAGCACAAGUCAGGAAUGUGAUAACAGUCAAAUACGUGCAUUGCAGACCACGUUGAUGCAAAAAUGUAAUGGAAGUAGAAGAGCGAGUAUAUCAUUUUAUUGGAAAUAAUUGAGCAUACCUCCUCGACAAGGGCAUAGACAGAGUGAUGAGCCGAGAUUUUUUCAAGCUCCAAUAGUCGGUGUGGAUGCCUGACACAAAGGCUUGCAACUUCAAACUGAUGCGUGCUGACGAUGAUGCAGCUGCCGUUCUUGUUGUCUGGCAGGUAAGCCCUUACCGCCUCCCAGUCAUCCAUGGUGGUCACGUCUUCAAGGACAACAAGGUAAUUUUGACGGCACAUUUGCUUCAUGAAUUCGUUGAUCAGAACGCCUUCUGUGGCCACCGUCAUCUUCACAACAAAAUCUACGGUAGCGCUUUCUUGUGGACUAUAGCUUCUGCAAAAUUGGGCCACCAAGCGCCUGAUAAAUUCCCGGGCAUUGAAAGGAUGCAUCAGCUUCACCCAGGCGCGGCAUCUGAAGUUGGUGCAGAUUUGUGUGUCUUCAUAGGCCUUCUUGAUGACGGACGCCAUCCCAACUGUUCCUAACAACGAGAUCACUUGAAGGGCAUGGUCACCUUUCCCGCUGAUCAACUUGACGAGUGCCACAGGUGGCCAGAUGGGCUCCCUGGCGGCUUCCCUCGCUGUGGCGGAACGAGGGAGGAUGUUUGAUGCUGUUGCGCUGGCCGCACCCUGCUGAUGCGUCUGCUCGGCAGGCUUGGAGCCAGGGUUACCGGUGUGGUUGUAGCGCAGGUUCCGCUGACCCAUGGCCUCGACCCUAGCCUUGAGUAGCUCUAUACCAGCGACAGCGUUGUCCAAGGCCACGGCCGGCGCCGCCGCUGGUACCCAGGAGGGGAGCAUGCGGCGCCACCAGCUCGAUUUGUUGUCCAGGUAGAGAAUGGAGUCAAUGCAGUCCUCCACGUCCAGGGCCAUGUCGCGGACCUGCCUCACGCAAGUCGUCGUCAUAUCGUCCGCGACACGAUCCUUGGCAACGUUGAGGAAGGAAUGCAUCAUCUCGAACUCGUCCGAGACAAGCAUAAGGUCACGCUGAACGCUCUUCUGCAGCUGCUUCUCCUCCUCAAUAGCGGACUUGGCAAUAUUCACCGUCUCCUUGACCGCCGACUUCGCCAAACCCAGCACAAGGUCCGCCAUUGCACUCCCGUUCACUCUUCGAUCUGUGUGAGGGGAGGUGGGUGGGUGGGUGGGUGGUGUACAAGAUAGAACCUGGUGACGAUGCUUGCAAAUAUAUAUUAUGCUUCAAAAUCAUGCAUGACAUCGGCUGCAAGACAGAAAAUUUGCACAUUAUAAAACAAGAGUGUCGCAGUAAAAGAAGCCAGUUAGAUUCCCUAAUUAAAUUAACAGUGGGCUUUCCCUUAUGGUCUUAUUUUUAGGGCUAAAAGUUGCUUAUUUGGAGGAACUAACCUCAAUCCUACCUGUUUGGUUCCAUGAGCAAAACAACAUUUAAUAAGGUGAAGAAUGAUUUGUUUACCUCUAAUCAUUGCGACGCGUGGGGGGAGAGAGAGGAAUCAGAUAGGCAUUGAAUGAGAGCAAUGGGUGUCCAGUGCACCUUUUAGUCCAAAUAAGCAACCCAAAAUUACCUUAUGGACUAAACUUUAAAAGCUAAACUUUAACUUAAAUAAGCAAGGAUGUUCGGCUCUUUAUUUGGUACUAUAAAAGGGACUAAAAUUUAAUCUCUAAAGUUUAGCAAGGGUACAGCCCCUUAAUCUUCGCCGGCCAAGCACUUAAAUUAAGCUAGGUCAGACAGCUGAUGCAUCGAACGCAGCAGCAGUGAAAAACAAAUAAAGGCCAGUGUGCUCUGUAAGAAAUAUAAACCAAUAAAAUACAUCUUGGCAGAAUGGGGUCAAGUGGGUCUAUAGUCUAUUCUUGUGGCAGUAAGCUGAUCCUUUAUAAUACCGCUGGAUCGGAUCUCGAUCUCCUUGAUUAGCGCUCCACUAGCCCACUAAUGCUUGUCUCGUACUCCAACCACCGAUACCCAGCCCAAAAACUAUGCAUCGGGGAUUCACUUAACUUUUUAUUAUUUCGAGGUCUAAUUAAUAACACUGUUUGGAUUACGUAUGGGUUGCCUGCUGCUGGUAAAUACAUCUAUUUAUCUUUCAGCAAAAGCAUGCCUGCUGGGAAAUAUUAGUUCUGAAAUCUGAGCGCAUACCAGCUGUCAGUUAACAUAUUGUCUGUCAGCAAAUCCCUGCCAGAGCUUACGAUAAGUGGUCCGUCAGCAGACGUCAUCCCCCAACGGAUAAAGUACCCCAUAUUGCCUUCUUCAAGUUUCAUGAUGAAUGCAAUUCUCACACCUUGAAAUUUUUGGAUCUCACGAGGUGAUUAGGAGGAAUAAUUAAACAAUCAUUUUCUCGUAAUUUUAAAAUUUUUCAACAUUUGUUUCUUGACAGAAAAUUUAGUGUAGGAAUAUAAUUGGUUGUGUUUCCUAAACUAAAUGAGGUUGUUCUAUGUGUGUGCAUUCAUGCCCAUGCAUCUUGGUGUUUAUUGAGUGCAAAGGUUUUAAAAUGCCUCUAGACGACGACAAGGUUCUUCUGAGAAUUUACCAGUUUUUUCUGGAAAUUAUUCUCAUUUUCCUAGAGCUAAAUUCUUUUCACGAGCUUCAGUUAUUUUAUUUAGACUCCUCGUGUCCCAAACUAUCUCUAGGAAUUUUUCUGGAAUUUUUAGGAUUUUCAGAGUAUUUUUUGUGGGUUUUAUUGAAUUAUCUGGAUUUUCCUUUAUACGGGAAAUUACUUCUGAAAAGAAAAAGAAAAGAAAACCUCAACCUACCCUUUUGGGUUAAGCCCGCACCCACAAGCUCUACCAUGGCCCAACUCUCCUUCCCACCCUCGGGCCUCAUUGGCUCAGCCCAGUCCAGGCCCGACCAGCCCAGCCAGGCCCAACCGGGACCAUCUGCUCUACAGCUCUCUCCCAAGCUGCACAGGCAAGCAACGCCACCACCAAACCUUUUUGGUGUGUGUGCCACGCCAGGCGCAACCACCGGCGCCCUAUCAAUAGCGAAGCCCGACCCCCGCACGCCACUGCCAUCCUCGCAAGCCACCCUGCCUCGCCUGUGCUGCACCGCCGCCUUGCAAGCCCGCCAGCCGAGUCGGGCACCGCCACCGACUUUCCACUCGAUUCACCAGCUCCGCUGCCCGCCGGACGAAGCCGGCCCCUUCUAGAGCUUCGGGACGUCGUACAACGGUAGAAGCACCAUCGGUGUAGCCUGGGAGGAUGAGCCACAGCGACGGCUGCGUUCUCUCACCGUAUUAACUCACGUACACGUAAGAUGAACUAGCUUUGCUGGCGGUAUACAGACGCCCUCGCAACCACCGUGUACGUGCCCUAAUCUGUCCUGAAAAUUCUAGAAUGCCUUAUAUUAGGAUAGAGGGACAGAGGUGGUACUCUUCAAAUAUCUAGCCCAAAAACCAUGUCAAGAACUUACAACAUGCCUAUAAAUACCCGACUCAAUUCAUUGCAUGCUGCGACACUCCUACCUUUUGCCUUUUUCUUAACAAAUCCUUGCAAUGUAAAUAUAAAUCAUAAGCAAAUCAAAUCAAUCGAAAUUUUUUAUAUAUCGUUUCUUUGUAAAUAGCCACACCAAGAACAAUGUCUUGUAGUCUGAACAGACGAAAAUGGUGGAUGCCUUGGCUUGCUCAGGUGGCUUCUCAAACUUGUAGUCUUAAUUGAUGAAAAUGGUAAUUGCUUUGACUUGCUCGGGUGUUUUUUUGAGCCCUGGCAACCUGCCAAUUGCCUCACCAAACAAGUUGAUAGCUAGAGUUGCCCAAGCUCAAAAAGAUUAUUGUUCUUUUCUCCUUCAAUAAUGAUUUUGCUCCCAUGUUUUGUGAAGCGCUUUCCACGAUUGUUUUCACAACAUGUUCCAUACUUAUAGCUCAAUGCAAUGCAAAAGCAUCCACAUAUUCCAAUAUUAAUUCACUGGUAUGUGGAAUAUCCAACACCUUCUUGGAUUCUAAAAAUUUUGUGCCCAAGUAUCAAUAUCAGGUGCAACAUUUUCGUGUCAGUUUACCUGUCCGCAUUGCUUCACAUAUCCGUACCUUGUCAAGAAAGGUCUAUUUUCCUGACAGAGAUUUCAUUACCGUCAGUGCAAUGUGACCUUCCACAAUAGCCUGUUGCCGCUUGGUGUCCAUUGUGCUGCCACGGACGGAGUGAUCCCUUUUACAGUUUCUUUCUUUUGUUUUCUGUGGAGGACUUGAGAAGAGUCCGGUUUUCUAGAGAAUACUUUGUGCAAAUGAACAGAAGUAAUGUUCCUCCCUUCUAUACGAAGUUCACGUUAGGUGAGUACUCGAUCAUGUUAUUAAUUUAAUACUAGAUACUCCUCGCUCCAUAUGGUUGCGUGAGUCCGCGAAACUUGCUGACAUUGGCUUCUAGAGCGAGGAAAUAUGUUAACAGGAAUGAGAAUAUAUAACAAGCAGCUCGUACAACUAAGUGCGCGCCUUAUCACCUAAUCACCUAGCCAAGCAUCUAAUCACGUGGGGUACCUUUUUUUAUUUGUCUCCUCUUUGAGUAUCCUAUGCUUGACUUGAACCUAGUCUUGCGUAACCAAUCCAUCUUCUCCCGGGUUACUUUACAAGUUUUGAACUGAAUCAACAUAAGGGGCCUCUCAUAUCAGAACCUCGCUUUGCUCCCUUUCGUUGUGUUCUCCCAGCUAGGAUCCCUCAACUGUUUUUCUCGGCCCCGAGGUUAGUACCUUUAAUCAAGAAGCUGGUGUUUUUUCUGUUCCACAAACAGUUAAACAUAUCUAUGUAUAUUUUGUAAUUAUGUCUAGUUGUAAUACAACUGUUUUGUUUGGAUAAAAGAUCUAGUUGUAACGAUAUGAGUUGUAGCAGCUUAAAUCUAUAUCUAAAAUCAUCAGAAAUGGACACUGGUUCGAGCACGCCAAGCCUGCUGAGUACAGUGCCGAAGGAUCUAUCAGCAGCAUUCCUGCGUGAUAUUACGGAUGGUUUUUCCACUGACAGAGAAAUAGGACAAGGGGCGUUUGGAACAGUUUAUAAGGUAUGUUUACGACCUUUUCUGCGUUUUUCAGAAACUGGUAGGCAUGCCAAUAUAUAGUAUAUGGACGGUUAAACAGGGAAUCCUCCCAGAAGGGGAUUGUAUUGCUGUGAAGAAGCUUGUGGAUGAGGACAUAUAUGACAAACAAUUUCAAAAUGAGAUUACGCAUCUUAUGAAUGUCUGUCAUGAAAAUAUUGUGAGGAUAGUUGGCUUCUGCCAAGAACGUGAAAAGAAAGUUGUGGAGCAUAAUCGAAGAUAUAUUAUUGUAGACUCAGUUGAAAGAUUUAUCUGCUAUGAGUAUUUACCAAAUGGGAGCAUUGAUAAGUGUAUAUUUGGUACGGUAAUUUUUUAUCUUUUCUUUCUUUCUUCACUCAUACUUUUUAAUUUGGAGUGUGGAUAUCAAUUGUUAUAUAUUACUUCAGUUUCCUGCACUAAAAUAUUAUUCUCUCCAUCCCAAAUUACUAUUGCUUUUGUUUUUUCUAGAUAUAUAGUUUUUAUAUGCACCUAGAUAUAUAUUAUCUCUAGGUACAUAGAAAAUGUUAUGUAUCUAGAAAAGUCAAAAUGAAUAGUAAUUUGGGACGGAGGGAGUAUGAUGGAACUGAUUAUGGUUCAGGCUAUGAACAUACGCUUUCUAGUCACUAUGUUAUGAAAAUUGAUGUUUUGGAGGUCCUUAUACCAGAUUACUCAUAGAGGAUCUAUCCUUUUUUCUUUCUUCAGAUGAUACACUUAAUUGGGCUACACGCUUCAAAAUUAUUAAGGGGAUCUGCCAAGGUUUACAUUUCCUACAUGAGGGAAUGGAAACACCUACAAUUCAUAUGUCUCUUCAGCCUGCCAAUGUAUUGUUGGAUGAUAGAAAGGUGCCUAAAAUUACAGAUUUUGGUUCGUCGAGAGUCUUUGGUCGUGCUGAUAAAUCAAUGAUGAUCACACAAAACCCUGUGGGAGUAAUGUAAGUUUAAUUCAGAUAGUGCAAUAAGAGUACUUUCCCAUCAAGUAACAAUGCUUACGAAACUCUUGUUGGUAAUGUCAUUCAGUGGAUACAUGGCUCCAGAAUAUCUUUAUAGAGGUGAAAUCUCAACCCAAGCAGACAUAUAUAGCCUAGGCUUAAUGAUAAUCGAGAUCACAACUAGGAAGAAGAAUUAUUCAGACGAUCGAGACAAGUCUGCCCAGAGAUUUAUUGAUGAAGUAAGGCAGUGUUGAUGAUUAGUUGAUUACAAAAUAAUUUUCAUAGAAGCAUGUGUUACAUUUAUUUCGUGUAUCCGUUUUUACAAAAGAUAUAUUUUUAUUUUUAUUUCGUGGUUUAUUAGUGAGUAUUAUGAGUUGAGUUAUGUAGGUGCGCCAGACAUGGACGGAUGAUGUGUACAUUUUAUCCAAAUACUCCCAAUUGGAUGCAGGCUUACUGCAAGAAGUAAAGGCAUGCAUUCAAACUGGGCUUAAGUGUGUGGAUAUUGAUCGCAAGAGAAGACCUUCCAUAUCUGAAAUUGUUAGACUGCUCAAUGCUGCAUGGUAAACGGUGGACGAGGUAUGACUAGGAAUAGCAUACAUUCCCUCUGGUCUUUGCACAUACUUACCAAAUUUUACUUUGCACAUAUAUAUUUAAAGUCCUUAAUAUUUAUGGGAUUUUGCAAGUGUUGCUCAAUACAAUUCCACAAAUACAACUUGCAUGCUUUCAAACUUAAUAAUGUAAAAGUUAUUGAUGUUUUUAAUUUUUAAUCUUUGACAAAACCUUGUCCUAAACAACAUGUUUUUUAUGACUGGAGUUACGGGGUGUUUGGAUACGAGGUGUUAAACUUUAACAGUGUCACAUCGGAUGUUCGGAUACUAAUUAAGAGAACUAAACAUGAGCUAAUUAUAAAACUAAUUGCAGAACCCUGUGCUAAUUCGCGAGACGAAUCUAUUAAGCCUAAUUAAUCCAUCAUUAGCAAAUGGUUACUGUAGCACCACAUUAUCAAAUCAUGGACUAAUUAGGCUUAAUAGAUUCAUCUCGCGAAUUACACUCUAUCUGUGCAAUUAGUUUUGUAAUUAGCCUAUAUUUAAUACUCCUAAUUAGCAUCUAAACAUCCGAUGUGACGGGUGUUAAACUUUAACACCUGGUUCCAAAUAGGCCCUUAGUAUAUGAUCACUAAUAGUUUUCUUAGUUUUUUGAGAGGAGAGGAGUUUUCAUAGUUUUACAUGCAACAACUACAUAUGAUCACUAUUAGUGGAAUCUUGUACUUCUAUAUAUGGCAAACUGAUCAGGUGAUCUUAACAUGCUAUCUCAAACUACAGGUCUACAUAUAUACCGUGUUCGCAUCAUGAAUAAAAGUUGUCAUUGUGGAGAAGACAUGGCCAAGAUGAAAUAAAGCAUGCUCUAUUAUUUCUAGAAGACCUGAACUUUUCUAUCACAACUAAGAUUCCUUUGAUGUAAUUUCAUUGUGGAAGCUACAUUUACUCCUCUUUUGGAGAUUGACACUCCAAAAGUGAUUUUCGAAGACACCCCAUUUACGGCACAGGUGGUCCACAAGGGAAUACGCUAGGGUCCUCAGUCAUGGAAAGCCUAUAGAAAUGAGUUUCCAGAGAAUGUUGGUUCAGCCGAUCAUGUCUGAAAAAGGUUGCUGACUUAAGUGACUGCGUUAGGAAAUCCCCAUUACUAGACGUAGACACUUAAGCUGAUGGACUAGAAAUUGAUUUCAAGAGAUGGUUCCUCAAUUUGGGCUGCCUCUAGAAACUGUUUUCCACAAGAGGCAAAAGAAAAGGUCAUCCCAUUUCCGUUAUCAAUAGGUUUGUGGUGGGAUGGCAAGGGGGGAUGUUGUUGUGGGUUUAAAGGUUGACACCCCCCCCCACACACACACACACAUUUCACGCAAAAAAUUGCAUGUGUGGUGCAGCUCAAUGGUUUUUACAAAUCUUUUUGUAGUUUUUCCAUGCCCAAUGUUAUCGUAGACAGACCGACAUAACCAAUGUCAUGUGGAAAUGCAUUUUUAGAGGUAAUUAAUUCCAGAGGUAGUGAACUUAGGGAACUUCCUCUAAAAAUGUCUUUUCUUAAUACGAUUGAUUGUCCACCUAUGAAAAUGCACCAUUUCCAUAUGCGAUGUCACACCUGGUUUUAAAAAUAAAUCAAAUGUACACCAUAUGUGUGCCAGGAUCAAGUUUCAAACAUACAACAAGCCAAUAGUGAAUAACAGAUACAGUAUCAUGUACUAACGAGUUCAACUAAUACAAAGUGACAUAAAUCUCUAAACAAAAUAAACAUACAAACGUCUCCUAGCAGCGGAUUACCAUUCUCCAUAGGCAUUCAACUGGGGGAACAUACGCCUAGCACUUAUGGAAAUCUUCUAAUACUAACAUCCUCUUGUUCUGAGCAGCAUUCAUUGUGUGGUACAAAUAUAUGUAGGAAAUAGCAAGUGUGAGUACAUGCCGUACUCCCACUACUACAGAAGAGGCCAUCACCGCUGGGCUAUCACCACCAGUUAUAGAUGAAUCAUUUGUGAUGCCUUUUCACUGUCGGUUUUGGAGCAAAUGGGGGCAGCAGCCUUUACAACCGGCGGUGGUGCUCGUUUUCAUUGCCGGUUCCUUAUUGAGCCGCUAGUUUCAAGCAAGAGCCAGCAGCGAUACUCGAUGCGAACCUGAAAUUUUUCUUCAACCCAAUUUAGAAAACGACUUUGCGUCCACUUGCCUCCCUCUCCCCACUCCUCCCCUCCCCCACCCUCUCUCCACCCCCUCCCUCUCUCCCUCUCACCCCAGCCCUCUAUCCCACUCUCCGCGGGCCCCCUCCCUCCCUUCCUCUCCCGCCGGCCCUCCCCUUCUCUCCCUCUCCGUUCGCCGCCCCUCCGCUUGCUUCCGCACCCCCCCCUUUCCCCCUCCACUCGCUACCCCCUCGGCCUGGCAUAGAGGAGCGCUGGCAGCGUGCAGGGAUCCGCAGCGGCAUGGCAGGAUCCGCGGCUGGCAGUAGGGAUCCACAAUGCAGCGAGGCUCCAGUGACAUCAAGAUGUGCGGGGUAAGCAGCGGCAGUGACAAGGCCGGGUCAACGGUGGCGGCUGCAGCGUGAGUAGCAGCAGCGAUGCUACCUAGGGGCCCACGGUGGGCGCGGUGCGAUGGCGGUGGGGACGCCAGGUAUAUUUCUUCUUUUUUUUGUGAUGUGCAUCACCGUCAGUUCCUGGUUUAGCGGUGAUAGGGACUCCUAUCACCGCCGACCUAAUAAUGUCCUCACUCAAAAUGAGGGUUGCCUAUAUCAUAUUGAGAUAUGAGAUACAUCCCCCUAAUGCUGUUCUAUGGACAUUCUUGAGGCACUGACUCUGGAGCCAAAAAAAAGGUUUAGUCAACGAGCACAAAAGUUUCAUACUAGAACCACUAGACCUAUGCUAGUCAAUUCACUGUGCUAAGGGCACAUGCAAGAGCUACAACCACCCUAUGCCCAUUGAUCACAAUUAAUUUGAAAGGAUGUUUAUGGAUGCUUUUGUUUACCAUAAGUGUAAUAAAUCUUGUAGUCAUUUUCGGCACAAGUCUUGCAGCUAGCCAAUAUAAUCCAAGUUUUUGGUACCCUAUAAUCCAAGAUAAGAUAUAAUCUCCUACUGUUUUCAAAUCUCAGAAUCUUUUGCAGUAAUCUCCUACUGUUUUCAAAAAGUGGUAUGUCAAUCGUAACAGGAUUAGACAGAGGGAAGUACCGAAUGGUUGCUUGCAGAUGAGGUGAUUCUAACUUUAGACUUUGCAUGUAGACGGCGUGGAGGAUAUGAAUAGUUGCAUGCAGAUGAGAUGGUGCUGACAUUAGCCUUUGCAUGUAGAUGGCGUGGACGAUUUGAGGUAAAUGACACAAGAACACACACCAUAUAUAUAGUGGCAUUGUUGGACCUUGUUUAGUUACCCCAAAAUCCCAACUUUGGCACUAUGCAAAAAUAAGAUUCCCCAUCACAUCAAACUUGCGGUACAUGCAUGGAGUACUAAAUGUAGACGAAAUAAAAAACUAAUUGCACAGUUUUGUUGUACUUUGCGAGACGAAUCUUUUGAGCCUAAUUAGUCAAUAUUUGGACAAUAAUUCAUAAAUACAAACGAAACACUACAGUAUGCUACAGUGCUGGCACAGUGAUUUUGGUUGUCCAAAAUUGGGCAACUAAACAGGGCCUCGUUCUCUUCUCAUUAAUUGUUAAUAGAAGUUACUACAUGUACCUAGAACUCCUAAACUAGGUGUCCUAUCAUAUGAUUUGCAAUUAAUUCCAUUAAGCUUGAAGCAGGUGGAAAGGGCACUUGCAUCGAUAGGAGGCGCACGUGCACAGAGAGUCUGUUAUGUCUUUUAUCUUUUAAUGAAACUAGGUGGCGUUGGGGCUGCUGGCCUUUCCUCGCUGUUUAGCAUCCUGAGAACAUCCGGCAUGGUUGGCCGCUCCCUUGGAUUGUCUUGGGUGCACAACAGUCCGAUAUGUAUUCUUCUUUCCACUUCCUGUAGCUGUGACUCUCCACAAGAUGCAGAGUCAAAUAAAUCCUUCAGACUCUGAGCUUCCCGUACCUCCCAAGCCUGUGAAAAAGGUGUCAGUGUGUAUAACAAGGCAACAAGUAAAACCCAUUGUGUAACUGAAGUUCUUCAUGUGGUCAGCUAAGUUGCCAUUUUCUUCAGAUCCGUCUAACCAAUUUUGAUUAACGUGUUGGAUCAUUAACACACUAUUGCUUCUUGACUGCAUCAUUUUGGUCGAGAUUGGUCACUGACUAGUCCUAAGAUGAACAUCCACAAAUUCAAACAAUGAUGACCUAUAUGCUACGUUAUUGAGACUGCUAUUUCUUUGAUAAUCUUAUACUUGUCUGUAUUGAAAGAUCAUGUUGAUGUUUGGUGUAGUAAAAUUUGGAAAGGUAAGAGAACUUUUGAGAUUAUACGAGGCUACUACCCAAAGUAUGAGGUGGCACCCAAAUAGAACGACAUAUCCUUAAAAGGAACAACAUGACAUGAAGAGAUGAGCAAUUAUAAACCAAUCCAGUUUUUUAUGCUCAGAAAUUAUUGCUAGCGCUGACAGCGAGCAAGAUGCAGAAUUACCAAAUAAAGUAUGACCUACAAAAGGAUUCCUCUUUUUUUUGUGUCACAGCUGAUUACACUUUUUUCCCUUGUUGAAAAAAGUGGACAGUUUAAGGCCAAUAUCUCCACCGAAGUAUGGAUAUCAGAAUAGAUCGAAUAAUGAUGAAUGCAAAAAAGAGAAAACCUUUAUCUGAACAAGUUCCUUGUGAAGAUACCCAACCAAUGCCUGCCUAUAAAUGUUUUACGUACCCACUCAAUUGAAUGUUGGAGAAGUCCAGACCUGCUCAUUCCUCUAAUGGUAGAUAAGACUAAGAGGCCAAAACUGUAGACAUCAUUCUUGGCUGAGAUGACACCUUGAGCAAUAUAUUCUGGAGCCAUAUAUCCCCUAAAUGGUGAAAAAAUAAAUAAAUGGGUCAGCAGAAGGGGGGAAGCGACAAGAAGCUUGAUCGUGCAUGUCAUGGCAACAAAAAUACAGUAUAUAUGGAAAGUCGUCCUACAGGGUGCCUGCUAACUCUUCCGUGACUUCUUGAGUCACCUCUUGAUCAAAUAUUUUGCACAUUUCAAAAUCACAGAUUUUAGGGUUCAUAUUAGAGUCAAACAGGAUGUUUUCUGGCUUCAAAUCCAUAUGGAUAAUGUUUUUCCAGUGCAGAUGAGCUAUGCCUUGUGCCAUCCCUUGAAUUAUUUGGAAUAUGAUAGACCAAUCCAUCUGCGGACACUGUCCUGGAAAAUUAAAAAAUCAAACAUCCUAUAGAGUUAACAUUGUUAAGCUAAAUUUUGCUCCAAAUGAUAACUGGAGUCAUUCUUUAAGUGGAAACAUGCCUUCGAUAAUGUCGGACAAGUUUCCAUUCGGGGUGUACUCUUCGACCACUAUCAUACUAGUUAUUUCAGCCUCCACAUAGCGGCCCUUGUAUAGCAUCUUCUCGUAUGUGGUUUCCUGGCAAUAUCCGAGAAAGCAAACUAUAUUUUGGUGCUGACCCAGCAAUGCAAAGACAUUCACAUAAUGAUCUACAUCUCUUCGUAAGUGCCGAGCUGCACAAAAUCUCUUUAUGGCAACCAAUACGUCAGAUAUUACACCCUGGAUCAUAGGCAGCAAUUUUAAUCACGAAUGCAGUUAACGUGAUAUUAUAAUUUGAAUGCCUCAAACAUAAUUAAAAUACCAAGCAUAUGGAGUACCUUGUACACAGUAGCACUGCCACCUCUCCCAAUCAGGUUGUGUUCCGAGAAGUUAUUUGUAGCGGCCUUCAUCUCAGAUAAACUGAACAUUCUAAAUCCUGUCAUAAAAACAGGUACACAUACAGGCAUAAAUGAUGUUCUGCAAACACACACCAGCAAGAUCACUAUCACUAGUGAAUAAUAAAUAGCUCGAAUUCAAGAUCAAAGAGGCCGGUAAACAAAUAUGUGAUCUUACCUGAUUGGUUGAGAAAGUGCUCCAUACAGGCUGGAUCACUUUUUCUCUCACCAUCAGCUCCAAAUCUGUCAUCGUACAUUCGAUAAGCAAAAUGAGUGCCCUCCGAUCGAUGUAAUAAUACUGAAUGGAGGUAGACCAAUGGUGGUAGCAUAAUGGUAAGGUUUUAGAUGCUUCCUCCAUCCCAAUUGUAAAUCGUUUUGGCAUUUCACCUAGAAAUGCCAAAACGAUUUACAAUUUGCGACAAAGAGAGUAGUUUACCAGGGCUUUUAUGGAAAUAAAAGCUAAAAUUGCGCAAGUGCAUACUUUGAUGGUAUACAGACUUGCCAAGGGAAUUACAGUUUUUCGUAAUGGUGAUUAAUUUCUAUGUUGAACUCACUAAGUAUUACAACAUAUAAUUUACUAUGCUACAAUUGGAAUGGCACACUGUAAAUAUCAGACCUAGUAUCAUUGUUUGACGCACUGCUAGACGAGCUCUCCACUGCCCCUAGAUGGCCAGCAUCCUGAAAUAGAAAACCAAAUCCCUCAAGGUAUUAUUGAUGAAAUUUUUAUCCUAUCUUAUUAGUUGAAAUGGAAGAGCUAGGAAGUACCAAUUGAAUGAUACCCCUGAAAUAAAGAAACUAUCUAAAGGUUGCUGCGAAACAAAAGAAACUGUCCGUAUAUUGAUCUUGACGAGGUGAGGUGGGACACUUAAAUCUGUUAAUGCCGGACCCAACACCUGGGUCAACCGUGCUUGCGGUAGAGGCAUACAUUCUACAAAUAUGAUACGUACAGGUUGCAUCUGUCCAAUUUUUAUUCUUAACAAAAUGAGUCUAUCAACCCAAAGCUAAUGAAAAACAUGGAGAAGUUUCUCUAAAAUGGUGGAUAGAAUCGUAAGGAACAUUAUAUAUGGAAGUGACAAAAUUAAAAAUACGCUGUAAAGAUGUAGUACCUGUGUAAUCCAGUUUGCGGCCGCAAUUUGGUCCAUGAUAACCUGGUUUACCUGGCGCAACUCUUUGGUCAGGUAUCCAGUUGCACCCAGGUGAAUGUUGCGCGUCGACUGGCAGGCCCUGACAAGCUUCAGCGCCCGAUACAGGGUCUCCUCGAGGUUCUCAAGCGCCUGGAUCAUCGCCUGGUCCUUCACCAUCUCCAAAUUCUCCAUCUUUGACAGGAUAGCACUUAAUCUGCUUACGCGCCUUCCGAUCUCAUAACAAUCAGCCUUAUUCUUUCGAACGGUGUCGACCGCCUCCUUGAUCUGGAGCGCAACCUCGACAAUGUUCCUCACCCUGCCCAAUGCAUCGGACAUCCUCUCUCUAGGGGAUUAUAAUCUGCAGAUCGAAAGGAUAAGGGAGUCGUAUCGAAUCAGACGAACAAGCCUGAUGAACCAACUGGAACAAACAAAAAAAGCUCUUCGAUUUUCUUUCUCAAAGCAAUCAAAGCAAAUAAAGAAGCAAGCAUAAACCUGGCGUCUUCGGCCCUCCUUUACUAGCUGCGUCAGGGAUCUCUUCCUCCAAGCUAUGGUACGCCCGGAGCAUCCGGUGUUCGCCGGGAAUCAAGUCUGCUCGAUGGGCAAGCUUAUCUGAUAGGGACAUAAACAAUUCCGUGAAAAACAAAUAAAGGCCAGUGUGCUCUGUAAGAAAUAUAAACCAAUAAAAUACAUCUUGGCAGAAUGGGGUCAAGUGGGUCUAUAGUCUAUUCUUGUGGCAGCAAGCUGAUCCUUUAUAAUAACGCUGGAUCGGAUCUCGAUCUCCUUGAAUAGCGCUCCACUAACCCACUAAUGCUUGUCUCGUACUCCACCCACCGAUACCCAGCCCAAAAACUAUGCAUCGGGGAUUGACUUAACUUUUUGUUAUUUCGAGGUCUAAUUGAUAACACUGUUUGAAUUACGUAUGGGUUGCCUGCUGCUGGUAAAUACAUCUAUUUAUCCGUCAGCAAAAACAUGCCUGCUGGGAAAUAUUAGUUCUGACUUCUGAGCGCAUACCAGCUGUCAGUUAACAUAUUGUCUGUCAGCAAAUCCCUGCCAGGGCUUACGAUAAGUGGUCUGUCAGAAGACGUCAUCCCCCAACGGGUACAGUACGGCAUAUUACCUUCUUUGUGUUUCAUGAUGAAUGCACGGUUGUCACACCUUGAAAUUUUUGGAUCUCACGAUGUGAUUAGGAAGAAUAAUUAAACAAUGAUUUUUCUCAUAAUUUUAAAAUUUGCCAACAUUUGUUUUCUUGAUAGGAAAUUUAGUGUAGGAAAAUAAUUGGUUGUUUUUCCUAAACUAAAUGAGCUUGUUCUAUGUGUGUGCAUUCAUGCCCAUGCAUCUUGGUGUUUAUUGAGUGCAAAGGUUUUAAAAAUAUCUUUAGACGACGACCAGGUUCUUCUGAGAAUUUACCAAUUUUUUCUGGAAAUUAUUCUCAUUUUCCUAGAGCUAAAUCCUUUUCCCAAGCUCCAGUAAUUUUAUUUAGACUCCUCGUGUCCCAAACUAUCUCUAGGAAUUUUCCUGGAAUUUUUAGGAUUUUCAGAGUAUUUUUUGUGGGUUUUAUUGAAUUAUCUGGAUUUUUCUUUAUACGGGAAAUUACUUCUGAAAAUAAAAAGAAAAGAAAACCUCAACCUACCCUUUUGGGCUAAGCCCGCACCCAAAAGCUCUACCAUAGCCCAACUCUCCUUCCCUCCCUCGAGCCUCGCUAGCUCAGCCCAGUCCAGGCCCGACCAGCCAAGCCAGGCCCGAUUGGGACCAUAUGCUCUGCAGCUCUCUCCCAAGCUGCACAGGCAGGCAACGCCACCGCCACGCCCUUUUGGUGUGCGUGCCACGCCAGGCGCAGCCACCCGCGCCCUAUCAAUAGCGAAGCCCGACCCCCGCACGCCCCUGCCAUCCUCGCAAGCCACCCUGCCUCGCCUGUGCUGCGCCGCCACCUUGCAAACCCGCCAGCCGAGUCGGGCGCCGCCGCCAACUUUCCACUCGAUUCACCAGCUCCGCUGCCCGCCGGAUGAAACCGGCCCCUUCUAGAGCUUCGGGACGUCGUACAACGGUAGAAGCACCAUCGGUGUAGCCUGGGAGGAUGAGCCACAGCGACGGCUGCGUUCUCUCACCGUAUUAACUCACGUACACGUAAGAUGAACUAGCUUUGCUGGCGGUAUACAGACGCCCUCGCAACCACCGUGUACGUGCCCUAAUCUGUCCUGAAAAUUCUAGAAUGCCUUAUAUUAGGAUAGAGGGACAGAGGUGGUACUCUUCAAAUAUCUAGCCCAAAAACCAUGUCAAGAACUUACAACAUGCCUAUAAAUACCCGACUCAAUUCAUUGCAUGCUGCGACACUCCUACCUUUUGCCUUUUUCUUAACAAAUCCUUGCAAUGUAAAUAUAAAUCAUAAGCAAAUCAAAUCAAUCGAAAUUUUUUAUAUAUCGUUUCUUUGUAAAUAGCCACACCAAGAACAAUGUCUUGUAGUCUGAACAGACGAAAAUGGUGGAUGCCUUGGCUUGCUCAGGUGGCUUCUCAAACUUGUAGUCUUAAUUGAUGAAAAUGGUAAUUGCUUUGACUUGCUCGGGUGUUUUUUUGAGCCCUGGCAACCUGCCAAUUGCCUCACCAAACAAGUUGAUAGCUAGAGUUGCCCAAGCUCAAAAAGAUUAUUGUUCUUUUCUCCUUCAAUAAUGAUUUUGCUCCCAUGUUUUGUGAAGCGCUUUCCACGAUUGUUUUCACAACAUGUUCCAUACUUAUAGCUCAAUGCAAUGCAAAAGCAUCCACAUAUUCCAAUAUUAAUUCACUGGUAUGUGGAAUAUCCAACACCUUCUUGGAUUCUAAAAAUUUUGUGCCCAAGUAUCAAUAUCAGGUGCAACAUUUUCGUGUCAGUUUACCUGUCCGCAUUGCUUCACAUAUCCGUACCUUGUCAAGAAAGGUCUAUUUUCCUGACAGAGAUUUCAUUACCGUCAGUGCAAUGUGACCUUCCACAAUAGCCUGUUGCCGCUUGGUGUCCAUUGUGCUGCCACGGACGGAGUGAUCCCUUUUACAGUUUCUUUCUUUUGUUUUCUGUGGAGGACUUGAGAAGAGUCCGGUUUUCUAGAGAAUACUUUGUGCAAAUGAACAGAAGUAACGUUCCUCCCUUCUAUACGAAGUUCACGUUAGGUGAGUACUCGAUCAUGUUAUUAAUUUAAUACUAGAUACUCCUCGCUCCAUAUGGUUGCGUGAGUCCGCGAAACUUGCUGACAUUGGCUUCUAGAGCGAGGAAAUAUGUUAACAAGAAUGAGAAUAUAUAACAAGCAGCUCGUACAACUAAGUGCGCGCCUUAUCACCUAAUCACCUAGCCAAGCAUCUAAUCACGUGGGGCACCUUUUUUUAUUUGUCUCCUCUUUGAGUAUCCUAUGCUUGACUUGAACCUAGUCUUGCGUAACCAAUCCAUCUUCUCCCGGGUUACUUUACAAGUUUUGAACUGAAUCAACACAGGAAUUUUCGUGGAAUUUUUAGGAUUUUUUGAGUAUAUUCCGUGGCUUUAAUUGAAUUAUCUGGAUUUUUCUUUAUACAGGAAAUUACUUCUGAAAAUAAAAAAAAGAAAACCUAAACCUAACCUUUUGGGCCGAGCCCGCACCCGCGAGCCCAACCAUGGCCCAGCUCUCCUUCCCUCCCUCUAGCCUCGCUGGCUUUCCGCUCGAUUCACCGGCUCCGCUGCCCGCCGGACGAAACCGGCCCCUUCUGGAGCUUCGGGACGUCGCCCCGCACACCCGCCGCUACACCCUGUCGUCGUUUGGCCGCCGGAGGAGCCCCGCCCUGUGGAGCCCGAACUAGCCGCCGCCUCCACAGUCCGCCAUCGAUUCCGGCCGGUGCCGUCGUCCUCUACCGUCGGUGAGCACGCCCCCGUGACCCUCUCGACCUCCUCUAUCUCCUUCGCCACCCACCUAAGCCCCUACCUCUCAACCACCGGCGAUUUCAUCUCCCAGUGCGCCGUCCGCCAUGGCCAAAAGCUCCUCGAGCUUUUCCGUGGAGGCCCCUGAAGAAAUCUAUAAUUAUUCCAAGAUCUCUGUGUCUUGGAUCUUUUUUGAAAAGCCCCCUAGAUCUAUUAGGUUCCUUCAACCGAGCCCAAGCCGUGAUCUAUUUCAGAUCGAACCCUGCUCUUUAUCGUAUUCACGGGCACUAUGUGUCUCGGGAAUCUUCCUCGCUAGCCCUUGUUCUCUAGGGUUAAUCGCGAUUAGACCCCUGCAGCUUGAUUAGCUCGUAGAUCUUAUGUUUCAACUCCGUUUAACCUCUUUCUUGUUGCGUUAGAUUCAUAUCAAUUUAAAUUACGCAUUAGAAGCAAUGUUAAUCAUUUUAUCUAUUUUAUAAUUUACUUCAAAUAUUAAUAUGAUUAAGUACUUACAUACUUGUUUUUCUAAUUAAAAUACAAUAGAGUUUAACCCCGUGUUUUCAUGCUAAUGUUAAUUUGUUUAAUGCUUAUCUAAAUAAUUUUUCCAAUUAAUAGCUAACUAGAGUUAUACCUCGGUUUUCAUAGUCAAACUUAAAUUGAUUAAUGUUUAUUCAAUUUGCUUUCUAAACAAAAGUUGCAUAGGUUCUAUCUCGAGUUUUCGUAAUUAAAUGUUAAUUUGGUUAAAUAUAAAUAUAAAUAUAAAUGUGUUUCUGAAUUAUAAUUUGUCUAGUUCAACACGAAUCAUAAAGUUAUGCGCUUAGAUCUUCCCACCUAAGUUAUUUUCCAAAUAAAUGUUUAACUAGUAUAAUUUAUACAUGAACAUUUAUAAAUAAAACUUGAGUAGGAUUUACCUCGGUUUUUGCCAAUAGAGUAAAAUUUGCAUUAUUUCUAAAUUAGGGUAUUUUCUUUCCAAAAUAUCCUUUAGAUAUGUUUUGCUAAUUAAAAUAAAUCCAGCAUAUAGCCUUGUGUGCUCUCAUAAUUGUUUGAUAGCCGUCUUUGUUAGCUUUAGCUUUGUAUCUCUUUUGUAGAUCUAGUCUUCUGUAAAGCUUUAGAUCUUUGUAGUUCCAGAUCAAGCUCACACUCAGUUUCUUUCACAAAUCUAGCCAAGCCUUUCCUUUUCAAGCACGGUUUGUGUGCUUUAGUGAUCCAAAUAGUUUAUCUUAGAGUUUUUGUUCUGCCUAAUAGUUUUGGUCUUCAUGAGUAGUUUGGUGCUGCUCAUUUCCCUAGCUAGUAUAUUUUUUAUCAUGCUUGUUUCCUGUUCCUCUUAGAAACCUGUUUAUCAAAAGCUAGCUCAUAAUUACUAUGUCCUAGUUGUCUCUUUGUGAGUCAGCUAUGUUCGUUAUGGCCAAACCUUUCGCAGCCAUCUCUUUAGAGCUAAUCUUGUUAGUUGUGUCUCUAUCGACCAGUUCAGUUUAGCUUUGACUAGUUUGUUAUCUUUGCAACCUAGUUGCUCUCUUUGUAGACUAGUUUUCCCUAAACCAUAGUUUAAGGUUUUCUUCUGCGCUCUAAAGUCUGAUUUUGAUGUUCUUGUUCACUUAACCAUAACUUAUGCGAUAGCAAUGUGUAUUGCCUGUUGCUUGUCUUUAAAAUCAAAAUUGAAUGUCAAUUUGACUAAUACUUAUUAAACCAGUUUUCUAAUUAAAAGUUUACUAGUUAUACAAUAUGGGAUUUCAUAUAAAAUUUUAAACUUUACUAAUUCUUAUUCAAUUAGUUUUCUACAUAAAAAUUUAUUAGGUUCUAUCCCGGAUUUCAUAAACUAAGAUUUAAUUAAUUAAUUCCUAUUUAUAACUAGCUUUUCUAAAUAAAAUAUACCUAGUGUCAUACAUCAUUUUCCAUGAAUGAAGUUAAUAUGCUUAAUGGUAUUAUAAACACCUUUUUCACAUUAAUAUGUUUAGCUGAACACAAAAUACAAAGUUAUUCGAUUAGAUGUCUUAUACAUGCUCUGUGUUUCUAAAGUUAACUGUUAAAUUGGUGUAACUUGUACUUCAAUAUUUACAAAUAAAAUAUGAUUAAAUUUAUCACGUUUUCAAUGUUCAAAUAUACCUUCUGUUAAUUCCAACUAAGGAUAUUUCUCUAAAAUAUCUACGCAUUGUUUUUUAUUAAAAUCUAAAGUUAACUGUUAAAUUGGUGUAACUUGUACUUCAAUAUUUACAAAUAAAAUAUGAUUAAAUUUAUCACAUUUUCGAUGUUCAAAUAUACCUUCUGUUAAUUCCAACUAAGGAUAUUUCUCUAAAAUAUCUACGCAUUGUUUUUUAUUAAAAUAUAUCAAGCAUAUAGUCUUUUUAUUUCUUUGAUAAUUCAAACCUCUCGAUAGCUUUGUCUUUUCAUCCAUAGUUUCAUUUUCAGCAUUUUUUCUACGUUGCGAUCUUAGAAUCAAGCCCUAUCCUUUGGUAUGAUCUUUUAAAGCUUUUCUUUUGAUUGGUGUACUGUUCUUAGUUGUGCUUGUUUGUUUGCUCUGUAUGGUUGUGCCGAUGAUUGUUUUGAGUAGAAGGAUUGCUAUUCGAAAGCUUUGAAGAUUAAGAGUUUCAAGAGAGCAAGAGCUGAAGAGCAGUAAGAGUAAUUUUUCAUUGGAGAAAGGCAAGUGUCCCCAACCUUCCUUCUAUCUAUGAUUAUUUAAAUACCAUGCAUGCAUUAAUUGGAACAUUGAGCGACCACCCAAGAAAACAAUGCAACCACAAGAACUACAUGGCUCUAGUCUUGGCUAAUUAAUUAGAUACUCUUGUUUGAAGCGGUCUUACCGAAAGGGCAAGAGGGGUGACGGCAGAUGGGGUAUAACCCAACCCUCAGACCGAUAUGCUCAAUGGUAGCUUCGCAGUCUUGAGAGAGGUUUACGCUCUGCUACUUAUCCGGAAACCUUAGCUGGCUACAUCUUAUUAGGGAAUCUUUGUAGAGGUCUUAUAGCUUCCCUAUGCAGUCACAUCUCGGUAGUGUGAUGAGUGCUUGAUUAGCACAGUAUGGUUGGGUCUAAAGUUUUUCUGAACUUCUACGCAACUUGUGGUGAAAAUGUACAACUUCUGCAGAGUGUUAUAUCAACUGUGCUCACAGUCAAGAGUGGCCUGAACCCUCACAUGAUUAAUAAACUUGAAGAUAUACUUAAAUCAUUAUUUUGGUUAUUUUUUGUGUUCUUGCUGAGUAGCAACCAUAAGUGUACUCACCCUUGCUAACCGCUGCUCAGAAUAAGGUGUCUGAAGUUAUUGAAGAUGAUGCUAGGCGUACGCAGCCCCAAUUGAUUGCUUGUGAAGUCUGAAGUCUUUGUUUUCAGGAUUAAGCUGUAUAUCUCUGAUAGACUCGUAAAUUUUUAUUUAUAUUCCUUUACGUGAUACUGUUACUGUUAUUCACUGAUAAUGUCACUAUAUGUAUGAUACUUGAUUAUGGGAUACAUAGGUAGCACUUGGUUUUGUUUUAAAAUCUGGUGUGACAUCGGUUCACAUCAAGCGUGACGAUAAGAAUUUAUAUAAAUGUUGCCCAACCACCCGAAUAUCAUAAAUUGAAGGUAUGUUUGAUUUUUUUACCAUACUUACCUGUGGCUAAACUCCAAAUGCUAGUUUUAGAAUAGUCGUAAUGGAAUUGCCAAGGGCGAGAGAAGAAUUGUUACUGUUGUGCCAUAACCCACAUUGGCUUAUGUGUCUAGACAGCUUAGAUGUCCAGCGUGGCCUAGCGCAUUUUAUGUAAACAUUUACAGGUGCACUGCUGCUGAUUUUAUGUAAUUAUUAAACCUAAUGCAGUUUCAUCAUGGCAAGAUGCAUUAAAGAAAGAAAGGGAAAGACAAAAUGAAAUACACCAAAGAGUUCAGUUCCAGCUGAAAACGUGUCUGCCCCAAGCGAGCUCCUAUACAUCUUCUGUGUUGAUUGCACAGCCCAUAAGGCCCAGCAAUUUACAGCCCAAGCAGCAAUAAUACACAUGCGCCGCAGGCCCCAAUACGAAUAUGUAAGUAUGGGGAAAAAAAAAGAUACGUACCACCUAAGCAGCAUGCCACGGCAGGCCCCAUCAGCCACCAGCCGAAGAUACGUGUUGCUUUACUAUUUUUAUUCAUAUUCCAUUCUACAGUAAUCCUCCUAAUACUAUAUUCAACAUUUUGUGCGAAUUGAUUCAAACAUUCAAAAUAACUAGUUAAACAUUUUGAUAAAACGAAUGCAAAAUUUUCUUAAAAUGUUGAAAUAGUAUAUUAAAAAUGUUGAAUAAAAUGUUGGAAUAGUGUAUUAAAUUUCAACAUUUUUUAUAAAUGCAAAUUCAACAUUUUUAAUAAAAUAUUGAAAUAGCGUAUUAAAAAUGUUGAAAUAGAAUUUAUGAUCUAAUAUAUUCAAAUAAUAAACUAAUAUAGUUAACAUUUUAAAUAAUAGAUUCAUCAUUUCUUUGCAUACUUAACUGUUGGGUAGUUCAUCAAAAAUUUUGAAUUUUAAAAAUUAGCAAAGAUAUAUUCGGAUAUCAUUAUGUUCGAUUAAUUCUCAAUAAUGUAGUGGUUUAAACGAUUAAAAAGGGUUCCCAGUUUGGGAGAAAAAUGCAUUUGAAGUUUGGAAUCCAAAAGCACCAUGCAACCACCACAAGAACCACACUGUCUGUCCUCCCCAUCAGCCGUGCAUGUUCUUUUCUACCUGGAGCCAUGGUGCGCCUGGGCUGUUGCUGUCAAUUGUGGUGGAAAAGGCAAAAUCAUUCCUACAGCUUGGAGAGUACGACACAAGUCGCGAGCAUUGGAAGAUGCUUAAGAAAAAAUUCUUCAAGAAGACACAUAGGAUUUCCAGCCCGGUCCAGCCUAGAAGAGUUUGACCCGCCCAUCAGUCUGUUCAGGCCUAUUAACUUCAGGUCCAAUUAGAAUGUGGGUCGUCCAUUCUCUCUCCUCUCAUAAAAAGACUCGUUCUGUCCUGCGUAACCCAUGGGCCGGCCCAGCUUCCUGUCGCGCUCGUGCCCAGAGCUCGCAGACGGAGGACGGGGAGCCACCAGUGUGGCACUCCGAGGGGCGACCGCGGCGGCGGGGGCACUGAGCAGUGAGCACAGCACAACCCAAUGCUAGCGCAUCGGAGAAGGGCGCGGAUGCCUCGACGAUCUCCGAAGGGUCCCACUGUAAUCUCGUCCGCCAUGUCCGACGGCCUCCUGCAGCCGCGUGCGUUCAAGCAGGUGAGAUCCCACAACUAAGGUUCGUGGCCACGGUCGGAUUCCCGGCCUGAAAGAAACUUAUCAGCCACCUCGUUCUGUUCAUGCUUCUUUGUGCUCUCCAAAUUAAAGUUUCCCCAAUUUUGAUGUAAAUUUCGGUCACGCGCAUGUGGUGUGGCAGUCACCGGAGUGUUGGCAAUACACAUAAAAUCGACAAAUACAUAGACAUCGUAGAGUCUUGGCACUAUGCAUAACUAAUAUCUUACGAAUUUCCCUGUAUGGUCUAACAAGUGCCCUGAAAGGUUGUAACAAGUCUAAGAUGGUGUAGCUUAGUCUCCACUUACCGUCCAUAUCGACCGAGUCUGAGGAGGACGUUACUUCUUCCAGAUGCUGACAAACAACUGCAGAGCACUCCGUCCAUCCUUCUUACUCGCAUUGAGCCCCUUCUCUCCUUCUCGAGACCAAUUCCAAGAGGCAAAACUUUUGGAAACUUUGGAGCAAUGGCAUGGUGCUUAAGUGUAUUAUUGUCAUGCGGUGCAGAACCUGAUUCCUUUCACCCAUUAUUAUUGUCAUGCGGUUGAUUCUGAAAACUUUAUUUUGCUCAGGUUCUAUUUCCAUGUUGCAGAGCCUCCAUGCCUGGUCGAGGCACUUUGUCCUCAACAUCAACUAAAGGUGUGUUUGGAUGGAGGGACGUGACGGAAUGGGAUCAUCCCACUUUUACAUAUGUUUGGUUGGAGGUUAGGUGGGACGAGGACGGCAUCAAAGUAAAAUAUUCUUCGAAAAAGAGGGAUGAAACAGUUCCUCCAAAUCGGUCGGACCAAUCCGUCCCACUUCGAUGACACAAACACCGUGACGAGCAAGACGACACAAACGCCGUGACGACACAAACGCCGUGACGAGCGAGCGCCUCGAGCGCAAGCGCACGUCCAACUCCAGCGCAGCGCCACGAGAAAAGCCAGGCGGCAGGGGCACGUAGCUCGGGCGGUAGAGGAAUGGAGCUGGGUGGUGGGGAGGGUGGAGCCCGGUGGCGCAGGGGACCGCCAGGAGGAGACGGGGAUCGACCUCCUGGGUUCCAGUUCCACCCCACCAACGAGGAGCUGGUGGUGCAGUACCUCCGUCGGAAGGCCCUGUCCCGCCUGCUGCCCGCUGCCAUCAUCCCCGUCAACCACGACCAUGCCAGGCUGGAUCCAUGGGACCUCCCUGGUGCGUCCGCACGCUCUCUUUCAGAUUAAUGGGAAGGAAGGCUGAGACAGAGUGUUCUGAUGUUCCUUGAUUGAUUGGUGUGUGUACAGGAGCGAGCGAAGGGGAGGGGUACUUCUUCAGCGCGCCUUCGUCGAGCAGCGGCCGCUGGAGGAGAGCUAGCAGCGGGUACUGGAAGGCCACGGGGAAGGAGAAGCCUGUGUUCCUGCAGUGCGGCGGCAAGCGGCAGCUGCUCGUGAGCGUCAAGACGGCGCUCGCCUUCCAUCGCAGCGAGCCGUCAUCGUCACAGGGGACCGCCGGUAGGAGACGGGAGGGCGAAGCCUGGCGGCGCGGGGUGGUGUGGGCCUCGGCUGCGGUGGCGCGGGUGAUUGCGCCGCGACACGCCGAGAAGGGGAUGAGGCUCUGAGGCUAAUAGUGAGCUCCGCGGCUAACGGAAUACAAACACCGUUUAUUUCAUCGGUCCUCAUCCCUCAAACCAAACAACGAAAUUAGGAUGUUCCCAUCUUUCCAACCAAACAUUAAGUGGGAUCAUCUCAUCCUAAAAAAGAGGAUGAUCCUAUCUCAUCCCACCUGUCCCUCCAUCCAAAUACACCCUAACUGCGCCGGUCGAUGUGAUUGCGACUGCUUGUUCUUACCGGACUGGUUAUAUGAAGCUGGCAUCAGAAGUAACCAGGUUCUGAUCCUCCCUGUGUUGAGUUCCAGCUAAUAUCACUCUAGGAUCAGUGCAAUGAAUGGUUUCUGUGAAAUCCAUCUUCAUCUCCUUUCGUUCCAAAAAACUAUCCUGUUAUCUAAGGAAGCUCCCAACUGCAAUCCACUCCUCCGUAUUUUUUGGGUCCCGGAAGAUAGAACUCUUUUUCAGUGUACAUUCUAUUUUCGGUAUAAUUAACAUACAUUAUGAAAAUCUAAGAAUGAGGCCCCCUCCCCCCGAGAGAGGCGACGCCCAUGGUGACACCCCGCCCGUACACCAACCUCGUCCCAGACCCCCCACCCCAGUAACCUCCACCAACCAACCGGCCCCAGAUCCGAGCGCAUCUGUAGAAGACCUCCAAGCUCGUACUAGCCGUGUCGUGAGGGAGCAAGAGAAGGAGGAGAUCGAGUUCACUCAGAAGAAGGUCCAAGAUCCAGAUCCCAUCGGUGAGGUCGCAGUACAGGAGCAGUUAUCGCCGGAAGAUCGACAGUCUGGCCAAGCUAUGCAUACCCAGAGGCUAGAGGCAGCGACGGAGGCCAGCAUCCUCCCGGAUCUCGUCCAAGAUUUGCGAGCACAAGCUAGCCUUAAGUCGACGCGGCUGGAAACAGGCAUUGAAUGCGACGAGGCAAAUCACACGCCAAGCACAAGCAUGCCAGUGAGGCUGGCGAGGGGCUCGACGAGGAAGAAGAAGACCGGUGGUUCGCGCCCUCCUCCAACGGCUUGUCAAGCAAGAGAAUCCACAAAAUCUGCCGCACAGCAGAGUUUUUGAGCCUGUAAAGCAGAAGCUCACCAGCGCAGUGAAAGGAAAAGGAGCAGGGACAGAACGGCAACCAUGCCAGCCAUCAAAUCUGCAUCAGAGAAGGGAGCAGAGCAUUUCAACAAGCAGCUGGCAAAAGCAGCGGGGUCAAUGCUUGAGAGAAGGGGAGGUGGGUAACCUUCAAUUCCCCUCUCCUCCAUUCAGGUCCAGCUCAAGGAAUAGACAGCAAUGACAUCAGCAACAAGAUCCGACCAUGGACAAAUCUUCAAGGACACAACACACUGCACUGCAGUCAGAGACCUGGAUUGAUGAACACGGCUUCCAAGUGGUAAAACCAGCAUAUUGGUGGCGAAGGACUGGAGACCAUUCAAGAGAAGAUUCAAGGCUUCACCAACCGGACAUGGAAGAGCAUAGGAGGAAGAGGUACAGGGAACAUGUCAGGGGAAAAUGUCUCAAUUGUUUCUCCACAGAACACAAAGCAGCUGAAUGCAAGCAACGCACUAAAUGCUGAAGAUGUCUGCAGACGGGGCACAAGGCCCUCGCCUGCCCAACCUGGAGAGACCAUGUUAAAAGGCCACCACCGGAGACUUAUUCUCAUUCUUGUCAAACCAAGACCAUCCCCACCACCACAUCUUUCCCCCCACUCCUGCUGGCCGGACCGUCUGCACGGCCGGCCGUUUCUACCUUCGGGCAGCAAAGGGCGAGGCAGCUCCCAUGGCGACAUACCCGGGUGACCCGCGUGCCCGCCCAGAAUACGCGGUCUGUGCGCUCUCAGCGACUGGGCACAUCAAGCGCAAGCAGGAGUCCAUGAUCGGCAAGACAGCAGUCUGUUGGCUCAACGGCAACAGCCACGACAUGGAGAUAUGCCACGUCGCUGAUGCCCUUGAAGAACAGCUCCUCAUCAGCCGCCAUGAAGUGCGCGUCGUCAAGCACUUCCCCGAGCAAUAUCUGGUGUUCUUCACCGACUGCCGAGCAUACCAUCGCGCUAUCGACCAGUGGGGCGUCCACAAAUGAGGAAGAGUCUUCAACUUCGAGCCAUGGACAGAGCGUUGGAACGUCGUGGAGAGCAAGCUAGAGUUCCGGGUCAGGCUGCGCAUUGAGGGAGUGGCGCUGCUGCAUGCCUGGUCCGAGGAGGUGGCGGCCCAAGUCAUUGGCCAAUACUGCGCCAUCCACUACGUUGAGGAACACGCACGCCAGUAGGAGUGCACACGAACCUACGAUCUGUGGGCGUGGUGCUCCAACCCCCAAGAUCCCUAAGAAGUUGCUGCUCACCAUCACCGACCCUGACAGGGAGCAGCCGGCAAUCGACAUCCCGCGGCAGCUCGUCAACCCCAACCACGACACACCUGAUGACAUCAAGGGCGCGUACAACUACAAGCUGCACAUCCACCUCGACGUGGUCGAGGACCUCUCCUUCCUCAGAGGGAGGGACGGAGGGGACGGAUAGCACAACAGGAGGCCAUGCCGUGAGUUCCUCUGAAACUACGGGGCACCGGACUCCCAGGGGGAACGGCGCAGUGACCAGUACCAUGAUAACUUUGCAAGCCGCGACUACCACCCACGCCGUGACAGAGACGACCAUGACGACCAGCACCAUCGAGGCACAAGGCGCCACCGUAGUGCCUCUUCCUGGGGGCGAGUGACGCGCUGCCGCGGAGCCAUGGAGGACUGCUACAGCUCCACACACCGCAACGGCAACUAGGUACACUCGGGUCGCCACAACAGAGUCCAGAACAACACAGCUGGCCAGGACAACAAAAGCCAUUCUCUGAUGGCUUGGCGCAAGAAGAGCACAGGAGGCAAGAAGGUCUCCUUUGCAAAUCCUCUGGUGCAGAUCAUGGGUGAGUUUGAGUUUGACCCUAGUUGCUAUCAUUUCCCAGCGCCUUCGAAUUCUGACUUGGUGGGUGAGUGGUUUGACCCCAUGAGGGAAGAGAUGCUCAUCCCUAAUAUUUUUGUAGGCGACCCAGGCAAGGAGGAUCGUAUCCUGAACAUGCUGCACUCGGCAGUGGGAUGGACCCCGGUUGCUUCACCAAGGAGUGCUCCGGAGGAAGGCGAGCUGCCGGAGCCAGUGACCGAGCUGCAGGAACCAGAAGGGCACAACAUGCAUUCGCCAAUCACCAACAAGCAGUCACAGGUCUGUCUGGUUUCUACUCCUCUAGAUGCAUCAGUGAGGCACACACAACAAGCUCAAAUUUCAGAAACUGUCAACACGGAAAACACUAGCUCAUCGCCUUUUGCACAGUACACCAACAGAGUAGAGCCCCCUAAUGUCAACAGAGAAGAGGUGAACGGUAGCAACAUCAUUAGUGAAAAUAACAACAACAUAGCAGCACCGCACAACACCGUAGCUACUUCAGUUAUAUGCAAUGAUCAAGAUAUGGUAGCCACUUCUGUUGAAAAUGGGGAGGGUAACAUAGAGGUCGGUGAGGGUCCUAAAUUUGACGACCUUUCAGCUUUCAUUGAUUUCAUAGCCUGCAAGCCAAAUGCGCAUAUUGUUUGCACUCCACCCAGAGCAAACCCCAUCACAUCAGGCAACGAAAAUCAGGGCCAAAACACAGCACAAAGAAAAAGCUCUAGGCUAGCGGAUAAAGCUAAGCUAAACCCGGGCAAGGACAGCACCCAACUUGCCCAAAAAGUCCUUAGUAAUAAGCUUGGGGAGCUGUCUCCAAAGUCGAAAGUUAAUUCUAAUGCUGAGGUUGAUCAUUUGGUGCAGCACCUUCCAAAGCCACUGACGGACCUGAAGAUGAUGGCCAUCAAAACCUUGGUGGAGCAGGGAAACCAGGCCAAGCACAAGAACAUGAAGAGGAGCAAGAUCACUCCAUCAGCAAUUGGAGAGAUGGAGGCCCAAGUGGCCUGAGGGAUAACCAUCCAGGGAGGAAGCGUUUCAGUGGUUUUUACUUCCCUAAUGUUAGGCAUAAAAUAAUUGAACUUAAACUUAGUCGAAUCUGUAUCUUUAAAUGGGCCAACAAUUAGGCCCUGCGACUUCAGCGGUGCUUUGUAUCGGGCAGAAUGCCCAGCAUCGACGUCCACGAAGCUCGCCAAGCUCUCCUCGAGGCAAUGCUUUAGUGAAAAAACAAGUCUCCUGGGACUUCUCAGCUUUGUAUCAGGACCAUGCGCCAAGCAAUGUUGUCCGCAGGUUGACGCUUUCCAUGAGUCUACUAUUAGUUGUGCACCUCUGAUCCAUGUCACAAAAGGAUUGUAAUGUGUUGUGUUGGAAUGUUCGUGGGCUUAAUGUGGCAGCUAGGAGAGCAAGUGUACGAAGCACGAUUCGUUCAUCCGGAGCAACGAUAGUAUGUCUGCAAGAGACCAAAAUAGCACACUGGACAUCUAAACUCGUGGCAGACACCCUGGGCAAUAAUUUUGCAAAGAACUUUGCUGUGUUACCAGCCCUUGGCACAAGAGGAGGCAUCCUUAUAGCGACAACGGUGAACCAUUUUGAUAUGCACAACAUCCACACCAUCGAUCACACAGUAUCCACAACAAUCACUAUGAAAGUAGACAAAAAAAUCUUGGACACUCACUUGCGUCUAUGGCCCUCAGGAUGAACACGACAAGCUACUAUUUCUAGAGGAACUGAAGAGCCUAAAAGAACAAGUUCUCACGGAAUGGCUCAUAGUUUGUGACUUUAACCUUAUAUAUAAGGCAGAGGACAAAAGUAACAAUAGGCUCAACAGAAACUUGAUGAAUCGUUUCAAGCAGGCAAUUGACAAGAACCAACUGAUGGAAAUCGACCUCCACGGAUGGUGUUUCACCUGGAGCAACGAACAAGAUCACCCAACAUUCACAAGGAUAGACAGGUUCUUCGGUACACCAGAAUGGCAUCUUCUCUUCCCAAACCUUGACUUGCAAGCCUUGCCAACCAUGGGCUCAGAUCACUGCCCAUUAUUUUUAACAGGUGACGUAGAGAGACAGAACUAUAUGGGCUUUCACUUUGAAUCUUAUUGGGUGAACAUGCCAGGUUUCUUAGAGACUAUACAAGAAGUCUGGAGCCAGCCAGUGCAUACUCAAGAUGCCAUACUGCGUAUGCAUGUCAAACUCAUUCGCACAGCAAAGGCACUUAAAUUGUGGAAGAGAAAAAACCUUGGCAAUCUAGCCCUUAGACUGGCAAUAGCCAAUGAGGUGCUAUGCUUCUUGGAUGCAGCUCAGGAACAAAGAGCCCUUACAACAGAGGAAUUAGAAUUUCAACGAUACCUAAAAGCGAAGUCGGUGGGCUUAGCAACGGUUCAGAGAGCCCGUGCAAGACAACACUCCCGGCUCACAUGGAUGCGAAAAGGAGACGCAUGCACACGCCUGUUUAUGCUGCAUGCUAACAACACAAGAAGAAAUCUACACAUCCCGUCCUUAACCACCGUAAAUGGAACAACAAUCAACAACCACCAGCAAAAAGAGGAAAUAAUAUACGAUCACUUCGUAAACCUGUUGGGCAAAACACAAGAGAGAUCCCUCAGCCUAAACUGGACAAAUCUCGGAUGUCAUCCACAUGACUUGACCGACCUGGAAGCACCAUUUGAGGCAGAAGAAAUAAAAAAGGUCGUCAUGCACUUACCAGCAUAAAAAUCACCUAGCCCGGAUGGAUUUAUUGGUCUAUUCUAUAAGAAGUGUUGGGAUGUGAUCGGAGAGGAUCUGAUCCAAGCUCUUCAUGCCUUCCACUCCCUUAGGACCAGACGCAUGGAAUUGAUUAACGAGGCCAAUAUCAUUUUGCUGCCAAAGAAAGAAGGAGCAACCAUGGUUGCAGAUUUCCGACCCAUCACUCUCAUUAAUAGUCUAGCCAAGAUCAUAACAAAGGUGCUAGUAGAUAGGUUGGCUCCGAGACUGAAUGAGCUAGUUUCCGGAUGUCAGAACACCUUCAUCAAAAAAAGAUGCAUUCAUGACAACUUCGUCUACGUACAUAGUGUAAUCAAGGCGUUGCACAAAUCAAAGAGACCGGCACUCUUUGUAAAACUCGAUAUCUCAAAAGCAUUUCAUUCGCUUAAUUGGGUAUUUCUCAUCGAAACAUUACAGGCCCUAGGUUUUGGCCAAAAAUGAGAGAUUGGAUUACAACACUAUUAGCCACCUCAUCAUCCAAGGUGCUACUUAACGGGAGACCUAGGAAAAAAUUGAAGCAUGCUAGAGGCCUCCGUCAAGGAGACCCACUAUCACCCAUGUUGUUCAUCCUUGCCAUUGACCCACUCCAUAAAAUGGUGGAACUAGUAGCCGGCAACAACAUCAUAAGACCAAUCCUCCCCAGAGCGGCAAAGCUACGAUGCUCCCUUUAUGCAAAUGAUGCAGCUAUUUUUACAAACCCAGACAGAGAAGAACUACAACGUAUCGGACAGUUGUUACAUAUCUUUGGAGAAUGUUCAGGACUCAAGAUAAAUAUGACUAAAACGGAAAUAUUCCCUAUCCGGUGUACCAAUGAAACCAUCUUAGAAGCUCUAGAGCACUUCUCGGGAAAAAUUUCCUCCUUCCCUGGAAAAUAUUUGGGCUUGCCUCUUCACAUGCGCAAACUCCGAAGGGUGGACGUCCAACCAUUAAUUGACAAGAUCGGUGGAAGGCUUCCUGGAUGGAAAGGUAAAAUGUUAUCGUCGGCCGGGAGAGAAACACUGGUGAAGAGUGUAUUAACAUCACAACCAAUAUAUCACCUCACAGUUUUCCCUACUCAAAAAUGGCUGAUCAAACAGAUUGAUCACCUACGUCGCAGUUUCCUUUAGAAAGGAGAGGAACCAAAAAAGGUCAAUGGAGGACACUACUUGAUUAAAUGGCCAACAGUAUGCACGCCUAAGGACAUGGGAGGGCUCGGGAUUCUCAACCUCGAGAGACUUGCGAGGGCUCUAAGAAUGAGAUGGUGCUGGUUCCAGUGGAAGUAUAGUGAGAUACCUUGGGUAGGACUUGAUAUCCCGUGCGAUAAGAAUGAUAAAGACCUAUUCUAUGCGUCAACAGUAGUAAUGGUGGGCAAUGGAAAGAAAGCAAACUACUGGAUAGCGCAGGUUUACCCACUCAUGACAGGAGAGGAAAUCAGAGAGUAUGUGCAGCUAUUUGAGGAAAUAAACAUGCUACAACGUGACACUAAUGCGGAGGAUGAAAUAUCAUGGAGGUGGACGCAGGACGGGGAGUAUACCACAAAGAGUGUAUACCGUAUACAAUUCCAAGGCCAACUGAAGAAGUUGAGUAUCACCUCAAUAUGGAAAGCUAGAACUGAACCAAAAUGCCGGAUCUUUGCCUGGCUUCUCCUGCAUAGGAAAAUCUUAAUAGCAGACAACUUGGAAAAGCUGGGGUGGCCUAAUGACCCUCAGUGCAAGCUAUGCAAUUCGGACCUGGAGACACCCACACACCUGUGCAAAGACUGCCCUUACACAACGGCAGUCUGUGACCGGCUGCAGGGAUGGUUUUCUCUUAACCACUUACCCCCAGGCAACACAUCGCUUUCGAUCCACAAGUGGUGGAAGAAAUGUAGGAGCAUGAUCGACAAAAGGAACAAAACUUUCUUUGACGGCCUCAUCAUAUAUUUCUAGUGGAACAUUUGGAAAGAGCGCAACAGACGAAUCUUUAAUCACGAAACCAAACUGGUGGAAGACGUCGCGUUCUCUAUCAAAGAAGACAUCCAACAGUUCCAGUUCGCCAAUAAAACGCAUGAAGCUCCCGCGGUUGAGCCAACCUAGCAGCAUUUUUCAUCUUUUAAAGUGGGGUUUUGAAGUGGAGCUCGUAGUUGUUGUUGUUUUUUCCUUUCUCCCUAGGGAGUGCUAUUUAGUUGGUGCAGUGAGAGCCAUGUACAUAGAGUUAUUUUUUGUUUUAUUUUCUUGUCUUGUUUGGUUUUACCUCUUCUAAUAAAAAUUCGGCAAAGCUUUUGCCGUCCGUUAAAGAAAACAUACAUUAUGAUAAUUUUAUAAAUUUUAAUGGAGACGGGGAUGCAUAUGAUAUACUCCCUCCAUCUAUAUUUAUAAGGCGUGGAAGGACUUAGCACGGUCUUCCAAAUAACACUUUGACCCUUUAUUUAUCUUAUAUUAUAGUAUUUAUAGUUAUAAACUUAUAAUCAUCGUAGAGUAUAUUUGAUUACGAAUCCAACUAUAUAAAUUUUGAAUUAUAAAAAUAAAAAAAUAAUAGUUAAAUUAUUGGUCAAAAAUUGUAAAGUUUAAAUCUUGAUAUGCGUGUGCGCCUUAUAAAUAAAAACGGAUGGAGCAUAUCCCCCAAAUGUUUCUAUAUAUUGUGGAACUCAACUUAACUGAAGGAUAUAAAGACAAGAUUUUCAUAGGAAAUCGAACCAUUUUAAGAGGCGGUUCACACGAGGGAUCUCCUAGGAUAAUGCUAUUUGUGCACAACCAUACCCUUACAUGAACCGUCUCUGGAACCAGAAAUCAUUCCGUUUUCACUUACGGCAGACACGAGUGUAAUGGAGCCGUACAGGUGCAGGAGGGCGAUCCCCAUCUAGACUUUAAUUUGGCCAUGUGGAAGUAGGACACACUAUCUCUAGCACCAGCACCAUGUGUAGUUGGUCCCCCGUGUAUGCAUCAAUGCUGCACCUAUCGACUGUGACCUGGCACCUAACCGGACAGUUGGUUACGGUAGCCAUUCUUGUGAUUUCACAACUCAAAGGCAUCGUUUAUCCUCCCUCUCCCUGCUGCUGCUCAUCCUCCCUUCACUGAACUACUUGUUGCAAUCAGAAGAAAGAUCAAUCGAGUUGAAGAGACAGAUCGGAAGCUAGUCAACGUUGAUUGGUUCGUGAGUGAUGUUAUGAUCCGUCCCUCUGUUAUAACCAUCCAACCCAGCUGGUGCAGAAGCUAAUUACCUGAAGCAAUAUAUUUGUAGAAACGAAUAGUAAUAUAUUUAUAGAAACGAAUAGUACUGGUUAGUUCACUUAUUUCUUUGCUCAAACUUAGCCGUUUGGCAAGGCUUCGUCUUGGGUUAAAAUGACUCCGGAGCUUCGGCUCAUCAAGCAACUUUUUAUAUCUCUAGCUCAUCCUAUUAAAAAAUAUUUGGUAAAAUGAUUUCUCCAAAUUAGUUUGAGGUUGAUAGAAAGAUAAAAUGUCCAAAAUACUCUAAGAACAUAUAUUUUUCAUUCCAUUUUUUUCUUUUCCAUCAUUCUUUUAUUCCAUCUACUAUUUUUUCCUUACGCUUUUUUUUUUGGCCAGGUGUGCCUUAUCCGCUUCGGCCCUUCCCACCAUGCCUUUUUUCCUAUUUCUUUUCUUGCCGAGCGUGCUUUAUCUCCUUCGUUGACUUCAGUAGCACCUGUUGCGUUCGAUGCUCGCGCGGCAGCCCGGGGACCUCGACCUCGCCCGCCUAGGAGCUCCAGCAGCCGGUCCGCUCCGCCGCCGGUGCGGCAACCACGCCGUCGUCAGACCGCCUCACGCGGCCACCGGUCGUCCCCGCGAUACACCGCCGCCGGUGCGCCGUGCGCGGCGGCGCUGUCCCGCCGCUCCGCCGCCUACCGUCGGCCUGCGCCACCACCAGCGCACCGGCAGCACCGCGAGCUGCCGCGCCGCCCCGACAUUGGUCCUUCCCGAGCCCGGUGUCGUCACCAGCGUCGCGGAGAGAAGGUAAGGGGAGUGGCAAUUUUGCAGUAGUUUUGACGAACUUGAGGAGCAAAGUUAAAGCACAUGGCUGUGGGGAAGAGGAGAAGCGGGGAAAGCUACUUUUUAUGACUCACGCUGCUCAGUUCGAUUUGAUGAUUGGCUUCACACCGGCUUUUCCUGUGAAGCCCUUUUCAACUCACCCGUUUGGUAGGGUUUGGCCUGAAGCCGGUUCAUAAGCGGGAGCCAGAGCCCUACCAAAACUAUUUGGUGAGACUAUGAGCCGUUUGGUUCUCUGACUUAUUUUUAGCACAUGUCACAUUGAAUGUUUAGAUACUAAUUAGGAGUAUUUAACGUAGACUAUUUACAAAACCAUUACACAGCUGGAGGCUAAAUGGCGAGACGAAUCUAUUAAGCCUAAUUAGUCCAUAAUUUGACAAUGUGAUGCUACAUUAAAUAUUUGCUAAUGAUGGAUUAAUUAGGCUUACUAGAUUCAUCUCGUCGUUUAGCCUCUAUCUGUGCAAUUAGUUUUAUAAUUAACUCAUAUUUAGUCCUCCUAAUUAGCCUCCAAAUAUUCGAUGUGACACGGACUAAACUUUAGCUCAAGGAACCAAACCUCGCAUAAAUUAGCUGCUUAUUCUGCUGGUUGCAUGCAGGAGAUCGAGCUGCGGGCACACGGCCGGAUCGGAGGAGGACAUAUCAGCCGGGUUCCUGUUGGUUGUGUACUUGUGUUCCUGCCAGCGGAGAAGCAACCAUGGCCGAGUUAGUGAUCGGGCCACUGAUCUCCAUGGUGAAGGAGAAGGCAUCCAGCUACCUGCUGGACCAAUACAAGGUGAUGGAAGGCAUGGAGGAGCAGCGCAAGACCCUGGAGCGCAUGCUGCCAGCAAUCCUGCAAAUCAUCCAGGAUGCGGAGGAGAAAGGAGCCUCCCGACGAGGAGUAGCAGCUUGGCUCAAACACCUCAAGACAGCAGCCUAUGAGGCCAACGACGUCUUUGAUGAGUUCAAGUACGAGGCGCUUCGGCGAGAAGCCAAGAAGAAGGGCCACCACAGCAAGCUUGGAGUGGAGGUAGCAAGACUCCUAGUCCCCACUCGUAAUCCCAUUGUAUUCCGUUACAGGAUGGGCAAGAAGCUACGCAAGAUUGUGCAGACCAUCGAGGCCUUGGUCACCGAGAUGAAUACAUUUGGUUUCAGGCACUUGCAGCAAGCAAAGCCAUCAAGGCAGUGGCGACAGACAGAUUCCAUAAUCAUUGACUCCGACAGAGAUAUUCUUAGCAGAUCUAGAGAUCGGGAGAAGAAGAAAAUCGUGGGGAUGCUCCUUGAUCAAGCUAGCAACAUGGAUCUCAUGGUUCUUCCAAUUGUUGGGAUGGGUGGGAUGGGCAAGACCACCUUUGUGCAACUCAUUUACAAUGACCCUGCAAUCGAGAAGCACUUUGAGUUUCGGAGGUGGUGCUGCGUAUCAGAUGAUUUCGAUGCAAGUACCAUUGCAAGCAACAUCUGCCAGACCAACGAGAAAGGACGUGAAAAAUCAUUGCAGGAGCUCCAGAGUAUAAUAAUUGGAAAAAGGUACCUCAUUGCGCUAGCUGAUGUAUGGAAUCGGGAUGCUGCUAAGUGGGGAAAACUAAAGACCUGCCUUAAGCAAGGUGGCAAGGGCAGUGCAGUACUAACAACAACUUGUGAUGCAGAAGUGGCUUGCAUUAUGACCAUGGGUGUAGCUGAAGCCCAUAAUAUCGAGAAUCUGAGUGACAAGCAUUUAAAGGAAAUU